RNAcentral lists this long non-coding RNA (150971 nucleotides) under Malus domestica (apple). RNAcentral's name for it is "long non-coding RNA (MDOM_LNC009157)". The stretch from base 14752 to 14859 matches the Rfam family "Small nucleolar RNA Z279/snoR105/snoR108". Lineage: Eukaryota; Viridiplantae; Streptophyta; Magnoliopsida; Rosales; Rosaceae. The record is from RNAcentral.
UUUUUUUUUUUUUCUUAAAUUUGCACAUACCACACAUUGCCACAUAAAUAUUACUUCAAAACAUUAAAACACAUUUGUCGUUUAAGUACUACAUCUACACUCGAAAAUAAGAGCCUAAUAAAAAAAUAAUACAUACACUACUAAUCUAUUACAAAUUUUAAAUGUGCAAGGAUAUGCAAAAUGAAACAGUUUUUGUUUCAAGGUUGUGAAAUCUUUCUCAAAAGUUUAAACCUCAAUUUACAAAAUCCUCAAUUUACAUCGAUCAUCAUGAAAUUGCAUUGAAACUUUGGCUUGAUCUAUUGCCUUCAAGAGUUAUGUUGAUGAUGUUUUCAGUAAGGUUUUCCACGUCAUAACUAUCUUCUGCAUAAACUAAGCAUAGAAAAACCAAACAUUAAAAAUCAUUCAAAUUAUGAGAAGUUUACCAAAAUAAUUAUGAAAAAAAAUAAAACAAUAGUACUAUACCAUACUUUUAUUAAGUAUAAACAUAAAAUUUUGUGCUAUCCACUAGUGUAAAUAUUUUAAAUUGAAGAUCGAAUUCAAUCAUUGUAUUCAUAUAAGAUCAAGGAGUGUAGUUGUAAAAAAUCAUCAAAAUCAGAGUUAAAUUAACCGUUAAAUCGUGAUUUUUCGUUUAUAACCGUCGAAAAGUUUUGUCCCGUUACGUGCUCUCUGAAUGUUUGUUUUUUGCAAUUUUUGGCGUAUGGGAUCUCGAAAUAUAUACAAACAUGUUUGACAGUUGGAUCAUUGAAACUAGUUUUGUAGAAUGAGUAUCCCAUCAAAACAAUAGAUUCACUAAUACUUAAGAGUUUAUUCAUACUUUUAUUAAGUAUAACAUAAGAUUUUUGUGGUUUCCACUAGUGUAAAUAUUUUUAAAUUGAAGAUCGAAUUCAAUCAUUGUAUUCAUAUAGGGUCAAGGAGUGUAGUUGUAAAAAAUCAUCAAAAUCGGAGUUAAAAUGACCGUUAAAUCGUGAUUUUUCGUUUAUAACCGUCGAAACGUUUUGUCCCGUUACUUGAUCUCUGAAUGUUUGUUUUUUGCAAUUUUUGGCGUAUGCAAUCUCGAAGUAUAUAUAAACAUGUUUGACGGUUGGAUCAUUGAAACUAGUUUCUUAGAAUGAGUAUCCAAUCAAAACAAUAGAUUCACUAAUACUUAAUAGUUUAUUCAUACUUUUAUUAAGUAUAGUAUAAGAUUUUGUGGUAUCCACUAGUGUAAAUAUUUUAAAUUGAAGAUCGAAUUCAAUCAUUGUAUUCAUAUAGGGUCAAGGAGUGUGGUUGUAAAAAAACAUCAAAAUCGGAGUUAAAAUGACCGUUAAAUCGUGAUUUUUCGUUUAUAACCGUCGAAAAGUUUUGUCCCGUUACUUGAUCUCUGAAUGUUUGUUUUUUGUAAUUUUUGACGUAUGCGAUCUUGAAGUAUAUACAAACAUGUUUGACGGUUGGAUCUUUGAAACUAGUUUCGUAGAAUGAGUAUCCCAUCAAAACAAUAGAUUCACUAAUACGUAAUAGUUUAUUCAUACUUUUAUUAAGUAUAAUAUAAGAUUUUGUGGUUUCCACUAGUGUAAAUAUUUUAAAUUGAAGAUCGAAUUCAAUCAUUGUAUUCAUAUAAGGUCAAGGAGUGUAGCUGCAAAACAUCAAAAUUAGAGUUAAAAUGACCGUUAAAUCGUGAUUUUUGUUUUUAUAACCGUCGAAAAGUUUUGUCCCGUUAAUUGAUCUCUGAAUGUUUGUUUUUUGUAAUUUUUGACAUAUGCGAUCUCGAAGUAUAUACAAACAUGUUUGACGGUUGGAUCUUUGAAACUAGUUUCGUAGAAUGAGUAUCCCAUCAAAACAAUAGAUUCACUAAUACUUAAUAGUUUAUUCAUACUUUUAUUAAGUAUAACAUAAGAUUUUGUGGUAUCCACUAGUGUAAAUAUUUUAAAUUGAAGAUCGAAGUCAAUCAUUGCAUUCAUAUAAGGUCAAGGAGUGUAUUUGUAAAACAUCAUCAAAAUCGGAGUUAAAUUAACCGUUAAAUCGUGAUUUUUCGUUUAUAACCGUCGAAAAGUUUUGUCCCGUUACUUGCUAUCUGAAUAUUUUUUUUUUGCAAUUUUUGGCGUAUGCGAUCUCGAAAUAUAUACAAACAUUUUUGACGGUUGGAUCAUUGAAACUAGUUUCGUAGAAUGAGUAUCCCAUUAAAACAAUAGAUUCACUAAUACUUAAGAGUUUAUUCAUACUUUUAUUAAGUAUAACAUAAGAUUUUGUGGUAUCCACUAGUGUAAAUAUUUUAAAUUGAAGAUCGAAUUCAUUACUUGUAUUCAUAUAGGGUCAAGGAGUGUAGUUGUAAAAAAUCAUCAAAAUCGGAGUUAAAAUAACCGUUAAAUCGUGAUUUUUCGUUUAUAACCGUCGAAAAGUUUUGUCCCGUUACUUGCUCUCUGAAUGUUUUUUUUUUGCAAUUUUUGGCGUAUGCGAUCUCGAAAUAUAUAAAAACAUGUUUGACGGUUGGAUCAUUGAAACUAGUUUCGUAGAAUGAGUAUCCCAUCAAAACAAUAGAUUCACUAAUACUUAAGAGUUUAUUCAUACUUUUAUUAAGUAUAACAUAAGAGUUUGUGGUAUCCACUAGUGUAAAUAUUUUAAAUUGAAGAUCGAAUUCAAUCAUUGUAUUCAUAUAGGGUCAAGAAGUGUGGUUGUAAAAAAUCAUCAAAAUCGGAGUUAAAAUGACCGUUAAAUCGUGAUUUUUCAUUUAUAACUGUCAAAAAGUUUUGUCCCGUUACUUGCUCUCUAAAUGUUUGUUUUUUGCAAUUUUUGGCGUAUGCGAUCUCGAAGUAUAUACAAACAUGUUUGACGGUUGGAUCGUUGAAAUUAGUUUCGUAUAAUUCGUAUCCCAUGAAGUUCAAUGGUGUGUGGUGUGUGUAUAUAUAUAUUUAUUUAUUAAGUAGAUUUAAAUCUAUUUAUUUUGUAUGUAUAAUUAUUAUAGUUUUUAGGGGUAUAAAAUUUAAUAUAUAUAUAUAUAUAAUUAUUAUAGUUAAUAUUUUGGGUAUAAUUAUUAUAGUUUUUAGGGGUAUAAAAUUGUUAAAUUAAUAUAUAUAUAAUUAUUAUAGUAUUUUUUUAGGGUUAUAAAUUAUUAAAUUAAUAUUCUGCUUAUCGUGUAUCGUGUUAAUCACGUGUAUACCCGAACAAACCCGUUAUCUUAACAGGUGCUUAUCGGGUUACCCGAUAACGACCCGUUUCGUUAUCGUGUCGACCCGAACACCUGUUAAUUUCGUGUCGUGUCGUGUCGGGUUAUCGGGUCGUGUCAGGAAUUGUCAGGCCUACCCCUAUAUAUAGCCCCAUAUUACUCCAAAAACCUAAGUUCAUUCUCUCCCUGAAAUUCUUUAAACACUUUCUCUCUCAAAUUCUAACUUUGGCAUCGGAGAUUCUUCGGCCAAAGCACCCCCUCCGGUUCAUCGUGGGCACGUGAGGCUUUUGGCCUUGAUCUUAUGUGUUAUUAUUUUGCAGGUGCAUUUUCGUCAAAGGAGAAGAAGGCGGAAAUUUGCAUCCACACAUAACAACUAGAAACUCCAACACAUGUUCAAACAAACACGAGAGUUUCUAAUUGUUCUUUUACAAAACGUAUUUGUCCUAUAUUCAUUUUUCCUUUUUUUUUGUAGGGGUUUGGGUUUGUAAUCUCUCCUAAAAUCUAAACCAAUUUGUAUUCACCUUUUUAUCCAUUUCCAAAUUUUUAAUAUGCCCUUACUCUUUGUGUGUAUUUCAAAAGGCAGUCAAUCAGUUUCACAGCACGAAGCAUCAAACCAGAGAGAAGUAUCAAAACAGAAGAACCCGAUAAUAAAAAUUCAGCAUAUAACCCAUCAGAGUUUAUGAAUAUGCUUUAAUAUGAAAAAUUAGUUCACAGUUCACUAAUGAUUUUAGUUUGUUGAGUUUUCCCGGUCCCUGGAAGGGGUGGAUAACCGUGGCUUGCCACCAGUUGUCCCCUUUAAAAUUUAAAAAAAAAUAGUCAUUAUUUGCAUGCCUCGCAGAGGCUAACUGCAAAAUUGUCAGAUAUGUGCUUAGGCCUGUAAGGGUGUCACUUAGCGGAGAAAUCCAACUUUGGAGAUUUCAUGAACAAAGUUCAAAUUGGACAAGUAAUCUAUACUGCGUGACUCAAUAUGCACUCAUAUUAUUAUGAAGAUAUUCAUGAGAUAUUCUUCCUCUCAUCCCUAGGAUGUUAGUAUUAUUUUUUGUGGUGUUAGGAAGGGUAUUAAUCCUCGAUGAGUUUCGAGGCACAAUCUCUAGUAUAUAUGGUAUAGGUCACACGCAGUCUUGGAAGGCUCACCUAAGUGAAAGUAAUCACGAGGCCGCAACUGUGAGGAUUAGGUUGUUUUCUAAAAACUCUCAUGAGAAUCAAGAUUAAGUACAUGGCCAAAAAUAGUUGUAACCCGUGCUAAGUUUUUUAUUGGUACCAUGUAUUUUCCAUUUAAUAUUCUAGUCAAAAGGGUCCUAGUUCAAAACAUAGUUCACUAUGAUUCCUUCAUGAAGUUGUUAAUACUAAGUGUAGGUUCAAGUCCCGAAAGACACCUACACCCUUUGUAUGGUAUACAAGUUGCCCAAAUUUCUUCCAUUCAUACAUAUAUAUAUUUAUAUCUUCUACAUUUCUAUGAAGUUUUGAAUCUUGUGGAGGAUUGUUGGCUAUUUACUUUAUUUUAUUAAUUAAAUAUUCAAAACUUUAUUUAUUAUUAUUUUAAAUAAUAAAUAUAUAAAGUCAUGUCUAAUAAGAUAAGUUAUAUCUUUUACCAAGGUAUAUAGAGUUUUAUAACUAGUGAACUCCUCAAACAAAACAUAUAUAUUCAAAUAUUUCCCUCUCUUCCUACUAUAGUACUCUUCCACAUUCAUUAUUAUUCUCCCACUCAUCUCCAUCAUCAAUGGGUUGAUCAUGGAAGAAAAUGUCAAUAAUAUCGGCGAAAUAUCGCCGAUAUUAUCGGUUUUUCGCGCAAUGGAUAUUUAAAUAGGUAUCUGGAUGGUUUUCGUCCAAAUAUCGCGAUAUUAUCGAUAUUAUCGAUAAUAUCGCGAUAUUACCGAUAAUAUCGCGAGAUGAACCGAUAAUAUCGCCUCUCGAACAACUGAGUUGACCCGGAUGAUGGCGAGUCGAACCGGUUGAACAUGCUCAACUCGUGGUUGUACAUGGCCUUCUUGGUGGGGUUAGAGAGGACGUUCCAGGCCUCAGAGACCAGCCGGAAGGCAUAAUCAGGGAAGCGAUUCCGGUGGGGGUUUAGCAGAAGAGCGAGUCGACGGUACUGAGUCGCGACAAUUUCGAGGUUCUGAGUGUACUGGGCGAGUUGGAGAAUAGCGUACCAGUCGGGCUGCUGGUUUUGGUUGUUGAUCUGGGAUUCAGCGGCGAGAAGAGUGUCGGCGACGGCGAUUAUCUGCUUGGUGGCCUCGAGCCUGGGGUCAGUCUCUCGGGCUCGGAUCACGAAGGUCUUCGUCUCCUGUAAGUCAUGCGCCGACAGUAGCUUCACGGCUCUCCGCUUCCGCCCUCGCCCCCUCUUCUCUCUCUCUCUCUCACUCCCCUUUCUGCCUUUCUUGGUUUUCGGUGAAGUUCACUUCGGAUAGAGUAGAAGGGUGGGGGAAUUUUGGGUGGACGAAAGAGGACUUAGGUUGUGACUGAAAUGACAGAGAUUGUUUGGUGGUGGGGUGGGAGAAUGGGAGGUGCAGUAGGGGUAUUUUGGGAGAAUGGGAGAUUGUUGUUGUUGAGGGUUUUGAGCACACUUGGACUCGGUUAAUGGAUUUAGAUUUUAAACCAACGGAACUGCUACCCUUCAACACCUUGACCACCAUAUCACUUAUGUUUUCGUGAAAAUAUGCUAAAAUAUUUAUAUAUAUGGUUUUGUUUUGAAUUCUUUUUGCAAGAAACAGAUUUGCAUAUGACAGCUCGCUAUAUAAUCAACUUAAAUCAGUUAAAUCCAUCAAGCAAUACAUUUCCUUCCAAUUUUUUGUGAUAAACUAAUAGAUAAUUGACUAAAUAAACAUCUUGCAAAGUUUUAAUAAAAAUUUCCAAGUUUUUCUUACAAUUUCCGUGGUUUCCAUGUAAUUUUUAUCGAUAUCGAUAUUAUCCCGAUAUUUCCAUCGAUAUUUCCGUAUUUUCGGACUACCGAUAUUUCCGAUAUUACCGAUAUUUAAUACCUUGGGGUUGAUCACUACUUGGCACCCGUUUGUCUAACCAUGCUUAUCGAUCUGAUACUUUGUAGAUAGCCAUUAUAACCUGCACAUAGGGAGGCGUCUACCACUUUAGGAUAGUGACAAAAUGUCUCGUUGGUAUCACAAUCCAAAUUAUUCCAUACUCUUUCUCUAUUUACUACUUUUUUUCUAUUUACUCUUUUGUUUGUUUGAUGGAUUUUGGUACUAUAUAAUUGAAUGAAUUUACAUGUGUAUUAUGACUAUAAUCAUUUAAGUUAUCCUACAGGUCGGUCGAACCCAAUGACUAGCCGCGCAUGUUUGAUACCACAGUUCCAGAGUCACUUUCUGCUACAAACUGGUCGCAAGCUGUUGCUUUGUCUAAUACACAUCUUGCAAAGUUUGCAUGUAUUAGUUUUUCUAGCGAGUGGCUAUCAGUGACUAUCCUACUAAUGAUUCAGGACAAGAGUGUGACACACAUGAGGUAAAUUAUGAUGUUUUGCCUUCGUACACAUAUCAGUUGCCGCCACGAGCUAAUCGUAGAAGAUCUAAAGUACAAUAUGAUGUUGAUAUGCAUGCCAAAGCCAAGUAUCCCAUCAAAAAUUAUGUGUCACCAUAUGCAUCUUAUAUAUGUCAACUGUCUAUUGUAUCUGUUUCAACAAAAUUGUAAGAUGUCUUACAUGGUCCAAAGUGAAUUUAUGAUAUGAAUGUGGAGAUGGAAGCACUUGAAAAUAAUUCCACGUGGGAUUAAGUUUCUCUACAAAAAUGAAAGAAAAUUGUUGGAUGUAGAUUGGUGUUUACUAUUAAGCAUGAAACAUAUGGUUCUAUUGAUCGGUACAAAGUCAAAUUAGUUGCCAAGUUAUACACAAACUUAUGGUGUGGACUAGGAGACUUUUGCCUUUAUUGCCAACAUUAAUAUUGUGCGUGUCCUUUUAUUUUUAGGAGCAAAUCUGGAUUAGCCUCUACUGCAAUUUGAUGUCACAAAUACUUCCUUCAUGGUGAUCCCAAAUAUGACGUGUAUCACACAUUCCAUUUAGCAAACCUCGAUUUUGGUGCCUACUUGAAAUCGGGGUUAGGGUGUGUCAUUGCACAUGGAUCUUCCACUAGGUAUUGGAAUAGCCUCUGAAAAGGGUAUCGUGUGCAAAUUGUGAAAGGCCUUGUAUAGCUUGAAGUAGUCCCCUAGAGCGUAGUUUGAGAGGUGCAUAAGUUCAAUGAAUACAUGUUGGUAUUUUCAAAGACAUUCAAAUCAUGCUCUAUUUAUCAAGCAUCGAAAUGGUAAGCUAACUGCUUUCAUUAUUUAUGUUGAUAUGAUGGUAACUGGUGAUGAUCAAGAAUAGGUACAACGCCUUGAGGAGUACCUAGCUACCGAGUUUAAGAUGAAGUAAUUAGGUGAAUUGAAGUAUUUUCCUGGAAUUGAGGUUGCAUGUCCAAACAAGGUCUUUUUCUGUGUUAAUAUGUACUUGAUUUGUUGGCUGAAACAUGCAUAUUAGAUUGCAAACCUAUUGAUACUCUGAUUAAGCAAAAUCAUUAUCUGGGUUUAUUUUUAGAUCAAGUUCCAACUCACAAGGAACGAUAUCGAAGGCUUAUAGGGCAAUUAAUCUACUUGUCUAAUACAUGCCCUGAUGUUGUUAGUGUGGUAAGCCAGUUUAUGCACUCUUCUGAUGAAGCUCAUAUGAAUGUAGUGAUUUGUAUUUUGAGAUGAUUGAAGAGGGCUCAUGGCAAAGGCUUGGUUUCGCCAAGAAAGUUCAUUUAAAUGUUGAUGGGUAUAAUUAAAGACGCAGAUUAAGCAGGUUCUAUCACUGAUUGGCGAUCUACGUCUGGACACAUUAUGUUUUUGGGUUGUAAUUUGGUUACUGUAGAAGUUGAGUAUCAUGGUAUGUCACAUGGUGUCUGCAAUUUGUUGUGGUUUAAGAAAUUAUUUAGAGAUUUUGGGUUUGGACACAAAGGUUCUAUGAAUCUUUGUUAAAAUCUACUAUAGAGAUUUCUAAUAAUCCGAUUCAACAUGAUCGUACAAAACAUGUGGUGACUAAGGCAGUGUCUAGAGAUCAACUCAUUGCUUUUCCUUUGUGAGAACUAGAGACCUACUCGCAGAUGUGUCAACUAAGCCAGUGUCAACUAGUGUGUUUUUGAACUCGAUUGACAAGUUUGGCAUGUGUGAUAUCUUUGCUCCAACUUAAUAGGAGUGUUGCGAAUUUGUAGUUUAAAUAUUAGUUAAAGUUGUAAAUGAAUUUUGUUUCACCUCGGUAAAUGACCUAUAAAACAAUAUCUGUAAUCCCUAUAUAUACUUCACAUUAGAGGUUACUAAAAUAUAUCAAAAUUCAACAAUAAUCCAUGUGGCACAACAUAAUAUGUUUAUGUUCCAACCAUUUAGAGUAUAAAUGCUUUAACAUGAAGUGGCCAUGCUUACAACAACUUCACAACAAUGGCUUGUCAGUAAACUAUCUUAACUAACGCUUUGAAACACCAUGGCCUCACACAUCUCGUACCACAUAUAUGCUUAUGGAAGUUGGCUUGUACGUCUGGUAUACAGUCAUAACCAACAUAUUCAUAUAACAUACCUGUAUCUUGAACAUGGCGGGACCUAGUAAAAGUAAGUUUAAAUAUCCAAUACCCAAAACUCUGAGCAAAAAAUUAAUUCAUUCCAAACUAUGUAUACCUCUAAGUAGGGUUAGAUUCGGUUCCAUUCGGUUUGAUUUUUUACCAUAACCGAAAAUCAAACCGAAGUUACUAUUCGGUCCGGUUUGGUUCGGUUUUUUGUCGGUUUUGUGCGGGUUUGAUUUUUUUCGGUUCGGUUUCAGUUCGAUUCAAUUUUUUUUAAAAUAAUACAAAUAAUGCCGAAUACAAUGAAAGUUGAAGAAAUUGGAAGAAAAACUAAUCUUUAGCUAAAAAUAUAACACUUGAAAUCCAUUCUAGAUCAAUAAAAUUGCAAACCCAAGUCACUCAUAUCUAUCAAAAUUGACCCAUAUCAAAGAAUAACAUCGACAAGAAUUAUAUAUAAUUUGCACCACACUUUGUCGAAUCUUCCAGAUAGAAGCUUAGUGACCGAGGAGAAGAAGUCCAUCAGAACAGUUGUGAUGAAAGGUGGCUAGAUCUGGUGCACGUCAACAAUGGCGAGCGAGAACCACCUUAUUGUCGACGAUGGCAAAAGCCAUGGCUGACUUCGGCAGAGGUAUGAGUUGGAUAGUGGGAUAGAGAGAGAUGCAGCAAUGGAGAAAAAAAGAAAGGGAAAGAAAUGGGUGAGAAGGAGAUGAGAGAACAAAAGAAAAAAGCAAGAGAGAAAUGGGAGAGAGGAAGGUGACGGCAUGAGAGGAAAAAAAUAGAGAGAAGGAACACGGCUGGGGAGAAGAAAUGAAGGAAUAAUUAGUAUGCUAGGGUUUCUAACUUUCUAAAAGGAGGCCUAACAUUCUAUUUGGGCUUGAAGGGUUUGAAGUUUGAGCUUGGAAUUAGUUUGGAAAUAAAUACCCAUUAUAUAUAAUACUUAAAAAUUUAUAUAAAAAUAAUAUAUAUUUAUUUGGUUCGGUUCGGUUUGGUUUUCGAACCCUAAAAACCAAAACUGAACCAAACUAUUUCGGUUCAAUUAUGUUUUGUACUUUCAGUUCAGUUUUUUUAGUUGAACAUUUUCUUUUGUAUUUUAUGCAAUGUGACGGUAAGCAUAUCACAUAUCUUUUAUGAAAAUGGAACUAUAGUUCCUAAUAUUUAAAUUUGAGUUCGGAUACUUAAAAGGUUAUCCAAUGUACUUUCUCUUGAUGUUCAAUAAAAGAUCGGCGCAGCUAACAGGCACUACUCCUAGGUUUCAAAUUGUUCCCAUAUCGAAAUAAAAUCUGAUUUAACCUAUAAAUGUGCUUGUGCACAUGUUGAAGUAUUAGGUUUAUAGUCAACGACCCUUGUACAUGUUUAAAUAUUGGGUUCAUAGUCAACGACCCUUGUUAUUAUAUUUGUGAUCUUUCCUAUUCUAGAUACAAAGUACAUUAGGCGUGAACAAAUAGCUUAGCUGUAGGAUUAUACAAUAAAUCCAAAGUGUACAUGUACAUGCACAUGCACAGUUCUUCCAGUGAAAAAUAACGAAGUCUUAUUAGUGACACUGAAUCUUCAUACGCUAAGCCUGAAAAUCUAAAGCUUCAGCCAUGGUGGCUCGAAAUCAGUCUAAUCAGAACCCGUCCUCUCAAAGCGAUAGAUGAAAUUUUAAUGAACUAAACUAACAAUUAGUUAACUAGUCAACUUUUUUUUCAAACGAUAGAUGAAAUUUAUUAACAAUUAAGUGUGAACGAUACAUCAGACCAUCAGCGAAGGUGUUGAAAAGCCAUAUUGGUUAUCAAUCUACCCAUUGAAACACCUAUCUCUCUUCAAAAAUAUAAGCAGGCACCUUAUGUGCUUCGACGUUGCAAUUCCAAGAACAAAACUUGAAUACGACGGACCACAAAUGAGAAGCUAACACACAAAUGUCAUGAAUGAUUUCUUCCACCAACACCUCCAUACACUACAAAAACUAUGGGCAUUGCACACAAUAAAUUAUUUGUGCAACAACUAUUAUAUUAUGUGUGCCCCCUAUGGACGUUACCUUUGAUGAAAGGGCACAAUAUGACUUUUUGUGCUCAAACAGACAAAUAGAUGUUUUUUUGUGCCUACAUUCUGAUAGUCUGUCAAACAAUCUAACAACCAGCUGACAGGCACAGUUUCAAAAAUUUGAAAAAUCAAAACAGGCUACAAGCUGAAAUCCUCAUAAAAAAAUAAAAAAUAAAAAACGUGUACUUUAGCCCGGCAAAACUGAUAUAUCCAACAAAACUUAAGCAAUCCAUGCAUCUCUAGUACAUACUUCCAACCUAAUAGAGAAAACAAAUUUACUCAAGUUCCUUAUUUACUUUCUGGCAUGAAAAUUCAUAUCAUGCGUUAUGGAAAAAAUAAUCAGCUGCAAGGUAGUUACAACAUAUUCUGAUCUCCAGCACAUACAGAAAACAGAACCUCCAAGCCAUGGAGGUGUAGAAACAUUAUUUGAGUGAACAUAUCAGGAUAAUCCUCAUGGCUACCCUCUUCUUGGUGCCUGUCCAUUGGUUAGUGUUCAUCAACAACCUACUUGCAUAAAAGGCAAAAUUAUUAAAAGAAAAAGAAAUUGAAAGAUAAUCCUCAUGCAUCUCUACCAUGGAUCCAAUUACUAAAUUCUCUUCUCUCAAUGCUGCCACACCAUAAAAGAAAAGUUAACAACAAAUAAAUAAUUAAGAUAAUGGGGGACGGGUGGCAUCAAAACAACUCCUCCAAUUUAAUAUGGACUAGCAACUGUCAAACCAAGCUUUUAGGAAGCCUUUGAAAAAAAGAAAUGGGGUGCUUUGGUUUUUACAUUAGAACUCAUAAACUUGAUCUGAGGAUAUCGAAAUUGUAAAGAAAUACCUGAAUUCAGAUUGGAACCCCACAUCUAAGCCAAACACCGGACUUAGGACUGGUUUGGUAUUGCUGUGCUUUGAAAAAAAGCUGCUGUGAGAAUAAGCGGCUGUGAAAUAAAUCAACAGAGUGUUUGGUAAACUUUUUUGUAAAAAGUGCUUUUGGAAAAAAAAAAAAAAAAGCAGUCUGAUAGUGGGUCUUUUCAUUAAAGGAGCACUGUAGCUCCAACUCCGUGUGCUUUGAAAAAAAACCAGUUUUCCAAAGCUGCAAAUAGCAGCUUUAGCUUUUUCCUUUGAUUUCAGCUUAUUCUCACAGCAGCUUCCAAAAUAAGUCAUUUUUUUCAGUUUACCAAACACCUAAAACCCUCACAACUUUUUUUCAUGGGUGCUUUUUUUUAAGCACCUCACUCCCAAACCACCCCUUAUUGCAACACCAAAACUCUCAAAUAGUACCAAAAUUUUGCAAUGUGCAGAGAAAUACUAAAACAUUUCAACCACAAUCAAAAUCCCUAAAAUUAAUUUAUCCAAACCCUAAAUCUAAGAAUUUUAACAAAUACUUUAGCAUCAAUUGAGAGGGGAAUUGAGAGAAUACCAUAUACACGGUAUGUUACCCGUGGGUCACACUCAACAACAUAUCCAAGCUGCUCCUUCGUCCUAUUUCCAGAAAUAGCAGACAAUUAUAUGAACAUAUAUUCAAAUAUAUUUGAAAACAUUAUUAUUAGAUCUCAGAUUCUUUUGCUAGGCAGUAUGCAAGUAAAAGUAUCAUCCUCAAAUAAAAUCACCUUAGUUGAUUGAAAAGUGGUUCCUCCACAAUUUCAUCGAAAAGAUCUAUCAAUGCUUUCAAUCGGAUUGACUCAAUCCCUGCUUCUUGCUCAACUUGAAAAAAACAGCUGCAAUAUGAAACCACAACCAAGGGAAGAAUAUCAUAGUACAAACAAAGAUAGUACACCUUCAUAAAGGGAAACCAAAACGAAAAUGUUCCAUUUUGAGUUACCUCAAUCACAGAGUUCGUUUCCGACUUAUUCUUCACAUUGGAAUCUCUAAUCAGGUUAGCACCAGGAGGAAGACAAAUAACGUACUCUUCAUGCCUCAAUUUGAUAGGCAGUGGUGGUACAGAAAAAUUCGAUUUGAAUAUAUUUGACAGGGUAAUUGCUUCGUCCUCUAACAAAUUUCCAUGGCAAAGGCCCCCAAUGUAUAGCUGCACAUAUUAAAGGGAGGGUAAGCUUAAGCAAAUGCCUUAAUGAAACUAAUUCUAAGAGCAUUGACACAAAAAAAAAACAAAUGAAUAAUUCUAAAAUCAAAUACAAAAAAUUAUUUUUAAAUAAAAGUCAAAAUUAAGUAUUGGAAACUGUCCGAUUCUCUUACUAGAACAUACUACUCAGCACUUAUCAAGUUACAUGUCAAAGUGAAAGAAUAUGAGGUCAAGAAGCCUGAACCGCAUGGAUUUCUCUUGAAAAUAUACCCGGCUGGAGGAUGAUGUUAAGAACUUGAGUUUUACAAAUUGAUAGUAGUAACCUAUAACAAAUAUAGGUACAUUUGUGUAGUGUAUCUGGGAACAAAGCUCGGGAAUGAAUGACUUCAAAUCAGAAAUAGACAAUUCAUCCAAAACAUGCAACUUCUCAUCUGCAUCAUAAAAAAUUUGACACAGAACUUGCAGUCUUAAGUAUGAUGAGUGACUCAGAGGCUUCAUAUUAGUGUUCUUUAACCUUCGCUUCAUAUCUUCUUUAACGACCUGUUAAAGUGUCAAUUAGCAAUGGACAAGCCAAAAGAAACAAACAAGGUAUGCAAAAUCAAAUUUAAACCAGACAUAGAGUGGAGUGAUGGAAACAAAAGGCAACACAUGUACCUUAAAACAAUCAUCUGUUGGCAUGAAACUUUUGGUAGUUGCCAACACUUUUGACAACACUUUUCACAAUAACAAAUAAGUAAAAUAGAGAAAACUUUACCUCCAUCAAGCAGAAUUUAGCAUCUUCCAUCUUCACCAUAGCAAGUGGACUCAUCUAAACCCUAGCUGAACCAAACCAAAAUCAAGAUUUCCAAAGUUAAUUCCAACCGUUAAUUUCUAUAAAAUCAUACGUCAAAAGGUUAAAAAAAAACAAAAUUGAAGGGUUUUACAUGGGUUUGCGAAUGCAAGAAUUUGAAUUUCCAAAAACCCACUACUGUAAAAACCCCCAAAAUCCCGAGUUUUAUACCCGAAAAAGAAAGAAAAUUUUCAAAACAUCAAACCCUAAAAAACAAAACCCACAAAUAUGCCCUCCCUAAGGAACCAUCCGAGAUUCAAAUCAGAGAAAUCACACAGAAGGGAUUGGAGAUUAUCACAUCAACUUGGAAGAGGUAACCUUCGAGCGAGAAAAUCGUGAUCUAACGAUCGUAUCCACCUCAUCUUCCUCGGCUCAUGAUUUGAAUGCUUCGAUUUCUUAGCCUCUUCUCCUUUUCUGGUUUUUAGGGUUCCUCUGAAGUGGCGUAUCAGACCUCUGAGCUUCUUCUUCUAUCAUCGUGAUUCUGCAAGCCGUAAGCUCUCUCUCUCUCUUCCUCACUGCAAGUCGAAGGCUCUCUCUCGUAACCCAUCCCCUCACCAAAUCCCACAUAGCCGUUGAUACCACCGACUGCAAAAAAGAGAGGGAAAUAGAAAAAUUUGGGCAAAAUGAUACAGAGAGAGAGAGCUUGGGGUAGAAGAGAGGCUUGGUUCGAUUGGGAAAGGGAAAUCGAGAGAGAGAGGAGAGGCGGAGGAACUGAGGAGAGGGUGGGUUUGGAUGGGGAAACAUAGAGAGGCACAAGGAAGGAAAGUGAGGAAUGUGUGAGGGGUGAAGAUUGAGGAAAAUGUUUUUUAUUUUGUUUAAAACAUUAUUUUGAACAAAGGACACAAAAAAUCUAUUUUAGGUCUCGUUUGGUAGCUUGGAUUGUAUUGACUAUUUAUAUCGGAUAUGAUAAAUAGUUACUGGAUAGUACUGACUAAAUUAGUCAGGUGUUUGAUGCAGUAUCAGACUAAUGAUCGUAUUAUUUAUACUGUGUUUGGUACUGAACCGGAUAAGAAAAAUAAUCUUUUUUAUGUUUGAUGAACUUUUCUCUCUCCCCUCCCCAGAUUUCCGAUUCUCCUCCCCCCCACUCCCUCCUCCUCCAUCACUCCGUCCCCAGAUUUCUGGGUUCUAUGGGUGUUUGAUUCAGACAAGAAGGGGUUCGGAGGUCCAAAAACAGCUUUGUUUCGAGGAUAGAGGUUGGCAGACAGUUGAAACUCUAGAAAAUGGUGGAGAAUGAUCCUUCAGGCAAAAACGGGAUGUGAUGAAUGGUCAUAAUUCGCAAAUGAAAAUGCGAGAGAUGGGUGUCCGCCCCAAAGCCUGUUACAACAAUUGGGCACUCUCCUCCUAUACCAUCUAAUCCCCAUUCUACUUAAAAAAUAAAAAAAAUAAUAAAAAAUAAAAAAAACGAGGCAGAAAGUUGCAGAAAGUUGAAUUUGAUUUUCACCCCGUAAAUUACUCACAAGCUUUGAAGCUCUAGAAAAUGGCAGAAAGUUGUAGAAUUUAAAGCUCUGUUGUGUUAGAUAAUGGCGGAUGCAAAAAACCCAGAAAUUAGAAAUUACAGCAAAAUUCCAUAAAACAGAGGGGCGAAACCUGGGAAGAAGAAAAAGAUGAAUGAUAAUAUGAACUUGGAUUCAGACGAAGAAGAAGAUGAAUGAUGGUGGGGCAGAACCUGGGAGGAUAAGGAGAGAGCUAGCCCGACUAAAUUGUCCGGUGGUUUUAGACGGGAUAAAUAGCCGGAUGUGAGGGGUAUAAGAUAAGUGGGUCCAGAUUAAAUAUUUCGGUGCUUAUUUUAUACAAAGCUCACCAAACAUCUGCUUCGUAUUAUUAAUACUAUCUGGUGGUACUAUCCGGUGUGCUAAACAAGAUCUUACUUUAAAUAUAUUAAAUUACAGGGCACGAUAAUAUUUAUGGUGUCAUUGCAAAUUAAUAAAAAAUUUCCAUUGCUGAUAGUAAAGGCACAAAAGUCAUAGUUAUGUGCCCAAUAAUGUGUUUGUGUCUAUUUUUCUUCACAUUGGUGCCCAUUACGAAAUGAACAUUGUUCCACCCUAUUGAUGUUUAAACAAACACAAACACCUCAUUUGUGUCCCUAAUUUAAUGCCCAAAGACCAUUUUUCUUGUAGUGAUAAUUCAGUAUUUUAUUUUAUCCUUGAACAUGACAGUAAGAUGUGGUCCUUCAUCCAUAUCAACAUUAAUAAACUCAGAUCUAUACAAUUUUAUCUAAGAUUUAUGCAUGUUAUGCAAGAAUCAUGCUGGCAAGAGAUACACCAAGGUAUUCUACAUAAUAAUGGUUUUUUUUUUUUAAUACGAUCUGUAUGUAUGGUUACAAAAUGUCAACAUGCAUUAUUGUAAAAUGAAUAAUACUUGGAAGUGGAGGAAUAUUAAUCAGUUAAUAUACUAUUAAUCAAUUGUGGGAUAAAAAUUUAUUCACCACAUAUACUAAUGUAUGUGACAUGAUUUGGCACCUAGCUAGCUAAACUAAUACCCUGUGACAGUGACAAUGUAUAUGAAUCUCCUUCUUCUUUAAUAUAAGCAAAACGGAUCGGGAUAAACAUUCCAAAGUUUUAAGUAGCCACUUCUUCCAUGUUUUACAUUUCAAUUCCUCUUAAUAGAACUGAUCAUAGUUAAGUUGACCACAAUAGUAUACUUUUCUUUUAUAUCUAAUUCGAAUUCUCUUGCACAUAGUUAAAUUUAAAUAAUGUUUAUAUAUAUAUAUAUAUAUAUAUAUAUAUAUAUAUAUAUAUAUAUAUAUAUAUAUAUAUAUAUAUAUAUAUAUAUAUAUAAUCUCAAUUCCUCAUGUAACAAGAUACCACAUCACAUAAUUUAAUAGAGGCAUGUAAGAACAUCUCCAAGAGAGUCUAUAAAAUUAAAUUUGAAGUGCCAUGUAGGAUUUUUAGUAGUCCAACAAAGUUGUUAGAUAAGUCUUCAAAUUUUAAAAAUGCCUAUACUCUCUAGACUCUAGAUUUAUAGACUAUAUAUCACACACUUCAAACAUUCUUUUUAGGAUAAAUUAUAUUCUGUCACCUCAACUUUGGCCACAUAACAAACUCUUACCACAUCUUUUGAAAUUGCAUGUCAUACAUCGCCUUACAAAUUCAUUACAAUGUCAAACCUCUGUUAAAAAUUUGUUAAGUAGUCAUUAAAUAAUGAUACGGCAACAAUGGAUUCUAUAUUUGUGCUAACAUAUCAAAUGACUUGUGCAACAUGGCCAAACAACUAAUAAAAGUUUAUCUAAUUAUUAAAGAUUAUUCAAUUCAUUUAAUAUUUUAUUAAAAAAUAAAAAUAUUAAAAUAAAUAAAAAUAAAAUAAAAACCCACAUCCCUUUCCUUUUUUUUUUUUGGUAGAAACUGAAAAUGCAUUCCAAAACACAGCAACGGCCGAAGUACAUUAAGAAAGCCAGACAAGGCUAAUAGGAUUAACAAAACAAAAAGGAGCAUCGAAUACAAGUAGACACCAAUACUACAAACCAAGCGUCAUUCCCCACUCCAAUAAACUACUUAAGAAAGUGGACAUGGCAAUCCAUCCUUGUUUAAGAUUCUAACCAACGAAGAUGGUGGUUUGUUAAUCCUACAUUACUCGCUCAUCUCCGUACCCACAUUGGUUGCAACGAAAUUUGUCGCUUCAUUCGCUGAUCUUGCCAUCCAAGACCAUUUACAAAUCUGGAAAGAUUUCCCAACAUUUACAAUAUGAUUGACAAUGGGAAAAAUUUCCCAGCUACAAUUUCCUUUUCCUUCAUUAAGAGUCGAAAUUACCUGCUUUGAGUCAAACUCCACAAUUAAGCAGGGAUAAUUCCUUUGCUUUGCACUUAGACAACCUUGAAGCACCGCCUUAGCCUCCGCAAUCAAAGCAUUCGAAGCACGGACUUUCUUCCUUUCCAUGCUCUUGCAUCUUCCUUGUGAGUCUCUAAUCACAAUGCCCACAUAUCCUUCGGUACUCCUGAGUUUCCAACUUGCAUCAACAUUCACUUUUAUUAUUUGUGAAGGGGGAGGAGACCAGGGUAUCCUUCUCCUCUGAUUUUCCAUACCUGGGGAUUGCUGGACACUUAUCAAUUCCUUCGCCGUUUGGAAAGUCGUACUGGUACAAGUGAUAGCAUGAAUGGUUUGAGAAGGAGAUGGAUUUUGAUGAUUAAAAACAGCUUUACACCGAGUUUUCCAUAUAUGCCAACACGUGAAAGCCAUUAAUGUUAUAAAUCUCUUCCUAUCCUCUUUUGUUGCAUAGUUCACUUUCAGCUUUUCCAUCAACUAAGCAUUGAUAUUUGUCACUGAACAUCUAUCAAUCUUGUAGCCAAGCAGACCUCUAAACCAAACUAGCUCCACCCAUGGGCCCAUGGGCACGUAAGGAGCAUGUGAUCCACAGUCCCCUCAUAUUCAUUACAAAUUGGGCAUAUUGGUGAUGAAACACACUUCUUCUUGAAUAAAUUUGCAUGCGUUGCAAUCACCCCUUUCGGUACUCUCCAAAUAAUAUUCCUAAUUUUUUACGGGGCCUCAAGACUCCAAAUCCCCUUCCACACUAACGGAUCCGUGAUGCACGAAGAAGACGACCACUGAUUCUGGCUCCUCCUUUUCUUGCUUCAAAUCCAUCUAUAUCCUGACUUCACAGAGAAAUUUCCUUUCUUUUCCAUUGGCCAUAUCAGUUUGUCAUUAGAUUCAAAAUCUCCUACAUUUGUUGCUUCAAUUGCCAAACACUCCUCCUUCGAAAUUAAAUUCCGAAUAAAGUUUAAGCACCAAAUUCUAGUGUCCUCCUGAAUAAUUGAUGCCACAUUCUGGUUUUUAUCAACACACACUCCAUCUAUAGGAUUCGGAUGUCCAUUUGUAAUCUCGGGCAACCAUUUAUCAACCGACAGCUUGGUUUGAUGUCUGCUCAUGACCUGCCAAUGGGCACCCUCCAUAAGUAUCUCCCUACCUUCCAAUAAGCUUGACCAAAUCCAAGAUACUUGCCCAUCAUUUUUUGCCUCCAAAAACGAAGCAUGAGAAAAAUAUCUCUCCUUCAGCACUUUAGCCCAGAGAGUAUCAGGUUCAUGAAUAAGUCUCCAACACUGCUUUGCUAGUAGGGCAAGAUUGAAAUCCUUCAUAUUUCUAAAACCCAUUCCCCCCUCACCUUUAGCAUAUCCCAUCUUCCCAACAAAUCCAAUGUAUUCUUCUUUCCUUCUCCUUCUGGCCCACCAAAAUUUUGCAAGCACUGCAUCAAUUUCUUUGCAUAACUUAUCGGGAAAUUUAAAGACAAACAUAAGAUAAGUCAAGAUUGCUUGUGCACAUCCAAUUCCUUUGCCCUCACCUCUCUCUCCCUUUCUUUUUGAGCCCUACCCAUUUAUCUCUUUCUCUAACCACCUACAUAUCCAUAUUGGAGGCUAGUGGAAGGUGGGGUUUUAGAUAGGAUGAGAUUUGAAUGGCUGGUGGGAGCCGUGGUAGUCCUCGAGGGAAUCAAGAGGGUGGUGUCGACAAGCUCGUGGUCAAGUCAGUCACCAAGAGGCUGGUGUCGACGAGCUCGUGGUCAAGUCGGUCGCCAAGGGUUUUGAGGAUGGGACAGAUUUAGGAAACGUCGAAAACGGCGCGUUGAAUGGCAGUGAGGAUUUUGGGGUUGGAGAGGUGGGGCAUCUAGUUAAGGAUGGGGGGCUGGUCAGAAGGAUGGGCGUCGAUGUGGAUUUUGCAAAGGUCGGGAGGGAAAAAAGAAAUAAAAAAGAGAAAGGAAAAAAAAAGUGUAAAAGGGUAAAAGGAAGGGAAGAAAAAGGAAAAAAUUGACUUGAAUGACAGUUAAUGUAUCAAACGAAUUUUUAAGUUAAGGUAUGACAUUACAAUAUUUAAAGAUUAGAUAUGAAAUUAUGGUGCAAACAUAAAUUGAGGUGGUUUAGGGUAAUUUACCCUUUCCUUUUAUUAUGGUAGUGUGUCAUUGUUAACUUUUUCUUAAAAAUGAAAUACUAAAAAAAAAAGCACAUGAUUAACAGUAAUAGAAGAAUACUAAGACUUGUGAGUCUGUUGUAUUGAAGUUUUCAAAAUGCCAAGUUGAUCAAUAAAUUUGUAUUUAAAAAAUCACAUUAAAGAAAAACUGUUGGGGAUGCUCUAGUAAACUAAUAACAUAUUGACAUCUAAAAUAUCAUAUUUGUUUCAUCAUCAAUAACGUUAGCAAAAGUGUAGAAUAUACUUUCACACAGCUGUGUCUCAAAUAUUUUAUUACAUAGAAAAUAAACAAAAACUGGGGAAAGAAAGAAAUCGAUUGCAUGAUAUCAGCACACAAUAUUUGUAUUUUGUUUUUUCGAAGGGCCUUUUGGCCAACUUAACAAUUUACAACGCGAAAUGAACCACGUAUCGAUCACGUUAGCCUUCUUAAAACAGUGAUUUAAUUUCAAACUGGGAACUAUUAGAGUUUAAGUGUUUGCAAAGUUUGCUUACUGUUCGUGCACAUUUUCUUGUAACAGAGAAGAGAGAAAUCUCUUGAGUUCCCCGUUGUAAACAAAUGGUCCUUCCACUUGAACAAGAUGGCCGGUCUUCUCAAUGGACUUUAGAGUUGCGUUGUCUCCUAGUUGGCUGUAAUAUAAUCAGAAGACCCCAAAAUAAAUGGAUUAUCAGAAAGAUUUUUAUGACUAUAACAAAUUAAGUGUUGCUAGAGAGGCUACAUGAAGUCUUGAACAUAUUUUUUAGGCCAAACGAUGUAGCAGUUGAUUGUUGGAUUUCAUUUUAUAAGCACUAUAGAAGGAAUCCAAUCAUCAACAGCGUCACAUCAUAUCGUAUAUAAAGUAUCGUCUAAAAACAUGGUCCAUUGGCAUUCUCUGUGAUUUGAUCCAUUUUAGGUUUUAUAUCAAAGUGAAAGUUCUUGAAUGAGUAAAAUAAUGCAUUGUCUAAGACAAGUUGGGCAUACUUCUUGAGAUUUUUGGCAGUUUCCAUGUCGAAAAUCUUGUCAUUCUCUCCCCACAACAGAUGCACCCGCUGCAAGAAAACGAGUCAUUUGUAUCAAAGGAAAGUUUUGGAGAAAAAAAAAUUAGAUAGAUCACUUUCUUUGAUUGCUUUACGAUCCGUUUAAUAGCCAUUUCAGUUUUCAGCUUUCACAAAAAUAGUUUUCAGUGUUGGGUUUUCAAUACUAAACAAGUUUUCAGUUUAAAUAUAAAAACUAAACAAAAAAAGAAAUGGUUAUCAAACAACUCUUAACAUUAUCAGAUUGUUUGUAAUCUAUUCUAUUAAGAGAAGAGGGCUUGUCAACUUUUUGCCCCAUUUUCUUCCAAUUUUACCCUCACUUUUGAAUACACAAUAUUGACAUGAGGAGGGAAAAAUAGUAAUUUUGUAUCUUUUGACAAAAUGAUAAUCAUAUCCCUAUUUUUACUAUUUUACCUUUUUUUUUUUUUUUUAUGGAAAACUGACAAUUACUUAUUUUUCCAUUGAUACACAAUAUUUGCAUAAGGAAGACAAAACAGUAAUUAUGUAAUAUUAAAAAAAAAUAUGCACUUAUUAAGAGAAAUUGUUCACAGACAAAUAAUAGUAUAGAAAAAAAAUAUGCACUUAUUAAGAGAAAUAAUUUACACACUUUGUGUGUGUGCUAUGUGCUAGUGUAUAUGAAGAAAACCUGUGGGUAAUGAGCAGCUGUAAAGUCCUUGUCAUCCACAACCAAUGCCGCCAAAAGUUCCUCCAUCUCUUCUCUAUGUUCAAACAUAACCUGCAGCCACAAUGCCCAUAUAUGCAUUGACUCAAAUGUUUAAGAGUCAAAAGAAGCAUGAACCUAGUACUAAUCCAGAUCAACAUGCGUGGGUUACUUAGUUAGCAUAAUUAACUAUCUAAUUACUCCAAAUAACAUACCUCCAAAUAGUGUUUGCAAAUCCAAUCGGGGAGAUGUGGAAAUUUAUAGGUAGCAAUUUCAAAUAUGUUUCUCACACCCUUAACUGAGUCGGGAAGCAAGUAAUCUGACCAGCAUUUGAACCCCAGUCUCUCAAGAGAUGCAUUGGUGAUUGAUCUGGUCAAAGCCAUAACGGAGCAAGUCACCACCAUAGACUCAACCAAAUUAGGGUACAACUCAGCCAUCUUAAACCCAACCAUGCCUCCAUAGCUCAACCCCACCAAGGUGCACCUCUCCACCCCAAGCAUCCUCAAACCCUUUGCCACACACUCCGCUUGAAACUCCGGUGACCUAUCCGGUUUAUCCGUGGUGGAGCCGCCAAAGAAGAGAAGGUCCGGAACGUAAACUGCGUAGUCUUUGGCAAGAGAUAGCACUUGAAAUUGCCAUGUUGUGAUGCCAUCCAUUGCAAACCCAUGGAUGAAUACCACGGCUGGCUUGAAUUUUUGGUUUUCUGUAAUUUUGUUGGGGACCCAGAAGUUCAUGACAGUUCCUGGCUCGAUUUCCACAGUUUGGGAUCUCAUCCCUACUAGCUUCAUAACCCCGCGCAGAAUAAACUUGCAGACUGCAAAAAUGUUCCCCAUCUCUCUCCCACUCUCUCCCCUUAACACCACACCUUUUUUUUAAUGUGUUAUCCACACACUCCAUUUUACUUCUCACACACCCCUUGAUAAUUUUUGUCCGUUGAUCUUCUUCAAUUCAUCCGAUCCGACGGCCGAAAAUUAAAAAUGUGUAUGAGAAGUAAAAUGGGGUGUGUGGAUAUCAGACCCCUUUUUUUUUCUCCAUGUUGAGUUGAUGAUAAAACUUUUCAAACUUACCGGUACUCAAACCUUUAGUGAACAGGUUCGCAACUUGAUCAUCUAUCUUAAUUAAUUAGCAGCAUCUCAAUUUCUUCUUCUUGUAGAACCUUCUCUCUGAUAAAAUGGCAGUGUAUCUCCACAUGCUUACGGAACCAUCUUGAUGGUAAGGGUCAUUUUAGGGACCAUUUAUGAGGAAAAACCCUUAUCAAAAUAAAUGGCUUUUAAUAAUUGACAAAAAAAAGGGCUUUUAAAUAUUGAUGCAAAUAAUAACAACCUAUUUAUAUACACAUAGUUGAAUAAUUGGGUCAUUUUAGGGACCAUUUAUGAGGAAAAACCCUUAUCAAAAUAAAUGGCUUUUAAUAAUUGACAAAAAAAGGGCUUUUAAAUAUUGAUGCAAAUAAUAACAACCUAUUUAUAUACACAUAGUUAAUCAACAUCAACACAGAGAUCACAAGAUGUCUUAUAUCACAGGGAGUGUUGAAGCACAUCAUUGUAAUUCGAAAGUUUCCACGAACCCAGUUGAAUGCCAUAACAAAGUACCACAUAACUUGCCCAAUAAAUAAAUACAACAACAACAAAGCAUUUUCCCACUAAGUGGGGUUGGCUAUAUGAAUCCUAGAACGUCAUUGUGUUCAGUUAUGUGUCACGUCUUCCAUUAGAUCCAAGUACUCUUAAGUCUUUUCUUAUAGUCUCUUCUAAAGUCUUCCUAGGUCUUCAUCUACCCCUUUGGCCCUAAACCUCUGUCUCGUAAUCCCAUCUUCUAACUGGAACGUCAGUAGGCCUUCGUUUCACAUGUCCAAACCACCGUAACUGAUUUUCUCUCAUAUUUUCUUCAAUUUCGGCUACUCCUACUUUACCUCGGAUAUCCUCAUUCAUAAUCUUAUCAUUUCUCGUGUGCCCACACAUCCAACGAAACAUUCUCAUCUCCACUACACCUAUUUUAUGUACGUGUUGAUGUUUUCACAUCCCAACAUUCCAUGCCUUAAAGCAUUGCUAGCCUUAUUGUUGUCCUAUAAAAUUUUCCCCAAUAAAUAAAUAAUUAAAAAAAAUGAUAAAAAGGGGCAAAAAAAUAACAAGAUAGAUUGACCAGCAAAUCUAUCAAUGUUUCCUUCCUAUAAGCUCAGUCCCUGAUCAAAUUGUGAUUGAGCUCUAUAAACCAUCAAACCACAACAAAGGUUUAGUUUCAUGAAUCACAACUAGACAAAACACAAAACCUUAAUCCAUUAAUCAAAUAUUGCAAACUAACCGGAAGAAUUCCCAUUUGAUGAAGUCAUGAAGCUAUGAAAGUGAAUAAUUGCUAGCCGAGCCUUCUUCUCUCUGUCAGUACACUUUAUGCUCAAACUAAUAAUAUGACUUAUUUCCGUAAAAGAGUGUAGUACUGUGAGAAUAGAGGUUCCAAUAUAUAUAGGCAUAUACAAUCAUUGUCAUAUCCCAAUAUGGACUCCCUGUUACAAUCCAUAUAAAAAACUGUAUGUGUUUUCUCACCUUUCUCAAUUCAAUACUAUAGUAAAAUCCUUCAUAAACAAGAGUUUGCAUUCAUCUUCUAAUAAGGCAUUCUUUAGACUAAUUGGACUUAAACAUCAAAUGUCAAAACAUCUAAUCUCAUGCUCAUGCUCAUACUCUUACAUUAUCCCACUUGAGCAUGAGAUCAAUUUUAGACACAACCUAACCAAUUACAAAGAAGUGAUCACACAGCCUUAUUCAAGAAUUUACCAUCAUGACUAAUGCUCCAUUGCAUCUCAAAAUAUAGAAACUAAGAACCUUCAACUACAAACCAAAUACAGUAUUAAUUCAAAGUCCACACAUAUUCAAUCUGCAAAUUUAACUCAUGAUCAAACCGAUAUAUAAAGAGUCAUUCAACAAUUUGCUCCCACUUUUCAAAAGAUCAAUGUGUAUUAAUCACAAUUGAAAGCAGCAUGUCUAACAAUUAAACAAAAAACAAUUCAUAACCAAUAGCUCAAACAAUAACUUCAUUAGGAAUAAACUAAUUGCAUCAGACCUUUUCAAUAUUGCAGCAGCAAACGAAUUACUCUCACUGAUCAAAACCUUCUAGCACUCUCAUCAGAGAAACAUGUGACUUGAACUCUCCAAUUAUUGGCCAAAAUGGAGAAAGGAAAUUCCAUUACAAUUUUGUAAGAAUGUGGAAAAAUGGACCUAUUUAUAUGUCUAUAAUACAAAUAGCCAAAUGAUGUUGAACCAAGGAGGCUACAUAUGGGCAUUUGUAAUACAGUGAAAUACACUCACAUGAUAUAACAUAAGGUUACUAAUUGAAACCUGAAAUUAUACUCCUAUAAACGAGUUCAUAUAAAUGGAGAAUUAUAUAUGAAGGGUUGUGAGUCACCCAAAUUAUGUCUCCAUAAGUAAAUCCCUCAAGUAUACAUGGGAGCAAAUUGCUCUGUAUAAGUUCUAAAAGGGUAAUGUGUCAUGAAGUGUAGAAAAUCCAUGAAUGAUUCAAAUUGUUUGAAGUAAGCGGUAAAGCAUAAAUUAUAUACUCAAUACGAGUGGAUGGUAUAAAUUUCCUUAGUGAGUACUAUCAUUAUGAUAUUGUUGCAACAUACUAAAAUCUCUUGCAAGAGUUGAUGAUAUUAGAUUUGAACUCCUGAAUAGUCUAGAAAGAUUAUAAAGUGUUGAAAUGAAUAUUAUCUCGAGCUGCAGAUCGAACAGUAUGCCAACAUGAAUCUUAUCCAUGAUGUUUAUGAUAUUAAAGAACCAUAUGGGUUGAAGAUUAUGAGUUAAAUACUCAAAUAAUUAACCAAUGUUUAGACACUAAGAAUGAUCAUUUAUCUUCAUGAGGGAAAAGAUAAAUUGAUAUUUGGUCCAGAAGGACCACAUCUUAGUGAAGUAUAUGCUUUAUUAUAUUUAGCACAACAUUAUUCUUCCACAUCUUAGUGAAGUAUAUACUUUAUUGUAUUUAGCACAACACUAUUCUUAUCCAUUAAAAGGUUCAUUGAUUUAUAUUCUUGGAACUAGAAUAUUUCAUCGUUUGCUCAUUUAUUUAUUGAUUAUGGAACCAGAAGUUUUCAUGGGUUUCUAUAUCUAACAAGUUGGAAUAAAAAAUUUCAGAGACACAAGGAUUAUACAUUACUUGGCAGAACCCCAAAAGGAGGUGGCACUAGAGACAGAUCAUGUGAAGCCUCAAGUACUUGGCAGAACACUAGAAGGGGGAGGCACUAGAGAUUGAUCAUGUAAAGCUUCAGUACUUGGCGGAACUCCAAAAAGAAGAGGCACCGAAGAUUGAUUAUUUGGAGCCUCAAUACUUGGUAAAACUUGAUUAUUUGGAGCCUCAAUACUUGGUAAAACUCCAGACGACGAUUGCAAUUGGUGCCUUUGGAAUAAAGCCACAAACCUCUGAUGGUCACUUUGAAUCCGACUUUCAGAUUCCUGCAACUAGUCAAGCUUUCUUUUCAUGCUCAUUGAGUAAUUAUUUGCAAGCAUGUGCAACCCUCUAUUUAUGUACUUGAGCAAUCUGAUCUCUCAUCUAAGAUUUGCCACCUCAGUCAUUAAUGAUUCAACUUAGUGAGUUCGAGUAAGUAGGCGUUGGCCCAUAUUUGAUACAGAGCUCACACACUGAACACUGAAAACCAGAGAGUCUUGAACAACUAAUUUGUCGAACUGUUUUGAAAGUAUCUUUUUAUACUUGGGAGUGAGAAGAUUCCAAGCUAUCAUUGUAACAAUUAUGUUAUUCUUUAUCACAGAGUCCCCAACCGUAAGAUGACCAUUAGUGGAUAAGAAGGAUGGAUGACAUAGAUUGUCUUGAGGAGACAUGUUUGCAUAUUCCACAACAUUCAAAUUGAAACGACAGUCAGAUAGGCAAGCCAUUUUCAGAAAUGAUGAAGGAAAAAAAGGUUAGAUAAAUUGAAAUCUCAUAAAUGCAAAACGAGGAAAUUUAUACAAGCAGCAACUUUCUGAGCUUGCUUUUAAACACAAUUGAUGCCUCUAUAAAAGAAGAGGCUGAUAUGAGCAUAUUUAUGCGAGUUAGUUAGCUUGUUUCUUCGUUUUUACUUAGUUAUUUUCUGCUUAUUAGAGUGUUUUAAGUUAUUUUCGUGUGUUUGUAGGUCCAAUUGGCAAAGUUGGUAAGAAAGUGCAUUUUGGAGAAUUUUAGAGCAAUUUUAGGUUAGAAUGGAUUGCAUGCAUGUGGAGCAUAAGGAAUGGACGUUUUUUAAGAUCAAAUGAAGCUAGGAAUGUGCUAAAGAGAUGGAGAAAUUAAUUCAAGUUUUUGAAGAUGAGUAAUCAGCUAAAAGGAAGAAGCAUUAUCCAAAACCUUUUCAGAUUUCUAGAAGCCCUUUCUAGAAGCAACCCUUCUAGAAAGCUUAUCCUUGCCCUAAACUUAUGCCGCACCAUCCUUUCUAGAAUCCCUAGAAAGGUGGCGCCUCUUCCCUUUUCUAGAAGCUUAGGAACCUGCCAUAACACAUUCCUUCUAGAAGCCCUAAAUAAGUGUCGCACCCUUCUUCUUCUAAAAGUCCAAAAAUCUGCCAAAACCCUAAUCCUUUUCCCUCCUGGAUUGGGACGUGCCUUGACCUUGUUCUCCAAGGAAUUGGUGCCGAAAACCCUAGCCUAUAAAUACAUAAUUCUGACCCUAUUUUCGCACCACGCACAUAAGAGCCUAGAAUCAGAAUUCCACACCUUGUGCCGCAGCCUUGAAGGAGAGAAGACUUUGCCGUGGCUUCCAUUGGAGAAGAUGAGGGUUGUGCCGCAAGCCACCUGCAACUAUUGGAACUAAUUAUUAUGAACAUAAGGAACUAAUUCCUUUUUAGGUAGAGGUGAAUUUGAAGCCAUGGACAUAUGUUUUAUAUAAAUUGAUUACAUCCAGUUAUUGUUUCGUAAAACAUGAAUGUAAUUUACAUAUUUGCGUUAUUGAGAACUUAUUCUUGUGUGUUUAUUAAGGAUGCAUACUUAGUUUGCAUGCAGGGAUUGAAUGCUGAAAUAUAAGGGAAUUUCACCUAAUCGUUAUGAACUUAUAUUUAUAAGUAGUAGAGAUUGCUAGUCACAAUCGUGUUAAGUAAAUUCUUGGCAGGAGUAUCAUGCAUUUCAUAGUUACGAAUGUUUUGUCAGUGCUUAUGAUUUUCAUAGAACUUAAUGAUCUUUGAUAUGUAUCUCUAUCAUGUUGUUCAUAUAGGGAACUUGAGAAGAAUAAUUUGGUUGCGAUGCGUUGUCCAUUCAAUUUAAUGAACUUAGGAAAAUCUGAAAGUUAAUUCGUGCAUUCACAAUUAAUUUGGGGCAUUGUCAUUCAUGGUUUAAAGAAACAAUACUAGAAAUCAAUUUGUAUGCAUAUGUUUCAUGUGUGGAGAAUAACCCUUUGGCUAGUUUUUCACCAUUCAAAUCGCCUAAUUUUGUACCUAAUUUACUUUGUUUUGCAAUCUGUUUAGUUUAAUUAAUUUCAUCCAAAUCAAUCCCCUAAGUGUGUUAGAUUAUUAGAAAAGUGUCCAAAUCUGUCCAAUUUAGUGUUUUGAGUCUUACUAGUUUUAAUUUCAUCCAAAUAACUCCCUAGAGUCUGUUUUGAGUCAAUUUCACUUAGUUGUGCUGUUUUAUGUCAAUUUGUUUAGUUUUGAGUCAUAAGAGUCUAGUUUUGUGUUAUUGAGUCUUGUUUAGUGUUUUAGAGUUUAAUUUGUGUAGAUUAACAACCCUUCUAAUCCCCAGCCUAAAACGAUCCCUACUUUCAUAUACUACAAUCAUAGGGUUUUAAUUUGAGUGUUAGAAUAUUUCACAUCAAAUUUUGGCGCCGUUGCCUGGGAUUAGCAAAAUUGCUAAUCUUCCCCUUUGUGCCGUGAGUUUCAUUCUAGUUUUGUUUCUAUUUGGUUUUGUUUUCUGAUUUUGUUUUGUCUUGUUUUCUUUGUUUUAGGUACUAGUUUAUGACUCAUAGUUCUCAAGCUGUCCGUGAGCAUAUAUUGGAGUUUGACGAUAAUUUUGAACGAACAUUGAGAAGGAAAAGAAGGCGACCAGAACCAUGUCUACCUAGUUCUAGUUCUGAAUUUGAAUUUGAAGAGAUAGAGGAAGAGGAACAAGUCAUGGCUAUGGAUAAUCGAACAAUCAAGGAACUUUCAGCCUUGGGAUUGGACAAUGUUGUGCCUCUUUGCAUUCAAUACCCUACAGCAACCCAAGGCAAAACCGAUGAGUUCGAGUUGAAGUCAAGCUUGUUGCAUCAUAUUCCCAAAUACCAUGGGUUGUCCAUGGAAGAUACAAACAAGCAUUUGAAGGAAUUUGAAAUAGUAUGCUCAAGUAUGACACCUAUCAAUGUGGAUGGGAAUAUUCUGAAGAUGAAAGCCUAGCUCAAUGAGGCAGUUUCAAGAAGAAGGUAAACUACCUAGCUCAACCAUUGUCAAUCCAAAAGGAGGUUUUGAAACUGCCAAGGCUAUCACUUUGAGAAGUGGUAAAGAGAUUGGAACCAAGGUAAACACGUCCAUAUCAAGUCAAAAAGAGGACAAAAAGCUGCUGCUCGAGGAAGAUGAAGUGGACAAAGUUGCGGCAAGGGUGGAACAAACCUUACCGCAUCCUUCCAAGGCCCCUAAACCGUCACUUUCAGGUAAGGUUGUUCCAAAUUCGACCCAUUAUAACCUAAUUCCACCAAAUGUGCCUUUCCCUCGCAGGUUUAUGUAAUCUAAGAAGGAAGAGAAUGAAAAAGACAUCUUAGAGACUUUCAGGAAGGUACAAGUCAAUAUCCCACUCCUUGAUGCAAUAAAGCAAGUUCCAAGGUAUGCUAAGUUUUUAAAAGAGCUUUGUACAACAAGGAGGAGGAUUUCGAAAAAAGAAGUGGUUCAGGUAAGUGAAAAUGUAGUUGCUGUUUUGCAAAGAAAACUACCACCUAAAUGCAAAGAUCCAGGUAGUUUUACAAUCCCUUGUGUUAUUGGAAAUACCAAGUUUGAACAUGCCAUGUUGGAUUUAGGUGCUUCCAUUAAUGUCAUGCCAUACUCUAUUUAUGCAUCUAUGAACUUAGGAGAGCUUAAAAACGAUGGUGUUAUAAUUCAAUUAGCCGAUCGUUCUAAUGCAUAUCCAAAAGGAGUUUUGGAAGAUGUUUUGGUGCAGGUUUGAUGUGAGAAUUAACUUGACACACAAAUUAAAGCCUAUUGUUGACAAUUGUAGUAAAGAUGUAAGAAGGGAUCGUUCUAGACCGGGGAUUAACUAGGGAUGCUAAUCAACACAAAUAAGACUCAAAAACACUAAACUAGACUCUAUAAACUUAAAACUGACUCAAAACACUCAAAACAGCAACAAACAAUAAAAAAAGACUCAAUUCUAGACCUAACAAGUGACUUUGAUGAAAAUAAGACUUAACUUGACUAAAAAGACUAAAAAAAACAAAUUAUGACUCAACUAACAACACUUAAUGAAAGGGGGAUUGUUUUUGACGAAUUUAAAACUUAAAACAUAAACUUUGCAUAAAACACUUUAAUAAAACGAAUUUGGUGAAUUCAAAAGGGUGAAAGGCUAGUUAGAGGGUCCUUCUCCACACAUGACAUAUGCAUACAAACCAAUUUCCAGUUAUUAUUCCUUUAGACUAUGAAUGACAACACCCCAAGUUAACUGUGAUAGCACAAAUUAACCAUCAGAUUUUCCUUAAUUCAUUGAAUUAGAUGGAAUACGCAUUGCAACCAAAUUAUCCUUAUCAAGUUCCCUAACUAUAAAAAGCAUGUUAGAAAGACAUAUCAAAGGCCAUUAAGUUCUUUGAAAACCAUAAGCAUUGACGAGGCAUUCGUAACUAUGACAAGCAUGAUACUCCUGCCAAGGAUUCACUUAACACGAUUGUGACUAGCAAUCUCCACUACUUGUGAAUAUAAGUUCAUAACGAUUAGGUGAAACUCCUUUAUACUCUAGCAUCAAAUUCAUGCAUGCAAAGUAAGUAUGCAUCCUCAAUCAACAUACAUAAACAAGUUUUGAUAACUCAGAUAAGCAAAUCACAUUCAAGACUCAAGAAACAACAACUAGAUGUAAUCAAUUCAUAUAAAACAUAUAAUCAUGGCUUCGAAUUCACCUCUAACUAAAAAGAAAUUAGUUCCACAUGUUCAUGAUAAUUGAAAACAAUAUUAAAACCAACAUUGAAACAAAUCUAAAGGUAGAAAGAACCAUGAAUGUCCCAGCAACUCCAAUGGCAGAUUCGAACCCUCCUUGGAUUGCAAGUCACGGCAAAAAGCUCAUUUUUCCUUCCUUGCUGCGUCACUUGAUGAAUUUAUGGGGAAUUGGAGUGAGUUGUGGUGUAGGAAUAUAUGGGCGGUGGUGUUGAAUUAUGUAGCAAAAUCAUGUAUAUAUAGCUAGGGUUAUGCACAAUUUCUGAAGGGAAAAUGAUUGCACAAUCCUAUAGGAAAAGGUUAGGGUUUGGCAGAAACCAAGGGGAAAAAGGAUUACACAUCAAAAACCAUAAGGAAUAAGGAUAUAGGGUGCGACAUAAACUAUGAAAAAGGGUUCUAGAAAGGCUAAGGUGCGGCACCAAAAUAGGGUUCUAGAAGGAACAUGUUGUGGCAGGUUUCUAGAAAGAACACAAGGUCUUCUAGAAAGAAAUGAAGCGCCACCUUUGUAGGAGAGGAUUAAGACCUCUAGAAAUCAGAUAUUUAGGUCCCCUUCCAGCUGGAUUUAAGGUAAGAUAAGAUUAGGAUAGGAUAAGAUAAGAUAAGGUUAGUUUGGAUAAGAUAAGGUUGGAUAAGGUUUUGGAUAAUGUUUCCUUUUUUUGAGCUGAUUCCUUAUCUUCUUUGUCUUGAAUUUAUUUUCUUUAUCUCCUUAGCAUCUUCCUAGCCUUUUGAUCUUCAAAUUUGUCCAUCCAUCUUGCUCCACUCAUAAGCUAUCCAUUCUUGGCCCAAAACUGCUCUAAAAUGCUCUAAAUUGCACUUUCUUACCAACUUUGUCAUUUGGACUAGGGGUGGGCAAACGGGUCCUGGACCCGCGGGUUGAGGCGGAUCCUUGCGGUUCGGGGCAGGUACAGGGCAGGUCUAAAAAUUAUAAAUAUAAAAUAGGGUGGGCCGGGCUGGUUCCUGGUAAAUAACGGGGUGGGCCAGUUCUAAAAACUAGAGAAAACGAGUCCCCAGCCCGGACCAUUCAUUCCAACUGAUUAAAUCUCUACCGUUCAUUCCUACUGAUUACCCUCUCUCUCUUAUUCUCAGAGUCAGACCUAAUUCACUCAACCCUCCCCUCUCAUUCAUUUUGUUAUUCUCAGACUCCACUCCGAGUCUCUUCCUCCAGUCCUCCCUCGAUCUCUCAUCUCUCUCGAUCUUCUUCCUCUCGGUCUUUCUCUUUCACAGUCUUUUCUCUCUUUCCCAUCUCACCUGCCCUAAACGCAGCUUAACCAGCCAUAGACACCACUCCAUAACCGCCUUGUAAACCACCUUGUUCCAUGGAGAAGCCAUGCCAUUAGUCCCAGCCGUCGAGUCGUAACUGUCGCGCCGUUGCAAAUCAAUGGCUGUGGAGAAAUUGAGCGAAGGCAGUGGGCACUGGACGAUGGACCGGAACUCAUCGCAGUCGUCAGUGAGGAAAACGACGUUGUCCUAGCCCUCUUAGAUCCGUGAGGAAGACGAUGUUCCCAGGCUCCUACUACUCUUCUUCUCGUCAUGUAAUUUCAUUUUUGUACUAAAUUUGAAUUUGGGGAUUUAGGAAUUAGGGAUUCAGUUAAUUUGCUUGAAAAUUUCAUAAAAAUGUUGGGGAUUUAGCUUAAUUAGGGAUUCAGUUUUAUUUUAUUUUUUGAUGAAUUCGAAAUUUUAUAUGAAGAGUUUUUUUAUUAAUUUGUUCUAUUUGGGGAUUUAGGUUGGGGUGUGAGAAAUGCUUGAAAAAUAUUGGAUUUUUUCUGGGAAGCCUGGUCUUUGAUCCCCUGCAUAACCCAAAUCAGAAGGGUUGCAGUUGCAAAUCUAAUUAACUGGGAGUUAAUUAAUUAAUUAUCUUGCAUUUAUAGAAAGAGGAAGUAGAAGAUGAAUCGCAUGUUUUGGAAAUAUGUGGUUUCUUGAUCGCUGAUAUGUGGCAAGUAGACGGCGGCGAUGCCUUUACACAGUGGACUUUGUGAUGCAAAACUGGGGUCGUGGGCUGGUGGUAGUAUGCCCAAAACCGAAAAAAAAAAAAAAAAAAAAAAAAGUAGUUGGACCCGUGGACCCGUGGACCCGUCCUGAACUGGCCCAUUUGAAACUGGCCGGGUUAGGUCCGGUUCCCAAACUCAAAAUACUUAUACCCGGCCCGCCCCGCCCUGUUACAUUUUAAAACGGGUAGGGCCAAGUUCUUCCAAAUUUCAACCCGACCCGGCCCAUGCCCAGCCCUAAUUUGGACUUACAAACACACAAAAAUAGCUUAAAACACUAUAAUAACAUAAACUAACUAUGAAAAUGCAAGAAAACAAGCUAACUAAGUCACAUAAAUAUGCUCCUAUCAAGGUUAACAACUUAAUAUUUCCAAUAGACUUCUAUGUGCUUGAGAUGGAGGAUUCGGCCUAUUUUACACCCUUGCCGAUCCUACUUGGAAGACCCUUCAUAAAAACAGCCCGCACCAAGAUAGAUGUGUUCAAAAGGACAUUAACAAUGGAAUUUGAUGGCAAGAUUAUUGAUUUUAAUAUUUCUGAGACUAUAAGGUAUCCUAAAGAUGAUCAUUCUUGUUUCUCUAUUGAUGUAUUUGAUUCUUUGGCGCAUGAUUAUCUUGAUUUCUUGAAUGAGGAUGCCCUUAAAACAAUUAUUGCACAAGGAAUUAGGUUUAAAUCCAAUCUGGCCGAGCUUAUCCUUGUAGCAAAUGUCGAGAUGGUUGCUGCCUUUGAGUCAUUGCCCCACCAUGUUGGUAAGCCCUCAAUUCCAAUUCUCAUCUCUACUAACAAGUUGUUACCUUCAGUGAUUCAAGCACCCAUCAUUGAGCUUAAACCAUUGUCGGAUCAUUUAAAGUAUGUCUUUUUGGGAGAUAAAGAGAUGUUGCCCGUCAUAGUCUUUUCAUCACUCAUGGCAAUGGAGAAGGAGAAACUGAUUCGGGUGUUAAAAGAGCACAAGACAGCCAUUGGAUGGACGUUGGUCAACAUUAAGGGAAUUAGCCCUACCACUUGCAUGCAUCGCAUACUUCUAGAGGAGGGGGCUACAAACUCGAGAGGCUCAACACCAACUCAACCCUUAAAUGAUGGAAGUUAUGAAAAAUGAGAUUAUCAAGCUUCUUGAUUGCGGAGUCAUCUACCCGAUUUCGGAUAGUCGUUGGGUUUCGCCGGUUCAAGUUAUUCCCAAGAAAUCUGGAGUCACCGUGGUAAAGAAUGCAGAGAAUGCCCACUCGUAUCCAAAUAGGUUGGAGAGUUUGCAUUGACUAUAGGAAGCUCGACACCACCACAAAGAAAGAUCACUUCCCUUUGUCGUUCAUUGUUCAAAUGCUUGAAAGGUUAGCUGGUCAUUCUUUUUAUUGUUUUCUUGAUGGUUAUUCGGGAUAUAAUCAGAUUGUUAUAGCUCCAAAUGAUCAAGAAAAAACCACUUUUACUUGUCCAUUUGGUACUUUUGCUUAUCGUCGAAUGUCAUUCGGUUUAUGUAAUGCACCAGCCACGUUUCAAAGUUGCAUGGUAAGUAUCUUUUCAGAUUUUUUUGAGAAGAUCGUUGAAGUUUUCAUGGAUGAUUUUAACGUAUUUGGUGAUUCGUUUUAUGGUUGUUUAGAUAAUCUCACAUUAAUCUUGAAACAAUGCAUCAAAACUAACCUUGUUUUGAAUUGGGAAAAAUGUCACUUUAUGGUAAAACAAGGCAUAGUUUUAGGUCACAUAGUUUCAGCAAAGGGAAUUGAGGUUGAUAAAUCGAAAAUAGAUCUUGUACGCUACUUACCCUCUUCCACUUCGAUGAGAGAGGUUCAUUCUUUUCUUGGACAUGCAGGAUUCUAUAGGCGAUUCAUCAAAGAUUUUUCAAAGAUUUCCCAACCUCUAUGCCGACUCUUACAGAAGGAUGUGCCAUUCAAGUUCGAUGAUGAAUGUGAGAAGGCGUUCAAUCACCUUAAAGAGAUGCUAACUUCGGCCCUCAUCAUAGUCCCACCAGAUUGAGCCUGCCUUUUGAGCUUAUGUGCAAUGCUUCAGAUUAUGCAUUAGGGGCUAUUUUGGGACAAAGAAAAGACAAGAAGCCGCAUGUCAUCUAUUACGCAUCUCAGACUUUGAAUGAUGCUCAAUUGAACUACUCUACCGCUGAAAAUAACUUCUUGCUGUUAUAUUUGCUUUAGAUAAGUUUCAUUCUUAUUUACUUGGAGCUAAAGUUAUAAUUUACACUGAUCAUGCAGCUUUGAAGUAUUUGCUCACAAAGAAGAAAGCCAAGCCAAGGCUUAUUCGCUGGAUGUUACUUCUCCAAGAGUUUGACAUGGAGAUUCGAGACAAGAAAUGAAGUUAAACGUGGUGGCUGACCACUUGAGUCGUUUGGUGCAUGAUGACCCAUUACCUAUUCCAUAAGCAUUCCCAGACGAGCAGUUGUUAUCCAUUGAGGUAAGUGAGCCAUGGUAUGCUGAUUUGGUGAAUUAUUUAGUGACUAAACAAGUUCCAACCACCAUAAACAAGCACCAACAUGAUAAACUUAAAAAGGAUGCACGAUUUUAUGUUUGGGAUGACCCUUAUUUAUGGAAAUAUUCCCCUGAUCAGAUUCUUCGUAGAUGUGUGCAUGAUUCGGAGUUUAAUUCAAUUUUAACUUUCUGUCAUACUUAUGCAUGUGGUGGUCAUUUUGGCACAUAACGCACAACACUUAAGGUUUUAGAAUGUGGAUUUUAUUGGCCUACUAUCUUUAAGGAUGGUAGAACAUUUUGUAUGACUUGUGAUCGUUGUCAACGAACGGGCAAUAUAAGCGCAAAAGAUUAAAUGCCACAUAAUCCUAUCUAUUCUGUCGAAAUCUUUGAUGUUUGGGGUAUUGAUUUCAUGGGUCCUUUUCCUUCCUCACAUGGUUUCCUUUAUAUUUUGUUUGUUGUGGAUUAUGUGUCGAAAUGGGUGGAAGUAAAAGCCACCCGUACUAAUGAUUUAAAGUGAUUGCAGAUUUUGUUAAAACUAACAUAUUUGCAAGGUUUGGAAUGCCAAGAGUACUUAUAAGUGAUGGGGGUUCCCAUUUUUGCAAUCGAACCAUUGAGGCGAUGCUCAAGAAGUACAAUGUCAUGCAUAAGGUUUCAACACCUUAUCAUCCUCAAACAAGUGGCCAAGCAAAGGUUUCUAAUAAGGAAAUCAAGCAGAUUUUGGAGAAGACGGUUGGACCCACUCGGAAGGAUUGGAGCUUACGUUUGAAUGAUGCAUUGUGGGCGUAUCAUACAGCCUACACAACACCAAUUGGGAUGUCACCAUUUUGGCUCAUCUAUGGGAAACCAUAUCAUCUUCAUGUUGAGUUAGAGCAUCGUGCACAUUGGGUAGUCAAGACAUUCAAUAUGGACAUUGAUGCCGCUGGAAUUCAUAGGAAGCUUCAAUUGAACGAGCUUGAAGAGAUUCGGAAUGAGGCUUAUGAAAACGUUCACAUUUACAAGGAGAAAACAAAGGCAGCCCAUGACAAGAUGAUUUAUGGCAAGACAUUCUCUAUAAGGCAGAAAGUGUUACUCUUCAACUCCCACCUUCGUUUGUUUCCGGGUAAGUUGCAUUCUAAAUGGAUUGGCCCUUUUGUUGUUACUAUGUUUUUCAUUAUGGUGCAGUCCAAAUUCAAAGUCAAUGGACACCGUUUGAAGCCCUACUAUGAGACUUUUGAGGAGCAUGUCAUGGAGGAUAUACCCCUCCAUGCCAUUGGCCCUAUUGAAGCUUAAAUGGAGGUAUCAUCCGGCUAGAAGGCGUUAAAGCAAGUGCUUCUUGGGAGGCAACCCAUGUGUUCAAAUGAAGGCAUAAUGGAAUUAUAGCUCCAACAACCAGAUUUGCGUUCCUAACCCCUUCUCUUUAUUGCUUUUACUCUACCAUGAUUGUCGUGUUUGUUAGUUGUUUUGAUUGUUUGCGUGUGAGUUUAUAUUUGAAACAUUGAGGACAAUGUUUGGUAAGUGUGGGGGGGGUAAACAAGUUGUUUUUGCAUGAUUUUCAUGUGAUAUUACCACCUAGCACCACUAGAGUUGUUCUUCAUUGUUUUUAAGUGUUUUUAGUGUGUUUUGAAGUGUUUUAUUGUGUUUUGAAAGAAAAAUACGAAAAUUUGAAGAAAAAAAAAGUAGAAAACGUUUGAAAAACCCAAAAAGAGUGGUUUUAAAGUUGUUUUUGUGUGUUUGUUUGUGUCUUUGGGUACCUUUCAACACAAUGAUGAGGAUUUGGUUUUUAAUUACAUGACUGUUAAAGAAAGUUACAAACAUGGGUGGAAGUUUGAUAUGCUUUUUGGUUUAUGCUUGGUUGUAGUUGACGUUUACGAAUUCACAUGUAAUCACAAAGAAAAAAAAAUCAGUGUUUGUAACAUGCUUGAAGGAAGGAACUCAAACUAACGCUACAACCCUGAGAGAUUUAAGCCUAAGCUUUGUUUGGAAAGUUAUUAAUCUGUGAUGUUUUUGUUUUCUAAAGUCGUUGCAUGAUCUCAUUAUUUCUUUGCUUGGUUGCUACUUAGAAUGCGUUUUCAUCAUUAUAAUUCCAAAUACUAGAACUCAUGCCCGUGUCAUUCAAAGCUUAAAAUUGAGUGCAUAACAUAAAACAAGAUGAAGUUGUUUAGUAGUUACCACCAGAGCCAAAAAGCCUUAAUCCCUUUGAGCCUUAUUGAGCCUAUUUUCUUUGUUAGCCACAUCAUCCCUACCUUGCCUAGAAUAGGACUAUCCAUACCCUUGUUCUUAAAGUAUAGUGGAGCAUGACUUAGAGGGAAUUCCUUUUGGUCAAACAUAUUGCAGAAAACAAGUGUGGGGGAAGGUUAUUUCCAAAGAAAGAAAAAAGAAAAAAAAAAGCGUGAAAAAGAAAAGAAAACGAAGGAAAAGAAUUGAGAAAUAAGUGAGAAUGAACUCACAAGUUUUGGUUGUUGAAGAAAUGGUCCAAAAGUUUGAAUUUGACCUUAAGUGUUGUGUGAAUCUUCCCCUUGUGUUUAAAGUUAGUUGCUGCAUUCAAAAGGAAAUUCUAGGUGUUGAUUUCAUUACUUUGCUUACUAUUGCUUUAAGAACUAUUGUUUAUCCUUGACCAUUCUUUGUUAGCCAAUACCUUAGCCUCGUUACAACCCUUAGACUUCUAUCUUGGGUGUUAUGUGUUUCAAUCUGUGGAGUUUGGGAUUGGUAUGAGCAUAUGGGAUCCCUGGUUCUCGCGUCUAAGUAGUGGCAUUCCAUUCAUGAGUGGCUAGUCUACAUGUAUUAAUAAUUCCAGAAAGUGCUUUCUUUGAUUAUAACAUAUGUGAGUGGCUAGUCUACAUGUUUACAUCAAUCUUCUCACAUAUACCUAGUAUAUGGAGUGUAGUCAGAAAAUCUGUGUGAAAAUAGAGAGUAUAUCCAGUGAGGAAUUGAGGGAAUUCUCUAAGGCAUGUUACUACCAUCAAAACCAUGUUUUAAAUUGAUUAAAUGCAAGCUAGUGAGUGGUGACUACGAUUAAGUAUGCACUCGAGGGUAGGGAUGACUAAAAUCUAUGUGAGUAGUGAUUUUUUAACAUGUCAUGUUCCAUUGGAAAUCCAUGAGGCAAAAGUUGGAAGGUUUAGGUUGUGUUUUGUUUUGUUUUUUUUUUCUUUUGCUCGAGGACUAGCAAAAGCUAAGUGUGGGGGAAUUUGAUAGGAGCAUAUUUAUGCGACUUAGUUAGCUUGUUUCUUCGUAUUUACUUAGUUAUUUUCUACUUAUUAGAGUGUUUUAAGUUAUUUUGUGUGUUUGUAGGUCCAAUUGGCAAAGUUGGUAAGAAAGUGCAUUUUGGAGCAUUUUAGAGCAAUUUUGGGCUAGAAUGGAUUGCAUGCAUGUGGAACAUAAGGAAUGGACGUUUUUUAAGAUCAAAUGAAGCUAGGAAUGUGCUAAAGAGAUGGAAAAAUUAAUUCAAGUCUUGGAAGAUGAGUAAUCAGCAAGAAGGAAGGAGCAUUAUCCAAAACCUUUUCAGAUUUCUAGAAGCCCUUUCUAGAAGCAACCCUUCUAGAAAGCUUAUCCCUGCCCUAAACUUAUGCCACACCAUCCUUUCUAGAACCCCUAGAAAGGUGGUGCCUAUUCCCUCUUCUAGAAGCUUAGGAACCUGCCAUAACACAUUCCUUCUAGAAGCCCUAAAUAAGUGCCGCACCCUCCUUCUUCUUGAAGUCCAAAAAUCUGCCAAAACCCUAAUCCUUUUCCCUCUUAGAUUGGGCCAUGCCUUGACCUUGUUCUCCAAGGAAUUGGUGCUGUAAACCCUAGCCUAUAAAUACAUAAAUCUGACCCUAUUUUCGCACCACACACAUAAAAGCCUAGAAUCAGAAUUCCACACCUUGUGCCGCAGCCUUGAAGGAGAGAAGACUUUGUCGUGGCUUCCAUUGGAGAAGAUUAGGGUUGUGCUGCAAGCCACAUGCAACCAUUGGAGACUUUCAAAGUUCUUUCUUCCCUCGUUUCGUUUCCAUGUUUAUUUUAUUUUGCUUUUCAAUUAUUAUGAACAUGAGGAACUAAUUCCUUUUUAGUUAAAGGUGAAUUCGAAGCCAUGGACAUAUGUUUUAUAUAAAUUGAUUACAUCCAGUUAUUGUUUCGUAAAACAUGAAUGUGAUUUACUUAUCUGCUUUAUUGAGAACUUAUUCUUGUGUGUUUAUUAAGGAUGCAUACUUAGUUUACAUGCAGGGAUUUGAUGCUACAGAAUUUCACCUAAUCGUUGUGAACUUAUAUUUAUAAGUAGUAGAGAUUGCUAGUCACAAUUGUGUUAAGUGAAUUCUUGGCAGGAGUAUCAUGCAGUUCAUAGUUACGAAUACUUUGUCAGUGCUUAUGAUUUUCAUAGAACUUAAUGAUCUUUGAUAUGUAUCUCGAUCAUGCUGUUCAUAUAGGGAACUUGAGAAGAAUAAUUUGGUUAUGAUGCGAUGUCCAUUCAAUUCAAUGAACUUAGGAAAAUCUGAAAGUUAAUUAGCGCAUUCACAAUUAAUUUAGGGCAUUGUCAUUCAUGGUUUAAAGAAAUAAUACUGGAAAUCAAUUUGUAUGCAUAUGUUUCAUGUGUGGAGAAUGACCCUCUGGCUAGUUUUUCACCAUUCAAAUCACCUAAUUUCGUACCUAAUUUACUUUGUUUUGCAAUCUAUUUAGUUUAAUUAAUUUCAUCCAAAUCAAUCCCCCCCCCUUUUUUUAUUAAGUGUGUUAGAUUAUUAGAAACGUGUUCAAAUCUGUCCAAUUUAGUGUUUUGAGUCUUACUAGUUUUAAAUUCGUCCAAAUAACUCCCUAGAGUCUGUUUUGAGUCAAUUUCACUUAGUUGUGCUGUUUUAAGUCAGUUUGUUUAGUUUUGAGUCAUAAGAGUCUAGUUUUGUGUUUUUGAGUCUAGUUUAGUGUUUUAGAGUUUAAUUUGUGUAGAUUAGCAGCCUUUCAAAUCCCCGGCCUAAAACGAUCCCUACUUUCAUAUACUACAAUCAUAGGGUUUUAAUUUGAGUGUUAGAAUAUUUCACAUUAGAGGCAAUAUUGCCAUUCAUUCACAAAUUGAAGAGGCACCGCUCUCCAAAUUUCAAAAGCUAGAUUUUCUUGAAUAAAGUUCGUUGACACUUUUCAGACGCAAUCUCAGCUUUUUGGAUAUCACAGGCAACUUUGUCAAAUAUCGCUGACAAAGUUGAAACGCGUGAAUUUUACAAUUCCAAUUACACCACUGUUGCUAACAAGCGUAAAGAAAAUGAUCCCAACAGCACCACUACUUGCUUUUGGGAAAUCCCUAUAUAUGUCGACAUCCGUUCUCCAUGGCAAGACAGACCUGCAAGAAUGCCUAACUAUUUCUCCUCUUCGAGAGUGCAUUUUCAAUGAAGCAUAUCAAAAUACUCAGUUUUCUUCCUCUCCGAGAAUACCUCUUCAACCAAGUCACUCAAAAUACUCAACUGAUUUCCUCGGCAAAUACCUUAGAACAGUUGAUAUGAUGUUGGCUCUUUACACUAAAGAUGCCAAGCAUGGAUGAGUCGCUAAGAAGCAAUGUUUUGAAGGAUCAUUCAAAGAAAAAGGUAUUCAUAUAUAGUAUCAAAGAUCUCUUACCUUUUUCAGACACAAUCUUAGCUUUUUGGAUACCACGGGCAACUUUGUUAAAGAUCUCUAACAAAGUUGGAACGUGUGAAUUUUACAAUUCCAAUUACACCACUGUUGCUGACAAGUGUAAAAGAAAUGAUCCUAAUAGCACCACUACUUGUUAUUGGGAAAUCCUUAUAUAUGUUGACCUUUAUCCUCCAUGGCAAAGCAAGCCUGUAAAAAUGCCUAACUAUUCCUCCUCUCCGAGAGUGCAUUUUCAACGAAACAUCUUGAAAUACUCAGUUUUCUUCCUCUCCAAGAAUACUUCUUCAACCAAGUCACUCAAAAUACUCAACUAAUUGCCUCAGCAAAUACCUCAGAACAGUUGAUAUGAUGUUAGAUCUUUACAUUGAAGAUGCCAAGCAUGGAUGAGUUGCUGAGAAUAGAUGUUUUGAAGGAUCAUUCAAAGGCAAAGGUAUUCUUAUAAGUAGAAGAAGUGUCAGAACUGUAUUCAUAUAUAAUAUGAAUUAGAGGUUAGGUCUUCAUAUACAUCAGAUUUCAAAUAAAGCUUAGUCUCUUGUUAAUUUUUUUACUUUUAAUUUCUUAUUUGAAAGUGUAAAAGUAUCCUAAAAGCAUGAUACGUGUAUCCAUCAAGUCAAAAUGUAUCCGCUGACAUGAUACGUAUCUGAUGAGUAUCAAAGAGUAUCCAGCAAGUAUCGUUUCCGAAAAGUAUCAGCUACAAGAUACACGACCAAAGUGAAGUAUCUGUAUCAUAGUUGGACAAAGACACCCCAAUUUUCCCAGCAUCAUCCUGCUCUUGAUAAACUCACAUAAAUGCCAUAUCAUCAGCAUCGCGAUGAGUCCUCACAAAAUGGACAAGCUUAUACUUUGCCCAACGACUAUCCAUGGAGAAGCUUCUUUAUGGAGUCCGAUUGAAUUUUGACUGGAGAAUUUUCUUUUUCUUGUCGUUCCAUGUCUCUAAAUUGCUCUUGAAGUAGCAAUGUAAUGAGGAGAAGUUUCCAAUUCUUAAAUCUGAAUACUACUACAACUGUGAGAAAGGUACCCGAGUGAUUUUGCUGGGAGGUACUGAAUGAUAUAUGCUCAGCUUCGGCUGGAGUCUACCAAAUGGUGGUACCCUGCUAUGGUGGAGGUGCACCGAAGUGUAUGCUUUGCUUCGGGCAGAGAUGCGCUGAAGGCCGAAGGGUAUGCUUUGCUUCGGCAAAGGUGCAACAAACAGACCCCUUAUCUCUCUCACGACACACUUUCGAGUUUAUUUUACAACAUAUGGUAAAAUCAGGGUCUACCCAAAGGUGGCAUCAUAGCCAGAAGCGUGAUCCCUGUCACCUAAGACCUAAAACUUCAAGAAUAAUGGAUAAUGUUCCCAAGCAUCAACCAUGUGGAAUCUACUUCUGUUUGAUGGAAGAGAUCAAUGGUUAUGCACUUGUUGGUGUUUCGACUAAUGUUGUUGAGGAGUACCAUUCACGUAGUUAAUUAGUGAGACUAAUUUUGCUCCACCUAACACAUUUGGAGAGCAAAAUUGAUUGCCCACCCCUAGUCUACAUAUACCUUUGUAUAAAAAUAAAAAAUAAAUAAACUUGUGAAAAAUGUGGUUAGAAGUCCAAAAUAACCUUAUUUUGGAUGAAAAACUUAACGGAGUUAAGAUGAGAUGACAAAUUAUGAUUUCAGAAAAUUCAAAUGCCAAAUGCUUAAACUUUAGUUCGUAUGACAAAUUAAAUAAUAUGAAUAAGUUUAUAUGACAUUUCAAAAAAAAUUAUACCAUAAAUUUGUAAUUAUAAAACCUUUGCGAAAACUUGAGACAUGCGUGGAGGCGCCUAAUUUAGCUUGUGUUGAUUUUCCAUCAUUUAUACAAGUAAAUGAUAAGAUUAAAAGCACACCACAAAGUAGCACACAAAUGUCCUAUUGAUUUUCCUUAUUAACACUAAGAUUUGUCAAUUGUAGCAUAUGAAAAUAAGGGUCUUUCCCGCAGAAGAUUGUUUUAUCUAACUACCUAAAAUGUCACAAAAACUGGGUUGCUGUCCCUACUGACCAGCCACCGAAAAAUAAUUAUUAGACCGACUUAUACUUAUCUAAAGUCUACAAAAUUUUAUAUGCAGAUACUAGACACACAAAGCUACACUCAUACAAAUGUUUGGGAUUUUUGGAGUUGAUUUUCUAUUUAAAUUAAAUCAAACAAAAACAGGAUAGAAACAAAUUUUAAGUAGUUCACAAAUUAAGAAAAACGAGUUAGGGGUAUUGCUAUCCACCACCAAAUAAUCAUGCAAACAUGUUAUGUUUCAUUCAAAUUUCUUUUAUUUCCGAAUGAAGAUGCUCAAGUUGGCUCAAUGUUAGAACUCAACCUAUUACUCUUUCUUACGUAGUAUGUUAAGAGAAUGGCGUUUUCAACUUAACUUAGUCCCUAGCAUGCAAUCUAGAAUGGCGUGUUCAUAGAUUUAACAAGUAGAAAUCAUUAAGAACGAAAAGAGUUUGAGUCAUCACAAGGCAUCGUAAGUACUGGCGUUGUCUUACUUAUCCUAAAAAUUGGUUCACAUGUUAAUCGCAAUUAACAAGUACUACUUUAGAACAUAUGUAGGUCCUCAUUCGACAAGGGCAGGCACACACACUAUUCAUAGCAUUAGAAUCCUAGAUAUGCUUACUACGUAUGCAUCCAUAGAAAACAAAUAAAGAAUUCAUCAAUGAGACAAGUAGUGAACCAAGUUUCAUCCAUUCAUAAAAGUAAUUCAACGAAAUGUCAUAACAAAAUUGCAAUCAUAUUCGGGGCUUCAAAACAGCCCCUAACUUCUAAAAAAUUAGUUACACAUAGUUCUCAAAAUAAACCAAAAGAAAGACAUGAGUUUGAGAAGAUAAAACCGAGAGAAGAGAAUGCCAAGAUUUCCUCCUUCCUUUCCUUCCUUUCUCAACGCAGCAGCCUUGCCUUUUUUCCUUCCUUUCCUUCCUUUUUUUCUAUUUUUUUUCCUCUAAAGAACUCUCUUUUGCUGCUGCAACCUGCAGCCUUUAUGCCCACGCUUGCUGCCCCAUUUCUGCUCCAUAACUCACCCCACUAACAGCCAUUUAGUGAUGACAAUAAGUGAGAGGAAAUGGUAAAACAAUUGUAACUUUUUGGGCAACCUUUAUGCCAAUUACUCCCACUUAAUCCUCAGCUUUAAUUCCAUUUCAUCUGAUAUUUGAAGAGGUGUCAGCUGGCUUGUUCUUGGCUGCAUCAGUUUUGGCUGCUAGUUUUAUUGGAUUUAUUGCCUUCAAUGCAGUUACAAACUGCUCAGCGUCUUGGAAACCUUUCAGUGUUAAAACGGACAUAACUUCUUCUCGAAAAAAGAUAUUAACAAUCCGCGAAAUGCUCCAGAAAAUAGACAUCCGUAGCUUUCCAAGCAUAUAAGUCUCAUUCUCUAAUUCAUUCUGAGCUGUUCGCAACUUGCUUCUAAAGGCAGCUGACCUGCACAGGCAGUUUUGACAAAUUUGUUACUUAAAAUCCCACUUGUGCUAUUUUUCUUUUAUUUGCUUGACAAAUCCUACAAAACACAAAACAAAGUAAAUAGCUCAAAAAUAUAAGGAACUAACUAAGAAAAGACAAGUGAAUUUGAUGUAAAAUAUAUAUAAAUAUGAGCUUAUCAAAUACCCCCACACUUAGCUUUUGCUAGUCCUCGAGCAAAAGGAAGAAAAUAUGAAAUAGUAGCAACAUGAAAAACAAUAGCUUCGCCCUAUGUGACCCUCAUAGAAUUUCAUUCAAGAAAACAAAUCAUCAAGAACCUUAGCUAUCACCAAACAAGCUAAUCCAAGUUCAUCUUCCUUAUUCAAAUGUUAGCAGUAACUUUUUAAUCAUCCAUGAAGUGUAGUGUGUGUAAUAGCCAUGCUAAUGCAAUUUCAAGUUUUUUUUUUAAAAAACACCACAUGCUAACUAGUGAUCUUCUCACGGGACAUACACUCAAUCACACAUAUGUUUAGUUUAACGUGUUUUGCUCAAAGAAUCAGAUGUGAAAGAUCUACCAUAAGCUUGCAUAAAGAUUUCAUCUCUACAAUCAUAAUUGCAAAACUUAAAUCAAGAGGACUUUUAUUGGUUGUAAUGAGGCUUAGGAAGAGGGUUAUAGAAAUGAAAGGAUAGGUAAACACAAGUUCCAAGCUAUAUUGCAAGCAAUUCUCUUGUUGAGAUUUACAAGAACUCAAGCUCUCCAACCACUCUACUAAUACCUCCAACCACACCCCUAAACUGAAAAAAAAAAAUUUAUUUGCUUUGUAUACUUUUUUUUUCUUCUUUUUUUCUUCUUUUUUUUUUUUUUAAACCAAUUUUGCACAUAACUAAAUACAAACAUGAAAUACCCCCACACUUAUUCUUUUUCCAAACUCCUUCAAAGUACUUCACAAACAUUUCUCAUAAGACAAUCUCACAUUGCUCACUAGCUAGCUUGGAAAGGGUAAGGAAAAAUGUUUAAGGUAUAAGGAUAGACAUAUCUGGUGAUAAGAAAUAAAAGGCUCAACAUAUACGGCUCAAAUUGGCAAUCUAAUGAUAUUAUUUUUCUUUUGGAAACAUGCUUAUUUGGGCUAUGGUGAUAAACCUAAUGCCUCUAUCCUUUUCAAGUUCAUGCAAUCAAAUGACAAACAUUUCGAAAGAUCGUUACGCAAGUUCUAGAGAUGUAAGUCACAUAAGUUCAUCACACAUGAAAGAAUAUGAGUGUAUGAAAAAUGCACACACUUUCAAUAGGCUCAAAAACUCACAUAGGUUGUAUAUGGUCACUAUAUUCACAUGCGAAGUUUUAAGUCAUACUUUAGUUUCACAUCAACAAGGCUAUGUGCAUUUGGUUUUUCAAAGAUGAUUAAACAUGUACAAGGCUAACAAGAGAAUAAGGAAUUUCACACAACACAUGCUUACUAAAUUCUUGAUCCCUGCAGUUCAAAUUCAAUCCAAUUAUAUCAUUGGGUCGGGAAACUAACAAAAAUCUAAUUCAAAGCGAUAAAUAAAAUAAGACAAUAUUUUUUUGGAUUUUCAAAUUUUUUUUUUAAUUUUUUUUUUUUGGGGUUUUUUUUUAGAGUAAACAAAACCAAUUACGAAAACAAAAAGCAACAACAAGGAAACAAAUCAAACCAAUUCUUAGUCAAAGGGAUGAACAUUUUCAAUUUGGUCAUUUUUUAGAUCCUUACCCCCAAACCUAAACUGGACAUUGUCCUCAAUGUCAGAAAAUGAAAAUAAAAAUAAAAAUAAAAUAAAUAAUAAUAAACAAAAUAAAGCAUUUGGACUGAAAACUUCCCCAAUUUGCAGUAAAAUCAAGCAGUGACCCCCAAACUCCAAUUCUGCAAUCAACUCUAAUGGUGGGCACGAUCAAAUUUUCCUACAAAGAAAAGAAAUAAUUCAGCUUAGCACGCAAGAAAAUUCAGAAAAAGCAAACUAAAAAUUGAAAAUGACAUAAAAAGACAAUGAAUAGAAAUAUUGGGUUGCCUCCCAAUAAGCGCUUGCUUUUAUGUCCGCAGCCGAACGGUACCAAGAGCAAUCAUCCAAGGGGAGAUGGUUCUUGGAGGGGUACAACCUCCACAUCAUGCUCCGCAAAAGACUCAUAAUAUGGCUUGAGUCUAUGCCCAUUCACUUUGAACAUGUUUCCGGUCUUUGCACUUUCGAUUUCCACUGCACCAUGAGGAAAAAUAUUAGUUAUAACAAAUGGACCAACCCAUCGAGAACGAAGUUUACCUGGAAAUAACCGAAGGCGAGAAUUAAAUAGAAGAACUUUUUGUCCAAUGGAAAAGCUCUUCCUUGAUAUCAUCUUGUCAUGAAAUGCCUUUGAUUUCUCCUUGUAUAUUCGACUAGACUCGUAUGCAUCAUUCCGGAUUUCGUCUAACUCAUUCAAUUGAAGCUUUCUAUGCUGUCCGGUAACACUCAUGUCCAUGUUGUAGGCUUUGAUCGCCCAAUAAGCUUUGUGUUCUAACUAUACUGGAAGACGGCAUGGUUUCCCAUAAACUAACCAAAAUGGGGACAUUCUAAUAGGAGUCUUAUAAGCAGUCCUAUAAGCCCACAAUGCAUCGUUUAAGCGCAUGCUCCAAUGCUUCCUACUGAGACUCACAAUUUUCUCCAAAAUUUGCUUCACCUCACGGUUUGAUACUUCUGCUUGACCACUAGUUUGCGGAUGAUAAGGUGUAGACACCUUAUGUGUGACAUUUGAUGUGAAAAUUAUGUUGACACACAAAUUAAACCCUAUUUGUGACAAUUGUAGUAAUGAUGUAAGUAGGGAUCGUUCUAACCGGGGAUUAACUAGGGGUGCUAAUCUAAUAUAAAUUGAUUUAAAAACACAAAAACUAAACUUAAAGACUCUAACAAGACUACUAUGACUCAAAACAGAUUUGAAACACUCAAAACUGCCUAAAACAAUCAAAUUGACUCAAAAAGAAACUAGAACUUGAUUUGGACGAAUUUGAAAGUGUUUAUGACUCCAAAUGCUUACAAACACAAAAUAAAACAUAUUUGAAUGACUAAGACUCAACAAAAUAUGGGGGGAUUGUGUUUGGACGAAAUUAAAUUAAAUGGGCAAAUUGUAAAGAAAACAGAUUGUAAGACAAAAUUGUGAUGAAUCAAUGGAUGAUGGAAUAGCUAAGGGGUUCUUCUCCACACAUGAAAUAUAUGCAACGUAAAUCAAUUUCCAGUUAUCAAUUUAAUAAGUUAUGAACCUCGACACUCCAAGUUAAUUAGGUCCGCUUAAAUUAACCUUCAGAUUUCCCUAGAAUCAUUGAAUUGGAUGAAUAUGCAUCGCAAACAAAUUAUUCCUAACAAGUUCUCUAUAUGAACAACAUGAUAAAGACACAAGUUAGAAUCAUUACGUUCUUUCGAAAUCAUAAGCAUCGACAAGGCAUUUGUAACUAUGAAAAGCAUGAUACUCUUGCCAAGAAUCUACUUAACACGAUCGUGACUAGCGACCUUCACUACUUGCGAAUAUGAAUUCAUAACGAUUAGGUGAAACAAACUUAUAUCCUAGCACCAAAUCCAAGCAUGCAAAUUAAGCAUGCACUCUCAAUCAACAUACAAGAAUAAGUUCUAAAUCAAACGGUUAAGCAAAUUGUAUUCACAACUUAUGCAACGAUAGCUGGAAGUAAUCAACUUAUUUCACAUAUAUAAUCAUGGUUUUGAAUACACCCUUAGCCAAAACGAAUUUAGCCAAUCAUACUUAAAGAAAAACAAAGAUUACAUGAAUUAGACAUUGAAAUAUAAGAUAGAAUACACAUAAAAUUGUUCAACAACUCAGAAUGAAGAGCCAAACAAUUGAGUGAAUCUGUCCCUUUUCCUUGCUUGCGGCAGAUUGGGUGUUGAUGGUUUCUGGGCUGUUUUGAUGAUGUAGACUAGAUUUUGGGGGGUGUAGAGGCACGGAAAGGGGUGUAGGGUGAGUGUGGAAGAGUGUUUGAUGGUUGGAAGGUGGUGGAGAACUCGGCAAAGAGGGUGGAAGAAGGUGGAGCGGCUGCUUGUAUUUUCUGGGCGCUAGAAUGGUGUUUUUGGGGUGUUUUGCUGCCUAGGGUGUGUAUGGACGAAUUUCUGUGAUGAAUGAUGAAUAUGGGAGGUGGUACUCGUGACUUAGAGUGAAAACACAUAUAUAUAGGCACCACAAACCUUAGAGAAAUCAGGUUAGGCAAUGGGCUAGGGUUUAGGUGCGGCAAUGGGUGAAAAUCCACAAGGAAAUGGCCUAACAAGUCAGAAUCCAAGAGGGAUUGGUCUAGGAAGGUGCGGCCCAAGUCUAAGAGGAUGAGGAUAGGUCAUCUAAAAGCCCAAAGCCAAGAAUAGAAACUCUCAAAAAUGGAAACCUCCAAGAAUAGAAACUUCCAACUUUAGAAACUUUGGUUUCCACUUCUGCAUUCUUUGUUCUUCACUUUCAUUUCUUCAUCUCUUAGGCUCCUUUGACCUUCAAACUCGUCCAUUCCUUGUGCUCCAUAUGCAUACACUCCAUUCCAGCUCAAUUUUGCUCUAAAAUGCUCCAAUUUGCAUCAUUUUAUGUAAUAUGCCCUUAAAACCUGAAAACACAUGAAACUAGUUUAAAAGACUACUUUAAACUCAGAAAACAUAAUGAAAAUGCAUAAGAACUAGCUAACUAAGGUGCAUAAAUAUGCUCCUAUCAACAUUGUACUUCCUAAGCAACACUUCAAAUGUUCGAUUGAAAAGUGACUCCCUCCAUCGCUGAUGAUUGCUCUAGGUGUCCAAAUCUUGCAAAGAUGUUAGUCUUAAUAAAAUCUGAAACAACUUUUGAAUCAUUAGUUUUGGUGGCUUUCGCUUCUACCCAUUUAGAAACAUAAUCCAUAGCCAAUAAAAUGUAAAGAAAACCAUUUGAAGAUGGAAAAGGUCCCAUGAAAUCAAUGCCCCACACAUCAAAGAUCUCAACAACCAAAAUAAGGGUUUGUGGCAAUUGGUUUCUUAGGCCCAAGUUACCUGUUCGUUGACAACGAACACAUGUUGCACAAAACUCGUACGCAUCCUUAAACAAACUAGGCCAAUAAAAACCACUCUCUAACACCUUAAGAGUUGUCCUCUUUGCUCCAAAAUGGCCACCACAUGCAUAAGAAUGACAAAAAGUUAGAAUAGAUUUAAACUCAGAUUCGGGGACACACCUUCUAAUCAAUUGAUCAGUGCAAUAUUUCCACAAAUAAGGAUCAUCUCACUCGUAGUAUUUGGCGGUUUUGACAAGCUUAUCUUUUUGAGCACGUGUAAAAUCAUCCGGAAUCCUUUUGAUGACCUUGUAAUUGAUAAUAUCUGCAUACCAAGGGUCAGUAAUCUUUAAUGAAAACAGUUGCUCAUCUGGAAAACUUUCACGUAAAGGGAUGAGAUCUUCCUCUGUGUUUGAAUGCACAAGUCGGCUAAGAUGAUGUACUACAACAUUCUCACUCCCUUUUUUAUCCUUGAUCUCCAAGUCAAACUCUUGAAGCAGAAGUAUCCAUCGAAUGAGUCGCGGUUUUACAUCUUUUUUGUGAGUAGAUACUUCAAAGCUGCAUAAUCAGAAAACACAAUAACUUUAGUCUCAAUCAGAUAAGAUUUAAAUUUUUCUAAAGCAAAUACAACAGCUAGAAGCUCAUUCUCUGUUGUUGAAUAAUUCAACUGUGCAUCAUUGAGUGUUCGAGAUGCAUAAUAAAUGACAUAUGGCACUUUGUUGACACGCUGCCCUAGAACUGCACCAAUAGCAUAGUCUGAAGUAUCGCACAUCAACUCAAAAGGUAAACUCCAAUCUGGUGGCAUGAUCACAUGAGCCGUGGAUAACAACUCCUUAAACUUGUUGAAUGCUACCACACACUCUUCAUUCAUAUCAAAUGUUACAUCCUUUUAAAGUAAACGGCACAAGGGUCUAGAAAUCAUUGAGAAGUCCUUCAUAAACCUACGGUAGAAACCUGCAUGUCCAAGAAAAGAACGAACCUCCCUGACAGUAGUAGGGAUGGGUAAAGAACUAACAAGUUCUACUUUAGAUUUAUCAACUUCAAUUCCCUUUCCAGAUAUGAUAUGCCCUAGAACUAAUCCAUGCGAAACCAUGAAAUGGCAUUUUUCCCAAUUUAACACCAGAUUAGUUUCUUGACAACGUUUUAAAACUAGGGACAGAUUAUGUAGACAUGUAUCAAAAGAAUCACCAUAAACUGAAAAAUCAUCCAUGAACACUUCAAUUAUUUUCUCAAUCAUAUCAGAAAAUAUACUUACCAUACACCUUUGAAAUGUGGUGGGAGCGUUGCAAAGUCCAAACGGCAUCCUCCGGUAUGCAAAUGUGCCAAAUGGACAUGUGAAAGUCGUCUUUUCUUGAUCCUCCGGAGCAACUGCAAUCUGAUUAUAUCCAGAAUAGCCAUCAAGAAAGCAAUAAUGAGAAUGACCAGCUAACCUUUCUAACAUUUGAUCUAUGAAUGGGACUGGAAAGUGAUCCUUGCGUGUGGUGUUAUUUAUCUUCCGAUAAUCUGUACAGACUCGCCAACUAUUUUGCACACGUGUAGGCACUAGCUCACUAGCUUCAUUCUUAACAACUGUGACUCCGGAUCGCUUCGGAACUACUUGAAUAGGGCUCACCCACUUGCUGUCCGAAAUAGGAUAUAUGAUGCCAACAUCAAGAAGUUUGAUAACCUCUUUCUUGACAACUUCCAUCAUAAGUGGGUUCAAACGGCGUUGAGCUUCCCUUGUUGGUUUUGCACUUUCCUCCAACAUAAUCCUAUGCAUACAUGUAGCUGGAUUUAUACCUUUGAUAUCUGCAAUGCUCCAAGCUAUGGCAGUUUUAUGAUCCUUCAGUACCCGGAUCAGUUUCUCCCCCUCUUCUGCUAUGAGUUGUGAUGAUAUGAUAACCGGUAAUGUUUCAUCCUCUCCCAAAAAUGCAUACUUCAGAUGUUCAGGAAUCGGUUUAAGCUCCAAUUUAGGUGCCUGAAUCACAGAAGGAAGAGUUUUUUCAUUAGAAGUAGGAAGAGAAAUAAAAUAGGAAGAACGCUUACCACGAAUUGGUGAAAGAGACUCAAGAGAGGCCACUGUUUGGAUUAAUUCUUCUUCAAUGUGCUCUGAAUAAUUAAAAUCUCCAUGUGUAAUGCUAUGCACUAAUGCCUUCUCUAAAGUAUCUUGUCCCACACCUUCAUUAAAACAAUCCUGCACAAAAUAGUCAAACACAUCAAAAGACAAACAAGAUUCUAAUUCACUAGGAUACCUCAUAGCAUUGAAGAUUCUGAACUUGACGCUUUCCCCAUCAAUUUCCAUGGUUAAGGUACCAUCGUAGACAUCAAUCUUCGUACGUGCCGUUCUAAGGAAUGGUUUUCCCAAUAUAAGAGGAAGUGCAGUAGGCAUAGGGUCGUGUUCCAUCUCAAGAACAAAAAAGUUAGCGGGAAAAAUGAGCUCAUUCACUUGCACAAGUACAUCCUCUAAUAGGCCUUUGGGAUAUCUAUUUGAACGAUCUGCCAACUAGAUUACUACCUUUGUUUCCUUCAAGUCUCCAAGGUUCAAUGACUCAUACACUGAAUAUGGCAUCAAAUUGAUGGAUGCCCCCAAAUCACACAAUGCUCUCCCAAACUCUUUCCCUCUGAUUACACAUGGAAUGGUAAAGCUACCGGCAUCUUUCAACUUCGGUGGCAGCUUUCUCUGCAAAACAGCUGAUACUUCCUCGCUCAAUGCCAUAGUUUCUUGAUCAUUGAAUCUCCUCUUGUUUGUACAAAGCUCUUUAAGGAACUUUGCAUACUUGGGAACUUGUUUUAUGGCAUCUAAAAGAGGUAAGUUCACUUGGACUUUCCGGAAAGUAUCCAAGAUUUCCUUAUCAGUUUGCUCUUUCUUAGACUUCAUAAACCUACGAGGAAAAUGAACAGGGACACAUGAGUUAAAUGAAUUUUGAACUUCUUUACUUACCUUAUCAGAAUCUUUUUUGUUCAAUUCUGUAUCUUUAGGAGACUUUUCAGUUUCUGUUGAAGCUUCAUCUUGCUCAAGAUUCUUGGUUUGUAGCUCCCCUUGUUCAAUUGUGUCUUUUCUAGUCCUCUUUUGCAUCCUCGACUGCUCAAAAACUUCUUUUCCACUCCUUAAAGUCACAACAUUCAUCUGCUCCGCAUUUGGAUUCACCACGGUUUGGCUAGGCAACCUUCCUGGUUGGUGUUGUUGCCCCAUCAAACUUGCUAACUGACUCAUUUGGCGCUCAAGGUUUUUAAUUGCUUUGUCUGUUUUCUGUUGAUGAGAUUGAGUAGAGUUAGCUAGAGAAGCAAUUAAAUCCUCAAGAGACUUACUUGGAGCUUGUUGUUGUUGAGGCUGAAAUGGUGUCUGCGGUAUUGCUUGAAAGAAGCCAGGUGGACGGUUAUAGUUGUUGGGAACAGAUUGUUGUCCAUUGUCUUGAUUGUUCCACUUUAAGUGUGGAUGAUCGCGCCAUCCUGCGUUAUAGUUGUUGGAAUAUGGAUCAUACUUUUGCCUUUGUUGCCCUUGAAAUCCUCCUAACGCAUUAGCUUGCUCAAGACCACCUUGAUCUAUUAACGAGGGGCACAUGUCCGUGGCAUGUCCCAUCAUUGAACAUACACCGCACACCUGUUUUGGAGCCACCAUAACCUGUUGCACAAGAUUAGUCAAGUUAGCUAAUUGUAAUUCAAUACUAGAGUUAGCACUUACCUCGUUAACUUUCUUAAGAGGUAGCUCAUCUCUCCCUCCAAAUUGUCGUGUGUUGCCAGCAAUGUUCUUUAGCAAUGCCUUAACAUUAGUUGGUGUCUUGUCCAUGAAUGCUCCUCCACUUGCUGCAUCAAGCAUUACACGAUCAGUACCACACAAUCCUUCAUAAAAAUAUUGUAUUAAAAGAUGCUCUGAAAUUUGAUGAUUAGGACAAGAUGCAACCAAAUGUGUGAAUCGCUCAUAAUAAUCUCCAAAGGGUUCUCCAUGUUGUUGUCAGAUUGCACAUAUAUCCUUCCUUAUGCUUGCAGCUUUUGUGGCCGGAAAAUAUUGCUCCAAAAAUGCUUGCUUCACCUGGUUCCAUGUGUUCAUUGAUCCCGGAGGUAAAUUGUAUAGCUACUCAUUUGCCUUGGCUUCUAAUGUAAAUGGGAAUGCCCUCAACUUGACUUGCUCCUCAUCCACAUUUGCUGGUCUCAUUCCCAAGCAUACCACGUGAAACUCCAUGAGAUGCUUGUUGGUAUCCUCUGUUGAGAAGCCAUGGAACUUAGGCAAGUAGUGAAUCAUGCCGGACUUGAGCUUAAAUCCUCCGUCUGCAUUUGGAUAGGUGAUGCACAAUGGUUGUUGAUCCGUAUUCGGCGUUGCCAACUCCCUCAAAGUACGGCUAUCAGCCAUGCCUUCUUGUGGUUCUUCCUCCUCUCCAGAACUCAAAUGUAGUGCAGAAGAUGGUGGUAAGGACACUGAUGCACGCUUCGGCUUGAUUUUUCUCUAAAGCUUUCGAAGUGUUCGUUCAAGCUCAGGAUCGUACGAAGCUAGAUCAAUGCUCUUGGACCUUCGAGUAUGCAUAUACUACGAAGAGUACCUGAAAUAAAAACAAAAAGAAAAACACUAAUGAGACAAGAAAAGAAAACAAUAGAAAAAUAAGUAAUUAGAAAUAACAAUCCCCGGCGACACGGCACCAAAAAUUUGAUAAGAUUAAAAGCACACCACAAAGUAGCACACAAAUGUCCUAUUGAUUUUCCUUAUUAACACUAAGAUUUGUCAAUUGUAGCAUAUGAAAAUAAGGAUCUUUCCCGCAGAAGAUUGUUUUAUCUAACUACCUAAAAUGUCACAAAAACUGGGUUGCUGUCCCUACUGAUCAGCCACCGAAAACUAAUUAUUAGACCGACUUAUACUUAUCUAAAGUCUACGAAAUUUUAUAUGAAGAUACUAGACACACAAAGCUACACUCAAACAAAUUUUUGGGAUUUUUGGAGUUGAUUUUCUAUUUAAAUUAAAUCGAACAAAAACAGACAAAUUUUAAGUAGUUCACAAAUUAAGAAAAACGAGUUAGGGGUAUUGCUAUCCACCACCAAAUAAUCAUGCAAACAUAUAGUUCACAAAUUAAGAAAAACGAGUUAGGGGUAUUGCUAUCCACCACCAAAUAAUCAUGCAAACAUGUUAUGUUUCAUUCAAAUUUCUUUUAUUUCCGAAUGAAGAUGCUCAAGUUGGCUCAAUGUUAGAACUCAACCUAUUACUCUUUCUUACGUAGUAUGUUAAGAGAAUGGCGUUUUCAACUUAACUUAGUCCCUAGCAUGCAAUCUAGAAUGGCGUGUUCAUAGAUUUAACAAGUAGAAAUCAUUAAGAACGAAAAGAGUUUGAGUCAUCACAAGGCAUCGUAAGUACUGGCGUUGUCUUACUUAUCCUAGAAAUUGGUUGACAUGUUAAUCGCAAUUAACAAGUACUACUUUAGAACAUAUGUAGGUCCUCAUUCGACAAGGGCAGGCACACACAUAUUCAUAGCAUUAGAAUCCUAGAUAUGCUUACUAUGUACGCAUCCAUAGAAAACAAAUAAAGAAUUCAUCAAUGAGACAAGUAGUGAACCAAGUUUCAUCCAUUCAUAAAAGUAAUUCAACGAAAUGUCAUAACAAAAUUGCAAUCAUAUUCGGGGCUUCAAAACAGCCCCUAACUUCUAAAAAAUUAGUUACACAUAGUUCUCAAAAUAAACCAAAAGAAAUACAUGAGUUUGAGAAGAUAAAACCGAGAGAAGAGAAUGUCAAGAUUUCCUCCUUCCUUUCCUUCCUUUCUCAACGCAGCAGCCUUGGCUGCUAGUUUUAUUGGAUUUAUUGCCUUCAAUGCAGUUACAAACUGCUCAGCAUCUUAGAAACCUUUGAGUGUUAAAACGGCCUUAACUUCUUCUAGAAAAAAGAUAUUAACAAUCCGCAAAUGUUCCAGAAAAUAGACAUCCGUAGCUUUCCAAGCAUAUAAGGCUCAUUCUCUAAUUCAUUCUGAGCUGUUCGCAACUUGCUUCCAAAGUCAGCUGACCUGCACAGGCAAUUUUGACGAAUUUGUUACUUAAAAUCCCACUUGUGCUAUUUUUCUUUUAUUUGCUUGACAAAUCCUACAAAACACAAAAACAAAGUAAAUAGCUUAAAAAUAUAAGGAACUAACUAAGAAAAGAUAAGUGAAUUUGAUGUAAAAUAUAUAUAAAUAUGAGCUUAUCAGUAAAACACACAAGUCAUCCUCACAUCUUUAUAUCUAGCAAUGAAUAAACAACUUUUAUAUAAUCCACCCUUUUCUAUAUACAAAUGGUUGAAUUUUCACUCACCCAAACUUUGCCCAAGAAGAGAACAAUAUACAAUAAAAAGUUAUCCCUAAACACAACUUUACAAUUUACAAACAAGAAAAGAAAAUAGACUCAUGUAUGUAAGUUAUCAAUAUAUUAACAUAUUAGUCAAGAUUCCAAAAAUAUCUCAAUCUGUAUACCAGAAAAAGAAUAAGAAAUUCAAAUCAUGCAUAUCAGGGCUCCAGGCCACCCAAGUUUUAGUGAUUUAUCUGAGUUUUAUAAGGUUAAGUUGCCCACACGCGUGGGAGAUAGACAACAUCUUUUUCUUUCUCGUGAGAAAAGAAAAAUAAGAGAAAAAUUUUAAUGCAAAGAAGCAAGAACUUGUGAGAGAGAUUGCAACCUACCCAGCAUAGUAGCAUACAGUUGGUCGCCGGGCGUGGAUCCGUGUUUGCCGGAGUUGGCUAGGUGAGAAACUUGAAACGCUGUUGGGUUUGAGUAUUUAUUUAUAAUUUUAAUGUUUAAAAUUAUUUUUAAAAUUUGAAAUCAAAAGCAAAUGAUGCUUGUACAGAUUUGGUGAUGAACCCUAAUAACAGCAAGAGGAAGUUAGGUAAAGAGUAGAAAAACGUCACUUUCAAGUUUCGUGCAAUCCGGACAUAAAACGGAGAUGUAUCUUCACCUGCAUCAUUGGAAAAUUGUAGAAUUAUAGAGAGUUGGGUCAAAUACUCACUUCCAACAAUACCGAUAUUGUCUCCAACUUGUUAAUUACCUGCGCAAUCCGUCAAGUGUGGGUUUUAUCAAAAAAAAUCUCGAUAUUAAUUGGAGUAGGGCUAUGAUAUCUAAACUCUUGUUUCCUCAAAGAUACGAAUGAUGUGGCAUAUUUCAACAAGAUAACCCCUUCUCAAAGAUAAUCACCGAUUAAUUUGUCGAAUAUUCCUUGCCCUGUAACUGCUUCAUGGCAUUAUAGUAUCUAACCAAAUUCAUCAGCAUCAACACACAGAUCACUAGACAUGUCUUGUAUCACAAGGGAGCGCUAGCUGAAGCAAAUCCUUGUAAUUCGAAAGUUUCCGCGAACCCAAUUGCAGGCCGUAACGAAGUUUCUCGAGAGAAUUUGUAAGCCAUAUCGAAAUACAAAUCACACAGAAAAAGAUCAUGAGACUUAAAAUAUCUCAAUGCUAUUAUUUCUCACAACGGAACUUAUACAUAGAAAUUCUUUCAAACGACAGAUAUCCAUAUACAUGAAAUUCUUUCAAACAACAGAUAUCCAUAUACAUUUUAGUUUUCCAAUUGCCCUCCAAUGCCCCGCAGGAAACCGUACUAAUCACACUUCAUAUGGGGGAAGCAUGAAUGGUAAAGUAUCAACGAGCAUGAGCCGAGCCAAGGUUCCGGAAAUGAGCCUACUCGACUAACCUGAGCAUAGGGAAUGAAAAACACGAUGACUAAUAUGACCAAAUACCACAUAACAUGCCCAAUAGAUCAAAAAUUCGAAAAAGAAAAAGGAACAUUAAUGAUAAGGGAGGCAGAAAAAUAACACGAUAAAUUGACCAGCAUAUCGAUUAAUGUUUCCUUCCUAUAAACCCAGUCCCUGACCAGAUUGUGGUUGAGCUCUGCUAGACAACGGUCUCCACCGGAUACCCGCGAAUGCAAUCUUCCCAUGGACUAUGAGGAGAAGGUUUUACACUCUGAAGAGCCUCCCACACUGCACUGUUACACUUGAAACCGCUACCAAAAGCAAUCUGCCAGACACGGUUCCCCUUUUGCAUCCUCCCCUUUGCCUCUGUAUAAGCCAACUCAUACCAAAUCGAACUAGACGAGGUGUUACCGAACCUGUGGAGUGUCAUCCGAGACGCUUCAACAUGAACUGGUAAAAGCUGCAAAUUCUUCUCAAGCUCAUCAAUCACGGCCCUUCCUCCCGCGUGUAUGCAAAAAUGGUCAAAAGCAAGCUUGAAAUCUGGUAUAUAAGGCUUCACUUUUGCGUUGAACAACUUCUUGGCAACCAAAGUAACAAAGAAGAGAAGCUGCUCACUUAAGGGCAGGACAAGCGGACCCAAUGUUGUGAUGUUAGUCUUAAGAGCCCCACCGGCAAUUGCCAUGAGAUCCUUGGACAAAGAAACCCCAGUUUUCCCGGCAUCAUCCUGCUCUUGAUAAACACACCUAAAUGCCUUAUCAUCAGCGCCACAAUGAGUCCUCACAACGUGGACAAGCUUAUACUUUGCCCGACGCCAAUCCAUGGACUUAUUCGAAAGCAAAACUGCUGACCCACCGACACGGAACAAACAGUUGGGUAUCAACAUGGAUUUCUUGUUCCCAAAGUACCAAUUCUGAGUAAUAUUCUCAGUACUAACAACAACCGCGUACGUAUUCCUAUGAAUUUGCAACAUAUCCUUAGCAAGAUCAACAGCUAUAACUCCAGCACUACACCCCAUACCCCCCAAAUUAAAACUCCUAAUAUUCCCCCUCAAUUUGUACUUAUUAACAAUCAUAGCAGACAGUGAAGGUGUUGGAUUAAACAAACUACAGUUCACAACAAGAAUACCAAUGUCCUUGGGCUUAACAUUCGUAUUAGCAAACAGAUUGUCCAAUGCACCAAAAAUCACCUGCUCUGCCUCCUCGCGAGCCGCCGCCAUUGAAGGCCUCGGCGGAAUGUAAUGCAUUGCUUCAGGGACAUAAGUCUCCUCUCCGAGGCCAGAGCGCUCGAGAAUCUUGCGCUGGAACUCAAGCGAGGACUCAUCGAAGUCCCCUGUCAGCUUCGAAUGCUCCAUAAACUGCUGGUAUCUCACUUGCAAAUGCGACGGCGGCUUGUAACACGAAUAGUCCACAAGGUAAACGGAUCUCGGGCGGGUCAUAAUGUAAACGGUGGAUCCAAAAACAACCAUAGCAGAGAAAAUAAUGACACUGACGAGAUUGUACUGGAGCUGGAGCCAGAGCUGGUGAAUGUCAUCCGGGUUCAUCUGGGAGGCUUCGAUGACGACGACCGCCAUUAGAGGAACUAAACAGAGAGUCAGGAGAUGGGUUAUCAAGUAAUGGUAACCCAAUUUCACAUACUUCAAGUUCACAGUCUGCAGGAAAUCCGGCAGCCGACGGCUCUGUUGGAUCCGAACUCCUCCAUUGGUGGCCGGAGAAAUGCACAUGAUGGUUGUGGGAAAUGGGCACUUGGGUUUUAAAAUAUGGGGUUUUGCGAUAUGGGGUUUGAGCGGAGAGGUUGCAGAGGUUUAUAUCUGGCUAAAAGGAUGAAGUGUGUAUGUGAAUAAGACGGAUCUGAGUGGAGAAGAUAAGGAGUUGAAAGUUGAUAAACUAAUACAACGACCCAGUAAGGAUUAUAGACCACAAGAAGGUGAUUAACAUCAUCACAAAUGAAGAUUAAUGAUAUGAUGAUGAUUGGAGGAGUGAGAGAGAAGGAGGGAGGGUGAGAGAGAGAGAGAGAGGUUUAUGAGGGGUUUGGUGUGCUAUUGGUGUUUGUUCUGCUACCACUCUACUAAACGUCUCUGUUUGGCCUAGGAUUUAGGAGGAAAGGAAGAGGAGUGAUGCAAGAAAAUGGAAUGAUAAAAUUUUAGGAGAGAAAUUCGGGGGGAUGAGGGUUUUUAAAUAUUUGGGAGAUGGACGUGUCGAAUGGGGACAUGAGAGAGAGGGGGAGAGGAAGCUUCACGAUUUCGUGCUCCGCUGCACGUUGGAAUUAAGAGAAAUGUUGAUGGGGACUUGGGAGUUUCCCAUGUUGAUGGGGAAUUGAGUGAGAACUAUUGAUGGGGACUAGGACAAAUGGGGAUGCUUGCUUGUGUAAUGUAUCCAAACUUUUCGUUUUUCUUUUCUUUUUGAUUUGGUGAAAAUUUAUAAUAUUGUAUUAAACUCUUGUUAGUCAAAACUUGCUUAUAAUUUCUUUUCUGUAAAAAGGGCAAUGUUCCUACUCUUUCCGAGGUAUCAUCUUGGUCACCAUGGCUGGAAUAAAAUCUCGAAAGCCCCGAAUCAUACCGAAGUAAUCCCAAUUCCGAAUUGAAAUAAUCUCAAACCAAAAAAUCUGAAUCGGUACCGAAUUAUUCGGUACAAGAUUCGGUGUGAGCUAUUCAUUGGUUCGAUAAUUUAGAACCGAACUACAAAUCAUAUAUAAAUAUAUUUUUAAUUAUUGGUUAAGAUUAAUUUCAACCAUUGGAUGGUUUCAGAUUAAUUUGGGCCAUUCAUUUGUUUCUCAUCUUUGCCUUCACUCCAACUCUCUCUUAGUCUCUCUUUCUCGAAUUCGAACCUCAGCAGCCACCCACCUACCCUCUCACAAUCUCACUCAAAUUCCUCUAACGAACUCUCUCAACUCCGACCACCACCACACCUCAUAACUUCAUCCUCACCUCACGACCACACUGUCUCCGACUCUUUACCCUCCUCCCUCCACCCCACACAGUCACACGGUCAACCCUCUCUCUCUCUCAUAAUCCUUUCUCUCACAAUUCUCUCUCUAUGACUGUCUCUGAUUCUCUCUUAGUGUGUGGGUUUCGAAUUGGGGCUUUUGCAAUGGGUUUUGAAUUGGGAUUUCUGUGUAGGAUGAGACCAUCAAAUCCUAGCUAUGACUAGAUUUUCCAGUCCUAAUCCGUCAAGAAAUAUUGAAAUUGCAAUUCAAUAUCGCUAUUUAAACUCCCAUCUUGAAAAGGAUCUAUUUGGGAUUUGGGAUCUCAUUUUUAGGCCGAGAUCCCGUACCAAACCAGCCCUAUUGGUCACAAACUUGAGAGAACUUUGGACAUAACUAAAGUAACUAUUUUAGGGAAAUUAACUCCCACAACAUUCUUUAGAGUUAACAACUUUGUUUUGGCAUACUGCUUGGGAAUAGCUUGGUUUUGGCAUACUGGUUGACUCGGAUACCUAUAUUCCUCAAUAAAAAUAAAUAAAAAAUAAAAACCAUCACUUUUGAUUGUAUAAUUAGGGCUGGGCUCGAUUGGCAAAUUGUGCCAAUUUCCUUGUGCCACCUGCCAACCAUAUAUACAUAAUUACUGAAAAUCAGUUACCUCUAGCCAACCAUCUUCUUACAGUUGCCUAAAAUCGGUUCAGCCAAAAUUAUUGGUUGGUCGUAAAUGGCAUAACUGGUGGUUGCAAAUAAGCUACAAAAAAAAACAGCUCAAGACUAUGCACCGACUCGUAAACAACAAACUAGAAAAGGGGAAAAAAAGUUUUUGCCGCUAUUUUUCAAUUGAUGAUAAGCCAAUAUAAUCAUGACUUAAAAAAUUAAAAUGGAAAUCAAAUCAAAACUUAAUAAGCCAACAACAAUUGUCAACAAACAUAAUCCAAAUAGUUAUAAGUUUACAAACUCAAAAGUCUAACUAAUAUAAUUGUCUAAAUUCAAUUGUAGCAACUAAUGCAUAAACAAAAAAAAAAUCAAAACUCAAAAAUAUGGUUCUGGUUAUAAGAUCUCCUUAUAACUAGGGAGGUGUGCGUUGAAGAGAAGAAGACAACUGAGAGAUCAAGGUUGCUCGAAGUCGUGCAAGAGUUAGAAAAAAAAAACUGAACAACCUUUAUUUUUUAAACCCUAAAACUGAGGAGUCAAGCAUGUAAAAAAUACCUAAAAUAUCUAAAUAGAAAAAGAAAUAUAUAUAUAUAUAAUCCAAUAAUUAUAUUGGUCGAUAUGGUAUAUCGCCGGUGUACAAAAUCCAAUAUCAAAAAUAUCUAAAUACCUAAAAUAUCGUCGGUAUAUAAAAUAUUAUAUAUAUAUAUAUAUAUAUAUAUAUAUAUAAUCCAAUAAUUAUAUAUAAAAAAUACCUAAACCAUCUAAAUAGAAAAUAUAUUGGUCGGUAUGGCAUAUUGCCGGUAUACAAAAUCCAAUACCAAAGCCAUACCAUUAAUUGUCAGUUAGGUAUAAAGCCAACCGAUUAUGAAAAAAUGUCAAAACUAUACCAUACCUUUAUGAACCGACCAAUAUGGUUCGGUCGGUAAAAAGUGAUAAGCUUUUAACCUUCGGAAGAAAAUGUUUUUUUUGUAUUCAAUUUUUUUUUUUCACAAACGAUAUUAUCUACACUAAAGGAGACGGGGUGGAUUUAGCCUCACAAUGGACUAACAAUAAUGUGGUUCAAAUUCGCCUUUAGCGAAAAUCGAACCUAAGACCUCUCACUUAUAAAUGAAGAAGAAUACUAUUAAACCGUAGUACAUUAUUUGUUAAAUGAAAUGAAUUUGUAACUUUCAGAAAUGAUGAAUGUAAGUACAUUAUUUGUUAAAAAAAAAUAAAUUCAAGAUACCAAACUGGCCUAAGUUUCUUUUCUAAUAAGAUGUUCAUAUUAACUUGUAAUGUCAGUAUUUGUGACUUUGUAUGAUUUCUUUUCGUGAUUAUGAUCAUUUUUUUAAUAUUUGAUAACAGAAAGUUAAUUUUUUUAUUUGUUAGUGAUUUUUUGUUACAAAAAAAUCAAUUAAAAACACAAUAAAUUCAUCCUUAGAGGCUGAGCUAACAUUGAAUAUCUCAUAAUAUAACGUAAAAGAAAUGCUAAGGAGACUCUCUCAAAAUAAAACUCUCUAUGAACUAUCUAUCAUCUUAUCCCUUUGGCACAAGAAUUGUGCCAAAAAAAUGAAGUGACAGAUAGUUUAUAAAGAGUCUGCUUAGUACUUCUCAUAACGUAAUUAGCCUUUUAGCCAGUAUAAAAGCAAACAACUUGAUUGAGGAUCCUCUUCAGUCCUGUGAUCUUUUAAUCAUGUCCGUUCAUACAUCGUGCAAUUAGAAUUCAUUUAGAAUUUUUUUUAUUUACAAUUAAAUACAAACAGUACUUGACGAAAACUAAUCAUAUGAUGUACGAUUAAAUGACAUAAUUAAAAGAUUUUUGAAAUCCUCACAAAGAUGACCCGCAGAGUAUCCUCGUUCAAACAACUCUUCGUGGGACAGAUUGGUCAAAAUGAUGUCCAAGUAAUAAGUGCAUUGACCGCUUUUGGAACAUUCAAAUAUAAACGCUGCAAUCAUAUGGCUCAUCACGUUUUCAAUCAUGUUUUCAAUCAUGUUUACUGACCAGAAAGAUGCAAUCAUAUGAAGAUCUGAUCGGUGAAAAAUUACCUUUUUUGCUACAAAUUGGGCUUUAUUGCUUGAGAUUUCACAGGCCUGGAUUCAUUCCUUUUGUUGAUUAGGUUUUUAUUGGCUCUCAAACCAAAUACGCAACCAGGCCAUGACCACCCUCUCAGCCCAAUACUGUAGCUAGGCACAAUUAUGUUUUCAUCCUAAUUAGGGAAGAAGAGCGUUGCUCCUCGCACCCAAAAAUUUGAUCAUCAUACUCAGCAAUUUCACAGGCCUGGAACUCCACGCUGCUGACAUAUCGAAGCUGGCCAACAUGCUUGAUGUAGAUUUCCAAAGAGAAUGACCACCAAACGAUGAUCUCCCUACUGAACGUGCCGUCUUCGUUGCCAGUCGAGUCGUCAAAGCCGGAGAGUGCGUUUCUGGAUGCACAGACGAAGUCGGAGAUGUAGGUGUUGAGAAAGCAGGAAGCAAAAGAGGAAGCCGGAGGAGAAGAAAAGUUGGGACUGAAUGAUUCCCAAGCAGAGAAGCAGCCAGCAUGAAGAAAGAGAGAACGGAGACGAACGUGAAUGUGAAUGUAAAUCUGAACAUGAGCAAAGGACAAACGGAGCUGCGCUACCCGAUUCAACAAUCAGGUCAAUACCCGUUCCCGCCAGUUUAGUGAAAGGAAAUAGCCGCACUCCGCAGUUGGGAAGUCAGUAGCAUGGAAUUCUAACGGGUAAGGGAGGGGGCCUCGUGCUGACUACAUCAGCAGUUUACAAACAAAUUGACGGACAAGCAAACAAUGUCUAACAUUGCAACGAAUUUAUAAGUUGAUGUUUGACAUUUCAAUAUUCAAAAGAUACGGUAUGUAUUUGCUAUGUGACCCAAAGUUGAGCUGGUAAAAGUAAUUUGUUAAUCUCAGUUUACUACUCUGAAGUUUAGUGGUUUUCAACAUUUGGUACAUGAAGUUUUUUUCAUCCCAGAGUCAUACCUCAAGUCUUAAUUUUGGGACAGUUUCAUACAUCAGUUAAGUUUUCUGUCAGAACCUCCGUUAACUGAUGGUGUGGCGCCUACAUAGACAAUGACUUGGCGCCACGUGUCAAUUUGGACCCACAUAAAUAUUAAAAAAUUAAAAACUUAAAAAAAAUUAAAAAAAUUAACUUUUUUGGGCAUCCUUCCCCCCUCCUUCCCGACCCAUUACCUUAUUCUCCCUCCCUUCUCUUCCACACACCCACCCAUCUACCCCACUCCCUCCCCCUCCCUUCUAUCCUUAGCACCCACCCAAGUACCUACCCCAACCUUUGUAUGGUACCAACCCCUACCCUAGCUAUCAGUCCCCAAAACAAUAUUUUUUUUUUCUGGGCCGCUCCUCACCCCCACGACCCCCUCCCUCCCUUCUUUCCUUUCUCUCCUUUGCACACACCUCGUGGACCCAGAGAUCUGGAUCGUCGGAGACGUAGUCGGGGCUGCUGACACUACUGGCUCACUCCUUUGUCGACACUUCUUCUUGUGAUGAAUAUCGCAGAGGGUGCGUUUAAUGGAUCUAAGCCUGGUGAAGAGCGACGCCCCUAUGGGUGGGAUGAUUGGAUUGCUGGAGUUUGGGGGUGGAGCAGUGGAUUCUAGCGAGGGAGGGGGCGGUUGUUAACCUGAGCGAGGGAGGGGGGCGGUUGUUAACCUGAGCGAGGAAUGAGGGAAGAUGCGCUGGAGGAGAGACCUGAUCUGGGACUUGGGCUAGUGGAUAAGUGGCGGUGGGUUAGAGAAGAGGUCGUGGGCGGGAGAGCCGGUGAGCUUCUAAACAACGUCGCAGAAGUGGGAGAGAGACAAAGGAAGAAAGGAAGAGGAAGGAAAAAAAAUUGAAUUUUUAACUUUUUAUUUUUUUUUAAUUUUUUAAUAUUUAAGAGAGUCCAAAUUGACACAUGGCGUCAAGUCAUUGUCUAUGUAGACGCCACGUCAUCAGUUAAUGGAGGUUCUGACGGAAAACUUAACGGAUGUACGAAACUGUCUCAAAAUUAAAACUUGAGGUAUGACUCUGGGAUGAAAAAAACUUCAUGAACCAAAUGUUGAAAACCACGAAACAUCAGGGUAGUAAACUGAGAUUAACCAUUUUUUUUUUUAAUGUUUAAAAUUUGGGUGAAGAAGUUGGUCAUGCCAUGUCAUCAUUUAACGACCAAAUUAGGAUUUGAUUUUUGUUCUUGUUCCUGCUCUAACCUCAUUUAUAGAUUUUAUUUUUAGUUUUUCUAAUCAACCUAGAUAACAAGUUAAUUGAAUUUAUCUACUUAUAUGACAAAUUCUUUUUUAUAAUCAAUAUGUAUCACAAUUAAUGUGUUUCGCUUGUAGGUAUAUCUGUUUUUGUAUUUUUUAGUUAGGUUUCACAUCCCGCGUAUAGGUAUUAUACAUUCAUAUAUUUGUUACUUGAAUUAGGAUCAUAUGUUCUCUAGAUUAAUUUAUGUUAAUAUAUUAAUUCUUUGUUAAAAUAUCAUAAGUAGAUUUUUUUUUGUUUUUGAAGAGAAACGAUAAUAAUAAGUAGAUUUAUUGGAUCUCAAAAAAUGCAUGAAAUUAGAAAACUUUUAUUUAUCUCUAAUAUUUUAAAACUAUAAAUAAAUAUAACAGAAAAAAAAAAGUGAAAAAAUUAAUACUGAAUUUAACCUAAUAAUCAUGCUAAUUUUUUUGGCCCAAAACUUAAUGCACAACUUUUAAGUGUGGUCAUCUAGUACUAUGGUUUAAUAGUACUUCUCUUCACUUGUAAGUAGAGGUCUUAUGUGCGAUUCUUGUCAUUGACAAAUUUGAAUCAUAUUAUUGUUAGCCAAAUAUAAGGCUAGGUCGACCAUCUUCCUCUUCAUUUAGAUAAUAUCGUUUAUUUAAAAAAAAAAAAAAAAAAAAAAAAAAAAAGCUUUUAGAUGUGCAUAGCAAGAAGCAUCAUUUAUCCAUUAGAAGGCCCUUUCUAAUUCAAAUCCUUUUUUAUUAGACAAAUCCACAAGCCCACAGAGAAAACUUGCACAACGGGCAGCCUCUAACCCCGUCCCGUUUGCUUCAUAACUUAUCCACCCAAUAGUUGGACGCCACGUACCCAAUUCCACAACGGACGCUGCUGCCUCCGUUUGCUUGGAAACCACACUAGCUAAAGGCGGUUCCUCCUUUAGCAGCCAGAUAUAAAUACAACACCCCAUCGCUCUCUCUGCGAAUAAGCUUUCGACUUGCUUUCUUCGCGAUCAGAGGUACGUGCAGGUUCUGAAUCUUCGCUUUUUAUUCAAUCUUUUAUCACCUAAUAUUAAUCUUAAUUGUUUUGCCAGAAAUCUUUACUUUUCUUUUCUUAAUUUUUCGAAUCAGAAAUGUUUUUGCUGUGAUCAUUAGCAUCUUUACUGAAAUAAAUCUACGUUUAGCUUAAUUUUGAAUUGUUAAUAUUUCUGCCCUGAUUGUUUUACCCGUUGUUGUACGGUGGACUGGUAUGUUUUCCGGUGGUAGUUUCACCGUGGCAUUUCGUCAAACACUUGGUGUGCGGUUUCUGUAUUCAUAAUUGUGUAGCUCAAACAUACUUUCCUCAUAUUUUAUGUGGUAAAUUUUGUGCAAUUAUUAUGUUUUGUAAUCAGACAAUCAAUAUGGACCGUAAAUUCAACAAAAAUACUGUCUGAUGUUAUGAUAUCAUGGGUAUUGGUUUUUAAGUAAUCUUAAUUAUGUGAUCGGUGAGGGAAAAUGAUUGUGCUUGAUCUGAAUAAGUUGAAGAACUCUUUGCCUUUACAUGGACGUGCUCCUUUUUUAAAAAUUUGGGAAAGAGAUGUCCCUGCUGCACAGAUGUGAUUGUAGAGGUUGUGGGAUAUUUGGGGUCUAAAACAAUAAUCAACCUUUGAAUCUCAUAUUAGUGCGAGCGUAAGAAGAUAAAACGAACUAGCCCACAGAAAAAGUUAACUUUUUGGAAGCUUUUAUUUUACAUUGGUCAUUAGAGAGAGACAUAUAACUCGAGUGGUAGCAAUUAGGGUUCUGAGGCCAUCUGUGAAUGCUUUCGUGGUACUUUUAUAUUCUUAUGUAAUAUUUACUUGAAAUUUGUUUGUUCCUAAUUUAUUUCCCCCCCACAUUUAUCUGUUGUUUGCACAAAAUAUCAAUACAUUCUUUCCAAAUUGUUUGUUAUGCCAAUAUAUGGAUCCAGCUGCUCUGAUUCUGAUUGGUUACAACUGAAAAGUUUGAAUCAGUGUGCUUUCUGUUUGUAUUUCGUUCUGUCUUGUAUGUUUCUGGCACAUAAUUAUGAACCAGUUAUUGCAUUUAUGGUGUGCUUUUAAGAAUUGAUUGGCGUUGGUUCUGCUUCAGUUUUCUACCCUGAAUAUUGAUGGUAUAACUGAAUUUGUUGAAGUGACUUGCUAUGACUAGUCCUUGGAUUUAGUUUGAAAUGGAUCGGUUUGCAUUAUUUUGAAUUUGAAGGCCAUCUGUCGUCUGUCUAGAUCUUUUAUAACGAAUGACUAGCGUAUCAGGUGCUACUGACAAUGGAAUCACAGAAAACUCAACAUGAGCCAUCACCGGCUGCUGCAAACCCAGCCGCCACUUCAUGUCGAAAGAAGAAGAACGAACAAGCCACUUUCUUGGAGGAUUUGAAGGAUCAUAUUGAUGAUUUUGUAAAUGCAUCUAUGGAUGAACACAAAACUUGCUUCAAGAAGACCAUGAACAAGGUUUGUUCCCAGUUCAAAUUUAAUGCUAAUACAACCUAUCUGCAACUUUUUUCGUUGCUCAAUCGGUUUGCUUCUGUUUCUGAUUCAAUAAUUUGCAUUUGUUUUCAGAUGUUUGGAAUGUCAAAGAUCGUCUCUAAGAGGAGUGCUGACACCAAGGAAGUUGAGAGUACUCUGCCCCUUCAAACCACAGUGGCAAAAUAGGACAUCUUCUCUUGCGUAUUAUAGGCAUAUAUCUUGAGAACCAAACUUUGCUCCUGGCCUUAACCAAUUAGAUUUUUGUGAUGUGUAAUUUGUUAAAAUUGUGGUACUGCACUGUCAUUUUUACCAGUACGAAAACUUGAGUUUGUAGGUUAAGUGGCGACUAUUAUGAACUCGAUUACAUAGUGUCAACAACGAUGUUACUUCUCGUGAUUUACUCUUUUGCUAUUCGGGUAGUUUUUAGUAUGUAGUAUGAGAUUGCACAGGAGUGCAUUUGUAUAGCGAACUAUGGUUUUGGUCCUUAUAAUUCGGACGAAGUUCCAUAUUUGUUCUAUUAGUUUCAGUUACCGCAAUUUAAACUCCAUGGUUUACGUACUGUUGUACCUCAAGGACAAAGGCACAACUCCAAUUAUUUUAAUUGAAUUAGCAUGUAAGGGUCGAUUGAACCUGUUGGAGGUGUGGAAUCCCCAUGCACCUGCUUGGCUUGACGUGCUAAUUACUUUGAAAUAGUGACGAAACACCCAAUGUUCUUGAAUUGCAGCACGUAUAAACCAAGUGAUCUAAUUGCGAUGAGUGAAAAAUGGAACUUCACACAAGCUACAAGGACCAAACUCAUACCAUUUGUAAGCUGUGCUUCGGGGAAGUUUUGGUCUAUGGUUGGCCUCUAUGGUGUUGGAUGUCAGUUGUUCGAGUCCGCUUGCCUUCAAACACAAGCAGACACUAGAUAUUGUGGACAACCCUGAGGGCCGAGACCCGUCGAUGUUUUGAAUCUCCGUCAAUAUAGCUUUGGCUGAUUCAGGUAAGGACAAAAACAUCACUUGAUCUCUAAUUCAAGUAAGAACUACAUCAAAUGGUCCAAAUGGUUAAUUUAGGUCAAUUGGUUUUCAAGGCUCGUGAAACUUGUAAUGGAACGAGAACAACAUCUGACCAAUUGUGAUUAUAAAUAUACGAGGCAAAUAAUUAUCUCAUUGGUUGUAAUUCUAAAAUGUCUCCUUGAAUCCAAUCAUUUCAGUUUAUUUUAAUCUAUGCAAAAAAUUAACUAAAAUCGGAAUGGUCUAGCUAUCUAAUGUUAUCCAAUAAAUAGAUGGACAAUGUUUCUCACUCAAACACUGAAAUUGUGAUAACGUUAAUUAAAUGGUUAAACGAUUUUUUUUAUUUAGUUGACCUUUGCAGACUUAAUCCUUAAAGAGUGAUCUAAAAGUAGACAGUUUCCAUCAUUAAGCAACAUUGUAGAGUAAGAGAAAAACUGAAAAGAUAAAAAUGAGAAAGUUGAAGUGAAAAAUUUGCUAGCGUCCCCAUAUAUCAAUGUCAGUGAAAUAAUAGAAAUGUAUUUUAAUGGAAACACAUAUAUGAAGCUUUUGUAUAAUAUAUAUAUAUAUAUAUAUAUAUAUAUAUAUAUAUGUGUGUGUGUGUGUGUGUGUGUGUGUGUGUGAAGCUUUAGGGCCUAUUCAUUAACAUUUUGAAAAAAAAAAUCGUUUUAUGAAUACAAAAAGGAGUGAAAAAUGUGUUUGGCAUUAUAUUUUGUGAAAAUAAACUCAGAAAAUAAUAGAACAUCAAAUUGAUGUUUCAAUUUUUUUUUUUUAAGAAAAAUAUUAUACAAUAAAGUAUACAUUAUUAAAAAAAAAAUAGAGUUUUGAUUAAAAAAAAUUCCUAUAGGUAUGCCACCAUUAUCGUCAUUAUUGCCACCACUACCACAACAUCCUUCAUGGUCUAACCACCAUCACUAUCAACGCCACCAUCUUUGACACUACUACCUCCCACCACCAUCAUAUUAUCCACUGUCAUCACUCCUGCCCCCAUGGGCAUCACCACCUCCACCAUCUCACCGUUGCGGCCACCGCCACCAUCACCACCACCUUCUACCACCAUCACCUCACUCUCCACCAUAUUUACCCUCACCAUGGCCUCCAUCAAUUCCACCAUCUCUACCACCAUCAUCCCGGCCACCAUCUAUCAACCACCAUAUUCACAAUCAUCCUUCAUAAUCACUGUUAACACAACUAUUAUUUGCCACUAUUGUACCCAACACCGCCACCACCACCACCAUCACUUCAUCCACCAUUGCCCCUUACCACACUAUUGCCACCUCCUAUAUUCCUCCACUACUAAAUCUCCAUUGUCACCACUACUACCACCACACCAACUACUAUUGCUACCAACAUCACUUUCAUCGUCUCAACCACCAUCACUAUUAAACACGAAUUUAUAUUGUUUUGACAUUUUUUAUAUUAGUUCCAAACACGAUUUCAAUGUUUUCAUUUUUUAAAAUCAUUCUUGGAUUAAACUAUCAGACUCAUUCUCAUAUCAUAGAAAUGCAAAAUUGUAUUUGUUGUUUUUGUUUUACAAAAUAGCUCCUCAAAAAUUGUUUUGUAAACCGAUACUGGACGAACCCUUAGUGUUUUUUUUUUUUUUUUUGCUAUAAGAAGAAUGUACCAAAUAGUAGAUCUUUGAGGGAAAAACCGCUUGUGAAAAAAACCCUAGUGCUUCAAUUGUGAGAAAACCCUAGUGCACCCACUCCCUUUAGGUCUGUGGGAAAGCGGUAACCCUCCCCUUCGCUCUUGCUUCCUCCAUGCUUCCCACUUGCUUACUUCUCUCCCUUUCUCGUCAUCUCUCCCAUAUCUUCCUCUUUCUUCUCUCUCUUGCCUUCUUUCCUUACUGGUUAUACUACUUCAUCUUUCACUAAUGGUAACUUGCCCCAUCUUUCCAAAUAUGGUGGCAUGGCCCAUUUAUCCACUGAUGGUGGGUCGCCUCAAUUACCGAUUUUUGGUGAUGGUGGGCUUAAGAUCGACCUAUAUUGGGCUUUUGAUCCGUCUCCUUUCAGUUUUCGCUCAUCUAUUGGAGAUUUUCGUUAUACUGCACCAAAUCCAAAUUAGCCCCAAAGACAUAUAAAAUCCCUAAUCUUUACACAUUACUAAGCAUAACUGCUAGAACGACGAAGGGACAGCGGUCACGCAAAGGCAAAUACGAUCGUUGGAAACAUUGGGCGGCGAAGAAGACGUCACACAAAGCUUGUGACAUCAGACAUUGCACGACGAAGGAAAGUGCUUUGUUGCAUGAAAUGAAUGUUACGCGACGGAUUUGGUGGUCUCUGCUCGAAACAAAGAGCGAAGUAUGAGUGUUCGUUGCGCAUGAUACUUUGAGCGACGAAACUAGGGUUCGACCACUAGACCCUUGCACGACGGACAUAAGUUGCAGUAAGAUUUUAAAAUUAAUUUUUUUUAAAUUAAUUUUAUUGUUGUAGACUUAUUUGAUUGAACGAUCUUAGGUUUUAGAGAGAGAGAGGACCGGCGGCAAUUAGAGAGAAAUGAGAGAGUGAUUUAAUUGUGAUGUGUGUUUGUAUCACCCCAUUGUGCCUUUAUUUAUAAUAGUAUGAUAAGUAAAAACCUUUCCCUUUAGGAUUACAACAUAUAAUAGGUAAUCAACUCCUAAUAAGAAUAUAAGAUACAUUCUCAUAUAUACUAGGAUUUACACAAUCAUAUUCCUAUUCUAAAUAUGACUACAACACUCCCUCUUGAGUGUGUAAAUACUCAACAAACUAUCGUACAAGAUCUUUGGCAGAUAAGGUAGAAUAGUUGAUGAAGUUAUCAGCACAACGGGUGAACGCGAGUCUCAAAUUUAAGAAAGUAUGCAUUUGUAGUAAAACUCACAAAACCUCGCUGUGGUAAAACUCAAGGCAUAGGGAAAACCCAUAGACUAAGGAGAAAAGUGAGAAAAAUACAUAAUGUCUAAAACAAAUGUCAAACAGAACGAAAGUAGUGAACUCAAUAGAGUAUGAUCAUCCCAUGAUUGGUGCCUCGUUAAAACCUCGUUAAGUAGCAAAAACACAGUGGGAAAAAUUGAUGCGAAAAUUAACUUAACACACAAAUUAAACCCUCUUGUUGUCAAAUUGUAGUACAAAUGCAAGUACGGAUCGUUCUAAACCGGGGAUUAGAAGGGCUUGCUAAAACCUCUAAACUGACUUAAAAACAUAUAAACAAAGUUAAAAACACUAAACUAGACUCAAAGAACUUAAAACAAACUCAAAGGACUCAAAACAAGCUAAAAACGCUCAAAUCUAUCUAAAAACACAAACUGGGCAGAUUUGGACUCUAACACACUUUUGGGACACCUAAAAACACAAAUCAAAACAGAUUUUGACUAAUAAAACACUUUAAAGUAAAUGGGGUUUUGGUUUUGACGAAUUUGAAAACAAAACAAGUAAAUUAAAGAACUAAUGAAAUCUGCACGAAUUUGAGUAAAUUGAAUGGAUGGAAGGCUAGCUAGGAGGUUCUUCUCCACACAUGACAUACUUGCACAUAAACCAAUUUUCAGUUGUUCUUUCGAUCAAUCAUGAAACUCAACACCCCAGGUUAAUUAAGUCCGCUUAAAUUAAUCUUCAAGUUCUCCUUAAGUUAUUGAAUUGGAUGGGAAAGCGCAUACAACAAUUCAAGCAUUCUUCAAAAGUUCUUUACGUGAACAACACAAUAAAGAUACAAUCAAAGAUCAUUAAGCAUUAUGAAAACUAUAAGUAUUGACGAGGCAUUCAUUACUAUGAUGAGCAUGAAACUUCUGCCAAGAAUUUAUUUAACGCGAUCGUUUAUAAGCGACCUCCACUACUUGUGAAUAUAAGUUUGUAACUAUUAGGUGAAACUCCCUUAUACUCUAGCAUCAUAUUCAUGCAUGCAAACUAAGUGUGCACUCUUAAUAAACAUACAGGAAUAAGUUAUCAAUCAAGCAGUUAAACAAAUUGAAUUCACAACUUAUGAAAGCACAACUGAAGGUAAUUAAAUCAUAUUGCAAGCAUGAACAUGGUUUCGAAUUCCCCCCUAGCUAAAGGGGGUUUAGUUCCUCAUACUCACAAAGAAAAGAUAAACAAAUUUAGACAUUAAAAAAAAGAAUGAAAACACCUAAAAACGCUCCAACAAUCCAACUUGAAUGGCAAGCACGUCCAAGGGUCCUCCUUUUUCUUUUUGUUGCGGCACAAGGUGUGGUUUGAUGGAUAAGUGGUAAAUUAUGGUGGUGGAUGGAUAUAGGUGAGUUAUGGUGAAGGGUGGAUGGGUGGAUUGUGUUCUCUCGGCCAAGGAAUGAAAGUGUAAGUGUAUGGAGUUGUGAGAUGUGAAUGUAGUGUCUUUUGAUGGAUCUUUUUCUCCCUCCCUUGUUAUGGUGAAGGGUGGAUGUAUUUAUAGGCUAGGGAGAGGACUACCAUCUAAUUAAGGUGGUAGUGGUGUAUGUUGUGGUAAUGAGUGGAUGUAAUGGGUGUAGUGGGUGAAUGUUUGGUAAUGAGUGGGUGUAAUGGGUGUAAUGGAUGGAUGUUUGGUAAUGAGUGGAUGUAAUGGGUGUAGUGGGUGAGUGUUUGGUAAUGAGUGGAUGUAAUGGGUGUAGUGGAUUGAUGUUUGGUAAUUGUAGGUCAACACACUUGCACACAAGCAUGCUGAUUUCUAGCCUUCAAAUCUUCAAAAACGUCCAUCCUCAUGUCUCCAUGCUUGCACUGUUCAAUUUUGGCCCAAAAAUGCUCCAAAAUUCUCCAAAUAGCACUUUGUUGCUAACUUUGUUAUUUGAACCUACAAACACACGAAAAUAGCUUAAAGUACUAAAAUAACUAGAAUUAAACUAAGUAAAUGCCAAGAAACAAACUAACUAAGUUGCAUAAAUAUGCUCCUAUCAAAUUCCCCCACACUUAGCUUUUGCUAGUCCUCGAGCAAAACAAAAGAAACAAAAUGAAACAAAACAAACAAAACACAACCUAACCUUCCAAUAUUUGCCUCAGGGAUUUCCAAUGCACAUGACAUGUUAAAAAUUACCAUUCCCACAGAUUUUGGUUAUCUUCACACUUGAGCACAAACUUAAUCACGGUCACUACUUACUAGUUCAAAAUUAACUAAUUAAAACAAUGUUUUGGAUGUAGUAACAUGCCUUAGAGAAUUUGCUCAAUUCCUUACAAGAUACUCUUUAUUUUCACACACAUUUUCUGACUGCACCCUACACUAAAAACUAGGACUCACAUAUGUUAUAACAAAGGAAGCAAUUUUCUGGAGUUAUUAAGCAUGUUUAGAUAUGAUCUCAUGAAUGGUAUGCUACUACUUAGAUGCGAGAACUAGUGACACCAUAUGCUCAUACCAAUUUCAAACUCCACAAAUUGAAAUGCACAACACUCAAGAUUGAAGUCAAGGGUUGUAACAUGGCUUGGGGGUAAUGGCUAACAAAGAAAGGAUAUGAAUAACAAACGUUUUUAAAGCGAUAGCAAGCAAAACAAUGAAAUAGACACUUGGAAUUCACUUUAGAAUGCAAAAUCAACUUUUACAUACAAAGGGAAGAUGCAUGCAACACUUAGGGCUGAAUUCAAUGUUUUGGACCCUUUUUUAACAAACAACACUUUAGAGCUCUUUUUCAUACUUUUUUUUUCUCUACCCGUGCCUUAUAAGGACUUUGGCACACACAGACACAAGAAUCACUUCCCCCCACACUUGCUUUCUACAAUACAUUGAUAAAAAAGGAGUUCAUUUUAGGUCAUACUUUACUAUGCUUCAAGAACAAGGGUAUGGAUGAUCCUAAAACUAGGCUAGGUAAGGAUAGUGUGGGUUAACAAAGAACAUAGGCUUAACAAGGCUCAACGAGGUUAAACUUAAACACAUAAUGAAAUAGGGGCACGACAAUUUAGCUUUGGUGGUCACUACACAACUUCAUCUUGAAUAUGUGUUAUGCAAAUCAAUAGCAUGCUUUGAAUGAAAUAGGCAUGAGUUUUAGCAUUUGGAACUAAAUGAUGAAACGCCUUCUAAGUAGCAACCAAGCAAAGAAUAAUGAGAUCAUGCAACGACUUUAGAAAACAAUGAUGCACAGAUUAUUAACUCUCCGAAUAAACGUCUAGGCUCAAGUCUCACAAGGUUGUAGCGUUCAUUUGAGUUCCUUCCUUCAAGCAUGUUACAAAAACUGAUUUUUCCUUUAUGAUUGCAUGUGAAUUCAUAAAUUAUAACCACAACCAAGCAUACACCAAAGAGUAAAUCAAUUUUCAUCCAUGUUUAUAACUCUCUUUAACAAUCAUGUAAUUAAAAACCAAAUCCUCAUCAUUGUGUUGGAAGGUACCAUAAGACACAAAUAAACACACAAAAACAACUCUUUUUGGGUUUUUCAAAACAAUUUUUUUUUCCAAAUUUUUAUGAGAUUUUCGGAUUUUUAUGUCAAAACACAAUAAAACACUCCUAAAUAGCUUAAAAACACUUAAAAACAGCAAGGAACAACACUGGAAGUAAUGGGUGAUAAACUCCUACGAAUUUCAUGCAAAACAACUUGGUUACCCCCCCCCCCACAAUCAAACAUUGUCCUCAAUGUUUCAAGCAUAAACUCACAUAAAAACAAGCAAACAAACAAACAACGAAUAAACAUGACAAGUAUGGUAAAGUAAAAACCAGACAAAGUAGAGUUUAAUAACGUAAAUCUGGUUUUGGAGAUAGAUGAUCUUGGCGACUUUCCACAGCUUUGAUCUCAAACUGGUUUGGAAUUCUGAGCGAGGAAUAUGAGAGUUCCUUGGUUUCAAAUCAGACUCCUUCUGUUGGGUUGAUUUGAUUGUGCAGUCUGCAUUCUUCUCUGCUUGUUUCUUCUGCACGGCAGGCAGGUAAGAGGUUGAGGUGUUGGUCUAUUUCUUUCUUCAAUCUUUCCAAGUGCCCACCUCUUGCUUUCUUUCUCCUUGUCCCUAGCUGAGGAUGAAUUGGCAAAUUGUCUCCACAUGCUUCAAGGUAUCAUUUUCACUUCCCUUAUUUGUUCCCCAGGCAGAUAUGGUAGACGAAGAGGAAGCAUAAGAUGAUGAAGAUGAGUACUCGAGAGCAAGGCUAGGUAAGCAAUCAGGAAGGGGUUCCAGGCAGUCGGUUCCAGAUCGGAAGAUUGAUACCAAGUGCUAGCUGAUUGCUCUCUUUCUCCUUGUCCUAAAACAAUGACAAGGAGAAGAACAGGGAGAAAGCAUGAUAUGAGAUACUCUUGCUUUCAACCUUUAUGAUAUGAAAUACUUUUGCUUUGGAUGAGUUGUUUGCAGAGGUACCCCAAGGAAUAAGGAACACUGAGUGACUCAAGAGGGUUUGUUGGAAAGGCAUUCUCGGAGAAGAAGAAGGGUUAUGUAUGUCUGUCUUGCAAUGGAGGGUGAAGGGUGACAUUUAUAGGAAUUAAUAACCAGUACUAUUUUUUCACUCUUGUCAGCAACCGUUGGAUGAUUUAAUAGUAAACUUCAGGUGCUUUAUACUUCACAAGAGAUCUUCGACAGAUUGCCCGUAAUUUCUGCAAGGCUGAGUGUGCAUGUGAUAGGUGCUGACACGUCUGGAAAAGUAAGUGCCUCUUCGAUAUCUGGAAUCGGCGAUUCGACAAACUACCCGUGAUUUUCGUAGAGCUGACUCUGUAUGUGACAGAUGCUGACACGUCUGGAAAAGCAGAUGCCUCUCCGAUAUCUGGAAUUGGUGCUUCGACAAACUGCCCGUGAUUUCUGCAAAGCUGACUUUGCAUGUGAUAGAUGCUAACAUGUCUGGAAAAGCAGAUGCCUCUCCGAUAUCUGAGUUUGCCUCUUCGAUCUCUGAAAUCCCGUCGAGUGCAGAGGUUGCAUGUGACAAGUGGGGACAAAUCUGGAAAAAAAAAUUGGCCGUGGUUUCUGAGCAGGCCCAGCUUUUGAGAAAGCUAGCACCUCUUUGAUUUUUGAGUUGGCCUCUUCGAUUUCUGAGCUCGCCUCUUUGAUCUCUGAAAUCCCUUCGAGUGUUUAUUUUUAUAGAGGUACGCAGGACGUUCAAAGCACACUUGAAUUUUUGCCUGUAGAAACUCCCUUCUUGGACUUCUACGAUCUUCACUUGUUCGACCUCUUCUUUCUUUAACACCUCUGAAAAUGUCUGGCCCAUCCGACCGUCGUUUUGACUUGAACCUUGGUGAAGAGGCAGUCCCGCCUUCUCCAGACAACAUAUGGCGCCCAUCCUUCAUAUCCCCUACUGGUCCCCUUACCAUCGGGGAUUCGGUGAUGAAGAAUGAUAUGACAGCUGCGGUGGUGGCCAGGAACCUUGCCACUCCCAAAGAUAACAGACUACUUGCCAAACGGUCUAAUGAGUUGGCUGUUAAAGAUUCUUUGGCUUUUAGUGUGCAGUGUGCAGGUUAUGUGUCUAAUAUGGCCCAACGCCUAUUUGCUCGAACCCGUCAAGUUGAAUCAUUGGCGGCUGAAGUGAUGAGUCACAAACAGGAGAUUAGAGGGCUCAAGCAUGAGAAUAAACAGUUGCACAUGCUCGCACAUAACUAUGCUACAAACAUGAAGAGGAAGAUUGACCAGAUGCAGGAAUCUGAUGGUCAGAUUUUACUUGAUCAUCAGAGGUUUGUGGGUUUGUUCCAACAGCAUUUGCCUUCGUCUUCUGGGGUUGUACCGCGUAAUGAAGCUCCAAAUGAUCAACCUCCGAUGCUUCCUCCUUCUGGGGCUCCGCCGACUGCUGAGGCUCCGCCGACUACUGAGACUUCUCCUAAGCAGCCUUUGUGAAGACUCCCUCUUGUAGUUUUUUUCUGCUUAAUGUUCCUUUUUUUUAUGAAAAUGAAUGUAAAAAUACCUUGCAUAACUGUCAAUGUUUUAAAAAUAAACCCACACCAAAAACAAUUAAACAAGCAACAAAUAAAAAUGAAAAUCAUGGCAAAAUAAAACUACAGAAAAGGGAAGGUUUUAGGAAUGCAAAACCAAUCGUGGAGCAAUUCAAAAAUCUUCCUUAUUUGAAUACGUGGGUUGCCUCCCAAGAAGCGCUUGUUUAACGUCUUCCAGCCGGAUGAAACUUCCUUCUAAACUUGGAUAGAGCCCAUAGCAUGGAAUUGAUCCUUGAAUGGACGGUGAUACUUGACGUGAUCCGGCAAUGGUUUAAAUUCUAGUGUAGGUGCCUGAAUCAGCAAGUUGGAGAAGAUGGCUUACUUGCUUGCUCCAACAUAAACUCAAUUACGAACACCACAUGUUUGAAGGUUGCAGAGAUAUGGGACUUGGCCAGAUUUGGUGUUUUAAGAGUUAUGACUUGUCCCGUGUCAUAAAAUCCAACUUCUUUGGGAAUUUUCGUCUCAAGUGUAUCUUCUUUGAUGAAUUCUAGACAUUCCCCAUCCACUUCUUGCUCUUGAUUCGUUGGAAAGGUUUCGAAGAUGCCUUUCUCACCCUCUUAUUCCUUGGAUUGCAUAAUCCUGCAAGGAAUAAGGACAUUUGGUGAAACGGGGCCAGGACAAAUUGAAUUUAGGCUUACCUUGGUUGUGGUGGACGGCAUAGAGGGUAUAUGGGGCUGCAGCAAGGGUGGUUCUUCCCUUGCUGUGGCCUUGUUAUUCUCCUCUUCUUCGAGCAGCAGUUGUUCAUCCAUGUUUUGGCUUGGUUUGGAUGUCUUGGGUUCACCUCCAACCUCCAUAGCACUUGCCAAAGUGAUAGCAUCAUGGAUUUCAAAAUCUUCCUUCAAAUUUUCAAUAGUUGAGUUGGAGAGUUCACUUUGCUCUUGAAUUUGUGCCAUGAACUCCAUAAUCUGCCCAAUUUGCUUCUCCAAUUCACCCAUCUUCUUGGCUUGAUUUUGCAUCUCUUUAUUUCCAUUUUCUACUUCCUGGUUCAAAGAGGUGAGUAACUUAUUAAACAUAUCAUUAUCUAAAGACGUACCUGAAUUGAAUUGGGUAGAUUGUUGUGGUGGCUGCAUAGGUCUUGAAUAGAACUCCUCUUCUUGCUACCAAUACCCAUCUUGUUGGAAUUGUUGAGGUUUUCCCCGCAUGUAAUCUGAAUAAUCUCUCCAAUCUAAAUUGUAAGCGUUGGAAAACAUGUCAUCCCAUGAUUGGCUAUGACCUUGAUAACCCCAAACAUCUUCAUUCGCAGCGAAUUGAGAACAUUGAUGAGUUGGAUAUCCUUGCCCAUAGGACACACCGUAUGUAGGGACACUUUGCAUUGUGGUCCCUUCGGCAUAUUGUGACAAUUGAGAAGUAAGUUUCGCCAAUUGAGCUUGAAUGGUAGCAAAAUCCAUGUCUUACUUCUCUAGUACCUAAAAUCAAAGAAACAAAACUAAAUCAAAUAUCAUAAGUAAAAAUAAAAGACACAAAUAGAAACAAAGUCAGUAACUAAAACAAAAGACAUGAAAAGAAACAUCGGGGGAUUAGCAAAGUUGCUAAUCCCCGGCAACGGCGCCAAAAAUUUGAUGCGAAAAUUAACUUAACACACAAAUUAAACCCUCUUGUUGUCAAAUUGUAGUAUAAAUGCAAGUAGGGAUCGUUCUAAACCGGGGAUUAGGAGGGCUUGCUAAAACCUCUAAACUGACUUAAAAACAUAUAAACAAAGUUAAAAAUACUAAACUAGACUCAAAGAACUUAAAACAAACUCAAAGGACUCAAAACAAGCUAAAAACGCUCAAAUCUACCUAAAAACACAAACUGGGCAGAUUUGGACUCUAACACACUUUUGGGACACCUAAAAACACAAAUCAAAACAGAUUUUGACUAAUAAAACACUUUAAAGUAAAGGGGGUUUUGGUUUUGACGAAUUUGAAAACAAAACAAGUAAAUUAAAGAACUAAUGAAAUCGGCACGAAUUUGAGUAAAUUGAAUGGAUGGAAGGCUAGCUAGGAGGUUCUUCUCCACACAUGACAUACUUGCACAUAAACCAAUUUUCAGUUGUUCUUUCGAUCAAUCAUGAAACUCAACACCCCAGGUUAAUUAAGUCCGCUUAAAUUAAUCUUCAAGUUCUCCUUAAGUUAUUGAAUUGGAUGGGAAAGCGCAUACAACAAUUCAAGCAUUCUUCAAAAGUUCUUUACGUGAACAGCACAAUAAAGAUACAAUCAAAGAUCAUUAAGCAUUAUGAAAACUAUAAGUAUUGACGAGGCAUUCGUUACUAUGAUGAGCAUGAAACUCCUGCCAAGAAUUUAUUUAACGCGAUCGUUUAUAAGCAACCUCUACUACUUGUGAAUAUAAGUUUGUAACUAUUAGGUGAAACUCCCUUAUACUCUAGCAUCAUAUUCAUGCAUUCAAACUAAGUGUACACUCUUAAUAACCAUACAAGAAUAAGUUAUCAAUCAAGCAGUUAAACAAAUUGAAUUCACAACUUAUGAAAUCACAACUGAAGGGAAUCAAAUCAUAUUGCAAGCAUGAACAUGGUUUCGAAUUCCCCCCUAGCUAAGGGGGGUUUAGUUCCUCAUACUCACAAAGCAAAGAUAAACAAAUUUAGACAUUCAAAACAAAAGAAUGAAAACACCUAAAAAUGCUCCAACAAUCCAACUUGAAUGGCAAGCAUGUCUAAGGGUCCUCCUUCUUCUCUUUGUUGCGGCACAAGGUGUGGUUUGAUGGAUAAGUAGUAAAUUAUGGUGGUGGAUGGAUAUAGGUGAGUUAUGGUGAAGGGUGGAUGGGUGGAUUGUGUUCUCUCGGCCAAGGAAUGAAAGUGUAAGUGUAUGGAGUUGUGAGAUGUGAAUGUACUAUCUUUUGAUGGAUCUUUUUCUCCCUCCCUUGUUAUGGUGAAGGGUGGAUGUAUUUAUAGGCUAGGGAGAGGACCACCAUCUAAUUAAGGUGGUAGUGGUGUAUGUUGUGGUAAUGAGUUGAUGUAAUGGGUGUAGUGGGUGAGUGUUUGGUAAUGAGUGGAUGUAAUGUGUGUAGUGGAUGGAUGUUUGGUAAUGAGUGGAUGUAAUGGGUGUACUGGGUGAGUGUUGUGGUAAUGAGUGGAUGUAAUGGGUGUAGUGGAUGGAUGUUUGGUAAUUGUAGGUCAACACACUUGCACACAAAUAUGCUGAUUUCUAGCCUUCAAAUCUUCAAAAACGUCCAUCCUCAUGUCUCCAUGCUUGCACUGUUCAAUUUUGGCCCAAAAAUGCUCCAAAAUGCUCCAAAUAGCACUUUGUUGCUAACUUUGUUAUUUGAACCUACAAACACACGAAAAUAGCUUAAAGUACUAAAAGAACUAGAAUUAAACUAAGUAAAUGUCAAGAAACAAGCUAACUAAGUUGCAUAAAUAUGCUCCUAUAAAAAAUGCUCCUAAUCGUAGGAAAAAGAGUACAUUAAGAUCAUGUGAGUAUGCUUCUAGAUACUCCCCUUGAGUUAGAUAUAACUUCUAAAUAAGAGAACUACAAGUGAUUCAACUCAGAUAAUUUACGCAUAUCGAUUCCUUAUACGAGCUUUUGAAAAGUAGACUUGGGGCAAUGACUUGGUGAAGAGAUCGGCCAGGUUGUCCUGGGAAUGGAUUUUCUUAACUUCAAUGUUCUGAUGCUAUUGCUACUGGUGUGAGUAAAAGAACUUCGAUGCUAUAUGCUUGGUGUUAUCUCCCUUGAUGUAUCAUUUCUUUAAUUGCUCGAUACAUGCUGCAUUGUCUUCAGAGAUCGUCGUAGGAAGGUUAAUGACUGAUGUAAGACCAAUAGUGCUUCGAAUAUGCUCCAUAACUUCCCUUAGCCAAAAGCAUUCACACAAUGCUUCAUGUAGGGCGAGAAUCUCAACAUGGUUUGAUGAAGUCGUAACUAGCAUUUGCUAGGUAGAGCUCCAAGAUAUAGCAGUGUCUCCAAUGGUAAAGAUAUAACCAUUUGAGAACGUGCCCUAUAUAGGUCAGACAAACAUCCAGCAUCUGCGUAAUCAACAAGGCGAGAAUCAAUCUGAGAACCAUAGGGGGCGGUAACACUCAAGGAUUCGUGGGUAUAGAACAAGCCCAAAUCCGUAGUACCCUUGAGGUAGCAAAAAAUAUCUUUAACACCAUUUUAGUGCCUGCGUGUGGGCGCAUUGUUGUAUCUUGCCAAAAGAUUAAAAUUGAAGAAGAUGUCGGGUUUAGUGCAUUGAGCCAAGUACAAUAAAGCCCCAAUUACACUUAGGUAUGGAACUUCAUGUUCCAAAAUCACUUCCUCAUCUUCUUUUGGAUGGAAUGGAUCUCAUUUAGCAUCUAGAGUCCGAAUGACAAUAAGUGUACUCAAAUGCUUCGUUUGAUCCUCAUUAAAACAUCACACCACCUUUGAGGUGUAUUUCGAUUGAUGUACUAGGAUUCCAUCCGAACAAUACUCGAUCUCCAGGUUGAGACAGUAUCGAGUUUAACCAAGAUCAUUCAUCUCAAAUUUCGAUUUCAAGUGUGAAGCAAUUUCCUCAAGCUCUGCGGGAGGCUCGAUGAGGUUUAUGUCAUCGAUGUAAACUGCAACAAUUGCAAAUCCAGAAUGUGACUUCUUUAUGAACAUGCAUGGGCAUAAUUCGUUGUUCACAUAACCUUGACUUGUCAAAUAUUCACUCAAACGGUUAUACCACAUCUGCCUGGAUUGUUUCAAUUUGUAGAGUGACCUCUUCAACCUAAUUGAGAGUGUUCCGUAGUCUGGAACUAUUUGAACCAGUCAAUGGAAGUCAUUCUGGAACUUUCAUGUAUAUUUUUGUAUCUAGAUCCCCAUAGAGAUACGUGGUUACCACGUCCAUAAGGUGUCUAUUCAGUUUUUUAGAACCUACCAAGGUAAUGGAAUGUUAUAACAUCCAUUACAGGGGAAUACGUCUCCUUAUAAUCAAUCCCAAGGCGCUAAGAAAAGCCUUACGCUACGAGGCGUGCUUUGUAUCGCACUAUUUCAUUCUUCUCAUUACGCUUUCUCACGAAAAUCCACUUGUAGCCAAUGGCUUCAAGUGUGGUGGUGUAGGAAUGAUAGGUCCAAACACUUUACGUUUUGCGAGUGAAUCGAGUUCGACUAGGUGUUUUCGUUCUUAGUUUGGAUCGGUUGACUCGGUUCUUGUUCAUUCGUUUUAGUUUGAUACAUGGUUCUGACAUCGGCAUCGAGUCAUCUGACUCGUGGUUCUUCAUCGAUCGGUCUAAUCGGCAUUAAAUGAAUUCAAUGCGCUAAGCAUGAUGUCAAUAGUUACUGAGUAUGUAAAUGCAUCGGUGACGGUCAUCUCAUUCCUAUUCCAAACCUUAUCCAAUACUACAUAGUGGACCGAAAUCUCGCGAUUCUCGGGAGGCUGGUAUGUUUUGUCUGAAGCAUCACCGUAAUCUAUAAUAACCUCAUGCGCUGGAAUGGAUGAGUGAGCAAUGGUCAGAUUCAAACUAAGGUCACUAGUUGGUGCCAUUUUCCUUUUCCAGGGUUGUGAAUCCUUUGAACCAAAAGGUAUGCCACGCUUCAGGGUUGGAGCAGAUGAUUAACUAGCCACCAAUAUACCUUGCAAUGUGGAAGGUGCGGCCUCCUUACCUUCGGGGAUGGUCCGGCCUUCCCAGGUAGGUUGUGGAUGUAUGCAAGGUACAUCUAUCCUUGCAGGUGCAUUUGUAGCAGGUAUAUGUGAUCUUGUCACCUUUGCUAGAUCGUUAAAAGCAUCCGGCAUGCUUUGAGCAAUGCUCUAAAGAUCUAUAAUUCGUCGCACCUCAAUUUCAGACUAGGAAAUGCAGGGAUCUAAAUGAGACAUAAUGGGAGCAUACCACAACAAUUCAUGGUGUUCUACAGGAACGUUAGCAUGCUCAAAUCCCCCUAAAGAUGGAAAGACUAUCUCAUCAAAGUGACAAUCCAUAAAACAUGCGGUAAAGAGAUAUCUUGUUAAGGGUUCUAAGUAGUGAACAAUUGAUGGCAAAUCAUAACCAACAUAGAUUCCCAAUUUUCUCUGAGGACCCAUUUUAGUACGUAGUGACGACACUAUUGGCACAUAAAUGGUGCACCUAAACACUCGUAAAUGCGAGAUGUCAAACUCGUAUCCAGUAACCAACUGUAACAGUGAAUGUGGUUAGGUAGCGGUGGGCCUCAGGCGGACAAACAGAGUUGCGUGCAAUAUUGCAUAGCCCUAGGCAAAUACUGACAAUUUGGCUCUCAUAACCAAAGUCUAAGCUAUCAAUUGAACCACUUUAUGAAAGCUUCUACCAGGCCAUUUUGGGUGUGAACAUGGGGUACAUGAUGUUCCAUAUCAAUCCCUACUGACAUGCAAUAAUCGUCACAAUUCUGUGACGUAAACUCUCCAACAUUAUCCAGUCUUAUCGACUUAAUCGGAUAAUCAAGAUGGUGAGCCCUUCGCUUAAUGAUUUGAGCUAGGAGUUUAGCAAGCGCAGUGUUGCAUGUGGACAACAAGCAAACAUAUGACCAUUGUGUUGAUGCAUCAACCAACACCAUAAAGUAUCUAAAUGGUCCGCAGGUUGGUUGGAUAAGUCCACAAAUGUCCCCUUGAAUCCUCUGAAGAAACUUAGGGGGGUUGUGAACAAUCUUUAUAUGUGAGGGUUAAGUAUCUAACUUCCCUAAAGAACACGCUUUGCAUGGCGGGAGUCCAACAUAGGGAUGUAAUCGAUGCCCAUGUGAAGAUUUGAGGAUACGGCGUAUCAUGUCACGUCCAGGACAUCCCAAACAGUCAUGCUAAAGCAACAAAGUGUCCUGGAACUCAGGCAUAGGGCCGGCCACACUGUGGGCUUUUAUGCCGCGAAUGGUUGUGAUGUACAACCUACUCGGCAGACGUUCCAACUUCUCGUGUAUACGCUUCUGGCCAUAUUCGUACGAACUGAUACAAAGAAAUUCAGAACCAUUAUCUUCAGUGGUUUCAAUAUAAUAUUGAUUAUCUAGAAUAUCUCUAAAACUUAGCAACGUUCUUCCGGAACAUGGAGAAUAGAGUGUCUCCUUAAUGGUUAAGAUAGUACCAUUGGAUAACAUGAUACGGGCCUUUCUGUAUCCUUCAAUCAAGUUGGAUAGGCCUGAGAGAGUUGUGAAAUGAGCUUUCUUGGGUAUUAAUUUAGUAAAAUACUAUCGUUCACGCAAGAUGGUGUGCAUGGUUGCACUAUCUGCCAGACAACUAACUUCUACCUAGAAAUAAAUUGAUUGAAUUGGUCACAUGCAUAAAUAUAAGUCCAUUCAUUCAAUUAAGCAAUUCGAGAAAAUAAUAUCCAUUCAAAUAACAAUCCAUAAUUCAAAACAAACCAAAACCAAACAAAUUAUUCCAAAUACUUAGAAAAAUUGUUCAAAAUGAAACCAUAAACCUAGAAAAAUAAGGGGGAAGGGCCGGCCAUUCCUAGUGGGUUCAGCCACUAGGGGUAAACACCCUAAAAACAUGUCUAAUUUAUUCAUCAGAUGCCUCCUGAAAAUCUGAUAUCCCUAUUGAUGUAGUAUCAUCUUCUGAAUGAUCCACAUGUGCAAAGUUAGACUCAUGACGGGAAUGAUACUUAACAAUAGCCUCGGGGGAAGCUCGGCAUACGUGUGACCAAUGAUCCCUUGAUCCACAGCGGUAGCACAUGUUCAGUUUAGUAGAAGCAGGCUAAACGGGUGCUUUGCCCUUGUUCUUGAAGUUGGGAGCUUUAAGGGCAAGUGGUGGACACUACUUGGUCACUUUUCCUCUCUUAGGUGCGGCACUUUGUUGACCUUGGGCCCGUGGUAGGGCUUGUCGCCCAUUGCCAUGGGCACGGCGAUUUUUUCAUCAUUUAUGGCUGCUAAAAUUGGUCCAUAUGCUUCAGGUGUGGCGUUCGAGCCAGUCGGUCGAGCUUGAUGAUUCUUCAUCAAAAGCUGGUUCUACUUUUAAGCAAAAAGUAAAACAGAGAUCAAAUCCAAAAACUUGGUGAAUUUUUGUGCCCUAUAUUGUUGCUGCAGGAUAAUAUUGGUGGCAUGGAAGGUCGAAUAGGUAUUCUCCAAGAGAUCUGAUUCAGUUAGUUCCCCUUUGUAGAAUUUCAACAGUGAAUGGAUUCUACAAACUUUAGAGUUGUAUUCAUUCACUGACUUAAAGUCCUGGAAACGAAGAUGUUGCCAGUCGUGUCUUACUUCAAGCAAGUAUAUGUCUUUCUGGUGAUCGAAACAAUCGGCCAAAGUAAGCCAGUGGGUGCAUGGGUCUUUCUCAACGAGUUACUUGGUCUGUAGUGCAUCAUGGAUGUGUUGUCAAAUGAAGAUCAUUGCAUUAGCCUUCUGAGCUUCAUCGACAUAUUUUUCGACGACAGGUGCCUUGAUGGUAGCUCUAAUACCCUUUGCAGUGAGAUGGAGCUUCACGCCUUGAACCCACUUUAGAUAGUUUCUUCCAAAGACUUCUAGAGCGAAGAAAUCAAGCUUGUUUAAGUUCGACAUGUCCUUAAAAUGGAGGGAAAAAACGUGAUUAGUCAUAUGGUAAACCAUACACAUAUAUCGUAGAACAAACAAGUCCUACAGACAUUUAUUGGUUUAAUUUAUGCAUAAAAACAACAUGUUUCAUGCGGUAUGUUUUGAAUGAAAACUUCGGGUUUCAAAUGCACUAAAUUUGAAAGUACAGGUUCAAUUUAGUUUUAUGAACAAUUAGUUCAUAAUGAGAGGUUUUGCAAGAAACACAUAAUGCAAUAUACUAAUUUAAAUAUAGUGGGUUUAAGUUUCUUCGGGAACUCAAGUGUGAGAGUUUCCUUACUAAGAAAGUAUGUCAACAGUUCAAAGUAUAAAAAUAAAUUAUUUAAUUGUUAAUGUCCAAAAGUGAUAUUCAGGUCAAUAAUUUUAGAUUCAUUAUUAGAUUAAUAGACUGCAGGUCACUUUUAAUUAAUUCAAUAAAUUGGGCCAUACAGGGUCGAUUGUAGAAGAAAAAUAAUACUAAAAUAAUAGUAUUGGGUCAAAAAUACUAUAGCCCAAAAAAUAGGGUUGGGUGCUGUAAGCAAAAGGGCUCGGAGGUGGGCUGCAGGCCACGGUACGGGAGACUUGGGCCCAGCACAGGGCUAGCAUGAAUGUGGCGCAGGAAACCCCAGCUAAGUUGGGUUUGGUUUGGGCCGUAAAGGUGAGCUUAGCCGCAUAGGCUGGCUGCAUGUUAUGCUGGUCGGGGCUAAGACAAAGCCCAACAAGUAUGACAGCUUGCUGGCGUGGGCCGAAGCCAAGAACCGGGCUGCAGGCCCGUGUUUGAGAACAAGCCCAGCAUGCUUCUGGCAUGCGGGUUUGGGCUCGGGUUGACCAGGGCUUUCAUGCCCGUGUGAUAGGGAACCCAAGUCGAGGCCUAGUUAUGUCUGAGAAGGAGCAGUAAGCCCAGAGGGCUGCACAAGUGGUCCAAGGCGUUGGGGUGACGCCAUCCCACGAUGGUGCCGUAAUAAAUCACCCAAUUUUUUUUUCUUUUUCAAAUCUAGGGUUGAAAAACCCUAAUUGCUUCUAAGUUAUGAAUAUACUUUGACUCACAUAUUCCACAUAGCAAAUAUAAUUGCGUAGUGCAUGAAAUAAAUAAAUAUAUUGACAAAUAUAUGAACAUAUACAAUAUAUAUAUCAUAAGGAAAAUAUAAACAUAGAGGGGUUCAUGCAUCAUGGGAAAUGUUUUUAUGCUUCAUGGACAUUUCAAAUAUCUUCUUUUAUUUUAAGCGUACCUGAUUAAUAGAAAAAAAAAUAUAAGCCUUUGAAUUUUGUGGAUGAUAGCCUCCUCCUGUGAUCCGUCAAUUCCUCAGCUUCUGGCAAGAACGUGCAAAUAGCAUGGCCUAUUUGAUUUAACGAUCUUAGGUUUUAGAGAGAGAGAGUACCAUAAGCAAUUAGAGAGAAGAGAGAGUGAUUUAAUUGUGAGGUGUGUUUGUAUCACCCCAUUGUGUCUUUAUUUAUAGUAGUAGGAUAACGUUUCCCUUUGGGAUUACAACAUUUAGUAGGUAAUCAACUCCUAAUAGGAAUAUAAGAUACAUUCCCAUAUCUACUAGGAUUUACACAAUCACAUUCCUAUUCUAAUAUGACUGCAAUAUUUAUUUAUUUUUUCCUUUUAAAUGUUGAUAAUAUUGCUUUAUGUAUAAAUUAAUUUAAUGAAAUUAAAAAUAGAAAAUGUAAAGAAGAAUAUUGAAUUAAAAAAUUAUUGAAAAUGUAAAUACAAUGGAAAGAAAUAUUUUAAAAUUUGAAAACAAUUUAAAAAAAAAAAAACUAGAAUAUGUAGUCGCCCACGUCACAAUCACCUACUAGUGGUGUUGUUGGACUGGGAGGUUGUGGCUGCUGCGGCAGAGGACUGGGAGGUCAUAGCUGCUGUGGCGAGGGAUUUGGAGGUCGUUGCUAGAGGUGGUUCAACAUUGGGGAACCGAAUGCCAAAGAUUUGAAGGGUAAGACGAAUUUGGUUUAUCAAAUUGCUUUGGGCCGCAAGCUGAGAUUGCUGGGCGACAAUCUGCUGCUUUAGGUCCAUCACUUCAGAUGUCAACGAUUUGACCUCUUCUGUUCUCUGCCUGAAGGAUGAGGCAGAAAGUUCCCGAAUGCGGGCUUUCCCAAGCCCCGGUGAACAUUCCCAUGCCUACAACCGAGGGUCUGAUCGAGUGUGUCCGUCAAGGGGAAAACACCUCUUGAAUCGGGGUCUCUGAGGGAAGCUGGGAAGCCACCUCUUCCAGAAUGGUCUGGCCCUUCUCCACCAUGGUGGACUAGAAAAAUGCAAUAAACAAAUUAAUUUUAAUAUACAUGUAAUUAAUAUUAAUACUAAUUGAAUAUUAAAAAAUUGGAACAACUUACAUGAAGCUGCUUUGUCAGCUCAUCCCCGUGCCGAACGUACACCACCUUGAACAUGUCAAUCUCAGGAAACUUUGACCCCCCUGAAUAAAAAAAUAUUAACACAUAGAUUACCAAUUGUGUAAUAGAGAGUAAAAAGAAUGAAAACUUAAAAUAAAUAUACGGUUACCUUACGUCACUCCUCCUACCUAUAAGAGAAGCGUCGUGAGCCGGAGCGGUGAAGAAAUUUCUUCUUUGACUGAUUGAUUGAGUUUGCCUUCACUUUUUUCUAUUGAAUUAAAAAAAACGUAUUAGUUUAGAUAUUUAUAACAAAUUACUGAAAAAAUUAAAAUAUUAUUUAAAAAUAUAAAAAUUUGAUUCAAUAUUAUUGAAAUAUAUAUUAUACUUACGAGGUAUUUCUUGUCCUGAAAAUGGUCGCAGAACCACUCUCAUUCAUCCCGGCAGUCCACCAACUCUAUAGGGCACCCAACUGUUAGAGCGACCUUCGGACCAUCAUAUUUCUCAUAAUGCUUGUGAAGGUUGCUCUUCCAUUGAGUAAACCUACGGGCACAAAGGUCGUUGACGUACUGGUUUUGAUUGGCAUUGAGGUUUGUGAGCUCAUAGUGAUGCUGCAAAACUCAAUAAAUAAAUAGUAGUUAAAAUUUAUAAUAUUUGUACACUUUAAUAAAAAUUUAGUAUUUGAAGUUGAAAAUACUUAUCGAUAAUUCAUGAAGAACGGCUUCCUUGACUUUAGGUGGGAUAGCUUUUCAUGACAGCCACAUGAGGGGGUAAUGAUUCUUGAUAACCGAGCCAAUGUCGAUGGCCAACGCACUGUGUUGCUCAUUUGUUGCAGCCGCACGAUGUCGAGGAUCCCACGUAAUGGUGAUCUUCUCGGUCGUGGUGCCAGUGGUCUGUGACAUCUUCAGAAGUCUGCAUGGGCCCCUGGUUUUUUUUUAUUAUUUUUUUUGAACUACCAAAUAAACAAAGUAAACAUUAGACAAAUUCUAUUUUCUACCGAAAAUUCGACUGAACCUCCCCUAAAACUAUAACAUUUCAUAAAACCUGUAGACAAUAUAACAAUAAAAAAAACACAUCCACCCAACAAUUCAUAUAGUUUAUACCAAUUGGGGACUUUAAAACAAAAUUUACAACUUGUAUCAAGUGUUUUCACUUUUAAUUGCAUCACUGGCCGUGAAUUUGUGAAGAGACUACACACAUAAUGGAUUGCACAUGUAAUUAUGUAAGUUGAGAACAAUAUCGAUGUGAGUAGUCUCAUCUUUUUGAAAUUUUAACACACCAUAUUUGUAACUUGAAAAAUAUACUGAAGAUUUUCACUAAUGAGAAAAUAAACGAAUAAGAAAGAUAACUUUUUAAGAGUGUAACCAAAGAAUGUAUCAACCAACUUUUUUAUAAAGAAGAUUGGGGAUCUUUUGUCAUCCACCAACAAAUUUCAAUAUCCUCAGUAUUUUGUAACUAAUGACAUUCUAUGAACCUACCUGAAAAACCAAAGAAUUUAAAAGUUUGAUUUUCACAACAACCAAAAAAACUUUCAAAAUUUCGAUUAUACUAUGAGAAAGAUGCAUUACCUGUCUGGGACCCCUUUCCAUGGACAGAGGAAGUCUCACCAGACUGCUAAGCCUCCUAAGAACUUUGGGGCCAUCGAUGAGUCCGUCGAGUGCUUAGUACAAGAUGCGUCACCGAAGAAGUCAAUGACGUAGAAGCUGUAGACACAGUUGGACCGAAAGGCGUGACUGGAGGGACACCCAUUGUGCCCAUAUCAGGUGAAGAGGUGGUAGCAGCACCACCUGCUGAAGAAGGUGUCUGACUGACCCUACUAGCUGCCCGGCGGUUUGAAAUUUAGUUUGACAUCUACAAAAAAAAUAAAUUAAAAAGUGACAUUCUACUACUUUGACCUAUUAAUAGCCAGGAAGCUAGAGAGAACAUAUUAUGGCUAAGAAAAGUGGCAGAAAUCAUGAAUACCAGAGAUUUACCAUCAGAUAGAAAAUGAGAGACUGACAUCUACAAGAAGUCAAUAAUGAUUAGCAUUAACUAAUUAAUCUGGUUUAGAUAUACUAAAAAAUAUCUUAACCUUGAAAAAUAAGAUGUAUCUUUUCACCCUUAGAUUAAUUUGUUAAUCUGGUUUGGAUACAUUCUUGGUUGACAUGAGUCCUAGGAUCCGAAACAACAACAACCAUACGAGAGAAAAAUGAAGAAGGGGCAUUGCCACCUUCCCCAUCAUGCUUAUGGAACAUGCCAUGCAACUUGUAAGGAAUCAAUGAAUGAUGGAAGAGGGCAAGAAUGUACUUAUUAUGGAUGAAGGUAAGGAUGAAUAUGUGUGUGUGUGUGAUGUGAAAAUUAUCUCACCACACAAAUUUAACCCUCUUUUAUCAAUUGUAGUAAAGAAUGUAAGUAGGGAUCGUUCUGGACCGGGGAUUAGGAGGGUUUGCUAAUAACCUCUAAACUGACUCAAAAACAUAAAACUAAACUUAAAAAUACUUAACAAGACUCACAAGACUCAAAGCAAACUUAAAAUACUCAAAACAACUUAAAACAACUAAAUAAACUUAAACUAGACACUAGGAAUGACUUUGGACGAAAAUUGACUUUUACUUGAAUCAAAACAUUUAAAAACACAAAUUAAAAUAGAUUCUAACUAAUUAGACACACUAAAGUAAAGGGGGAUUGAGUUUUGGACGAAGUUGAAACAAACAAACAAGUAUGAAAAACUAGACAAAUUGUAAAACAAAUUUGAGAAAUAAGAUGAUGGAUGGGAUAGCUAGAGGCUUUUUCUCCACACAUGAUAUGUAUGCAAACAACUCGAUUUCCAGUUACUACUUCAUUGAAUUAUGAACGACAAUGCUCCAAAUUAACCGUGACAUCACUAGUUAACUCUCAGAUUUUCCUUGUUUUAUUGGAUUGGAUGACAUCAUUCGACAACCCAAAACAUUCUUCUAAAGUUCCGUACAUGACAUCAUAAUAGAGAUACAAUCAAAGAUCAUUACAUUUAAUGAAAAUCAUAAGCAUUGACAAAGCACUUGCAACUAUGACAUCAUGUCACUCAUGCUAGGAAUUGAACUUAACGCGAUCGUUUAUAAACGACCUCACUACAUGUGAAUAUAAGUUUGUAACGAUUAUGUAAAACUUCCUUAUAUUCUAGCAACGGAUUUAUGCAUGCCAAUUAAGUGUCGACCCUUAAUUAACAAAUACAAAUAAGUUAUCAAUCAAAUAGUUAAGCCAAUUGCAUUCACGAUUCAAGAGUUCAUAACUGGAAUUUAUCAAAUUAUAUUGCACACAUAAUCAUGACUUUGAAAUCACCCCUAACCAAGAGGGGUUUAGCCACUCAUAUUUACAACAAAACGAAAGGAAAUGAAUUUAAACAUUAGAAACAAAAGAAAGAAAACACCUAAACCCUCCAACGAUCCAAGUUGGAUAGCAAGCACGUCCAAGCACUUUUCUUCCUUUCCUUUGCUACGACACAAGGUGUUGGUGAGUGUUUGAAGGUUUGUUUGUAUGGAGGAAUGGAUGUGAAGAUGAAUGGAUGAAGGUUGUGUUGAAUGCGGCAAAGAGUGGAGAAUUGUGUAGAUGAUGUGUGUGUGUGGGUGUUUUGGAUUGAUGUCCCCCCCUGAUGAAGGGUGGAUGAAUGUAUUUAUAGGCUAGGAAGAGGGUGUAGUGGGUGGUGGUAAUGAGUGGAUGUAGUGGUAGGUGAAUGGAUGUGUUGGGUGAAAUGAGUGGAUGUAGUGGUAGGUGAAUGUGUUGGGUGGUUGUAAUGAGUGGAUGUGUUGGGUGAAAUGAGUGGAUGUAGUGGUAAGUGAAUGUAUUGGGUGAAAUGAGUGUGCUAAAAUGGUUAUUUAUAGGGAGAGAAUGAUGCACAAACUUCAAAUUUCAUCCAUUCCUUUUGCUCCAAGCAUAUGCUAUCCAUUCCAUGCCCAAAAAUGCUCCAAAAUGCACUUCUUUGCCACAUUAACCCUUUGGACCUACAAACACACGAAAAUAGCUUAAAAUACUAAAAUAACUACGAACUAACAACAUAAAUGCCAAGAAACAAGCUAACUAAGUCACAUAAAUAUGCUCCUAUCAGUGUGUGCGCGCGUGCGCCCGGCGUGGGAUUGUAAUUGGACUUUUGAUUCAAGGCCGUGUAUAUUGUUCAUAUAUGGUCGAUUUUGGGCAUCUUCAAAUCAAUAAAGGGUAGCAUACAUGCAUAUCUUGCGCUUUAACUCUUUACAUAUUUUUUAUGGCAUGCUUUCUUACUUGGAAAGAGAAAAGUCAUGAAUUGGGGAAGGAAAUGGAAAUAAACUAAUCCUAGUGUGUUCAAGUAAUGAGAAACUUAUGAAUACCGUAUGGUGGUAAACACAAAGAACUUCACGAAUGAGAGUAAUUUCAUGAUGUUAUUUUGCAUAAUACUUGCAUCCAUCCCAGCUGACGAAUGAGUACUUAAGUACUACGUUUAUUUUCGGUUUGUUCUCCAUGUUGUUCUGAUAAUUUGAUUCUUUACAACCUCUGUGCAUAUUUUCACUUAAUUAUCAUGAGAACAAUUCAACAUAUAGUGGUAUCAUUACAUUCAGAAAACAACACACAUUACAAUCAGAUAUUAUCAAUAUGUGUUUGAAAUUGAUGCCACGAAUUACAAUUUUGAAAGCUUCUAAGAAAAAGAACUUAGUAAGGAUACAAGUGACUCAUAACUUAGACGAAAAACUUGCAGCCUUCUAUUUCUCUCAGCUUCAAUGGAAUAUUCAUUCACACUGACGUUACUAAAUAUCUGAAUUUCAAAGUUGUAGAUGGUAGUUUCGUGUAUAACAAAUGGAAGGUGCGAUUCCUCAUAAUUUCGAAGUUCACUGAGUGCUUAUUCACGUAUCAUCUAAAUGACAUAUAUGGAACUACUAAUCGAUUAAUACCAUUAACAAGAGAAAGGUCUGAACUUGAUGUUAUACCAUGUACAUAUAUAUAAACUCCAUAUAUUUUUACAUAUUAAACCUACUUCCAUAUAAAGCAACUAGAUUUACCCUGCAUCCUGCCUAAUUCGAAAGCCAUCACCCAAUAUUCUCAAUUAGAAAACUAUAACCCAAUAUUGUCAAUUCGGAAACCCUAACCCAAGAUUCCCAAUUCGAACCCUAAAUCCUUGACCCAGGAUUCCCAAUUCGAACCCUAAAUCCUUAAAUAUUCUAAUUAAAACAAUUCAACAGAAAAAAAUGAAAUAUUGCACUAAUAAAUAAUUGAAUUAAGGGAGAACGAAUUAAGGGAUACUGGGUGCUUACCUAGUAAUGAUGUGGUGGCGGUGAGAUGGUGUGGCUUCGGAGUGUGGCGGAUGCAAAAGGGAGAGUGAUAGAGAGAUAGAGAAAUAUUGAGAGCGAGAGAGGGAGAGGGGGAGAGAGGGAGAGACUGAGAUAGUGAGUGAUGAGAGUGAGAGCUGGAGAGAAUCGAGAGAGAUAGGAUAGUGAGUUUGGACAAAAUCGAGAGAGAGAAAAGAUUGAGCUUCGCAUGCAGAGAAGAACUCUACAAAUGCACCAGAAAAAGAAGCCAUGGUCGAUCUUUGCAGCAAAAUGAGUAGUAAACCUUCUCCUUUCUCCAAAAACAAUAGGUCUUAGUUCAAGAUAAAGCGUAAAACUGUGAUAGCAGAGGUCACUAUAUAUAACAUGAUCUAGCCAAAAUCAAUUAUGAUUUCCCUAUUAAAAUCCAUAUAGGAAACUGAAAUCAGUUCCUUGUUCUAUUUGAAUUCUAGAACAACAUGGAUUGGUAAUUCAUUCUCUUUUAAGAUUUUCUAUACAACUUAAAACUAAUAACCGGUUUUCGAUCUAGACUCAUACUUAUACUUAUAUUCUUACAAAUAUAAGAUGUUGCCAUACCAUAUGCCAAAAUUUUGUUGAGAUAUGAGAAAAUGUUUAGUAAUCUAGUCGCGCACCAAAAACAUUUUCCAAAUUUUGUAGCUAUCAAGAAAUGUAUAAAUCACAUGAAAUUAAUUAUUGUAUAUAAGUGAGAUUCAAACCAAGAUAUUGCCAUCUAAUAUGCUACAUCAUUAAUUUGGUAAAAGUUUUGACAAGGUUUUGGUUCAGACUAACAAUAAUAUUGUUAGUAUUAUGGCAUCGACAACGAGUGAUGCUACAUAAAGAAUCUCAAAAUUUUAGAUUGUUCAUUUUAGGACUCACUUUAAGCAUUAUUUAUUUAUAACAGUAUCAAGUUGCUUUUCUGGGUUUUGGCCAAGUGGCAAAACCUCAUCGCGGGAAACAUUAACAAGUUGCUUUUGAAACCAAAAAUUUGCCGCGUAUUCUUCCUAUUAUCUAUUCACAAGAGAUUUCUGUCUCUGUCUCUGUCUCUCUUCCUCUUUCAACCUUCAAAUUCUCAUAAGCUUUAAGGCUAUUCGAGAAGAAAAUUUUAAGGUUACAUAAAUUAUGUUAAUUGCUGUGCUUUAUAUAUUUUUAUUGUAAAUUGUUAUAAUAAGCUAAUUUUUUUAAUGUUUAUAGCUUCAAUAACUUCAGCAUUCUUUUUAUUGGAGCAUAUAGCUUCAGCAUUUUCGAAGAUAUAUAUAUAUAUAUAUAUAUAUAUAUAUAUAUAUAGAGAGAGAGAGAGAGAGAGAGAGAGAGAGAAGAGAUGGAAAUAAGUACAAACUACAUGACAUAAAAUAAGAUUCCACUACUUGAAUCUUACUUAUAGAAUUACAACGUACAUGCAUGCCUUUGGUACAUACAUACAUACAUACAUACAUACUUAAGCUUAGAGUAGCAAGAAACAAAUGAAAGAAACGGAAACUAGUACAAAGUACAUACAUAAAAGAAUCACUGAUUGUGAUUUCUCAAACGACUGAACACAAAACUAUACCAUGACCACAGCGUCAUUGAACAUUAAAAUGGCGCCUAGCUAGCGAUGUAACGAUGAAGAUGAAGCGAUCGAGUGACCAAUCUUUAUUUAUUAACUAGUGGAUAAACUGUGAGUUAUACUGCUCCAGUGAAGCUUGAGGUUUCUCAUCCUGCAAAGCAUAACAAAAGAGUCUCGUCAACUUGGUAGGAUGUGGUCUUGGAAGUCAAUAGGUAUUGUAAUAUGUAGUCUUAUUAUAGCAUGGAAUAAGAUGGAAAAGAAAAGUUGGUGGUGUUAAAAAAUAGAUUUGUAUUUUAAGCAAAAGUAGUAAUAUUUAUAACAGUAAUUUUUGUUUUGGAGGACUUUGCCUAAAUAUAGUGUAAGUGUUUAUAGUACCCACCAGUAGUCCUGUAAUCUGGGAAGGGAACUUGGCCUGACUCAAUAUGCUUGACAUCUUCUACAAGAAGCUCAUAGUGCCUCUUGACUUCCUCCGGUGUUUUGCCACCAACCGCCUUGGCGACAUUGUACCAGCGGUCGGCAGUGUCCUUGUCAUAGACAGCCAAAGCCUUUUCAAAGGCUUUGUUUUGCUUGGCAGUCCAGGAGGAGUCGGAGCCUCUUGAGGACAUUGAGCUUGAUGCCAUUGAAUAAUUUCUUAGAGUGAGAUGGUUUUCUAUAAACACUACAGUUAAAAGCGUGGAAGGAAAAUUAAGGGGAGGGAGGGAGAGAGGGAGAGAGAGAGAGAGAGGAGAAAAGACCAAAGUGCAGGGAAGUGUGUGAUAUGAGCUGAGUGUUGGCAAUGCCUGCUCUUUAUAAGGAGGGGGGAGUUGGGUGGGGGGGUAGUGCCAGUUGGCAAGAGAUCUUGGAAAGAAAAAAAAAUGAUGUGGAAUUUGAAUGAUUUGUCACCUUAGCUACCACAAAAUUAUUUCAAUGAAGCAGUAGUACUAGGACAAAGAUGGAAAACAACAUUGCUUGGAGAUAUCUCCAAGAAUUUUUUAUUUUUAUUGGUCAAGAAUUUUUUAUAGAUAGAAGAAAUCAAUAAAGUUGAUCGGAGUCCUUUUCUUUCUUUUUAACAUAUAUACUCCUAAGCAUGUUUAGUUGACAUAAAAACUUUUUAAAAAAAAGUGCAAGAUAUCAACCAAAGAAAACAGGUUUUAUUCAUGUAUAAUCCUCUUAAAUUUAAGAAUAAUUUUUCUUCUACUUUCAAUAUGCCUUGAAUUUAGAGGAUUAUCCAUUAUAAUCUAAUACACUAUAGCAAAUUGGAAUUGGAGUAAUGUUAGAUAGACUAAAUUUGUAGACUAAAUUUGCAAACUAAAUGAUGUGUCACCAAUAAUAAAUAAACACAUUAAGCAACACUUAAGUAAUAAUUUAAUCAUCAACUUCCAUGUCAUUUAGUUUAUAAAAUUUGAUCUAUAAAUUUAAUUUCUCUAGCAUUAACCGUUGGAAUUGAGGCUAAGCAGCCAAUCCUUAAUACCAAACGAGACCUAGCUAAGUGUCAUUAAUUAGAUGAAAAGGUCUCGAUAUUUAAGUGAUAAAUAGAGUAAAUUACUCUCAUCUAACGACAAUUAACGUAGUGAUGAUGCACAAAAACCUAGAAGUUCUUCUCUUGCUUCUUUUGGAAAUUAACUUAAACCUAUAAAUUAGCAAAAUGAAGCUUUUUGGCCUCGAUCAUGGAAGUUUCCUCCUUGAUUAAGAAAAUGGUAGUUUUAUAAUAGAGAACUUUAACGAAAAGCUCUCGAUACUAUUCACCUUAACGAAAAACCAUAUUUUUACACUAAAAAGUCAAUUAUGAUACUAUUUACUUUACCAUUUAUUUUGUCUUUAUCGUUAAAACUUAAAAUUUUCAAACUAUUUUCAUUAGUUUCCUUUUAUAAUAUCCUUAGAAGAUAAAGCACACCCAUAGGGGGGGAAACAAAGUAGAAAUUUUCAUGGUGAGAUCCUCUUCAUCUGUUGAGAUUUCCUUCGGAUUACAUCAGUUCCCUCUCUGUUUUAUUCUCUAACUUUGCAGGAUCUUAAUGUGGGGACCCAUUCUCAAACCACAGUCAAUCAGAUUGCCUGUUCUAAACUUUCACGUGUACAAGACAAGCCAUUUUUCUUUUUCUUUUCUUUUUUUCCCAAUUUUUUUUUCUUGUUUUUGAAGACUUAAGUACAUUGGGAGGCCUGUGUUCUCCACAGAACAAGUGAUCUUGCUAAUUAGUGUACUGUGUCCUGAACAACGUUCCAAGCACUCUAGCUGGCCUGCAUGGUCCGUACAAUGAUGCAAUUAUGUUUUUUCUCUGAGGAUAGGUCAACAUAAUGUUACCAACUCUUUAGCAGUUUGGGACCCUAUCUGAUAUAGUUUGGUUAUUUGGCACAGUAAACUUACUCAUACUAUUCACUAUCUAGUAAAAAAAAAAGGGAAAAUGUAUCAAUAAAACCGGUUACAAAUUUUUAAUAAAAAAUAAAAAUGAAAGAACAGUAUGUUAUGUAUAAACCACAGUUAAGUUCCCUUUUUAUUGUUUGUUUUGUGCAUGUUCCUCAAAUUUUAUUUUUUACCAAAAGGUUGAGAUGUGUAUAUUUGUGCAUAUUUCCUAAAAAGAAUGUCCAGAGAAUUGGUUGAAUUAAUUGAACUUUAACUCUUAGCUAAUUUGUUCAAAAAAACAAAAACUCUUAGUUAAUUAUAUUACGUACAUUGAUAUUACACAAAGUUAAGAUUGACUUGCUAUAUUGCUAAUUGUCAUUUGAAUCACAACAUCAAGGAACAAAACCAAGUUUUUCAUGAUUAAUUGACAAUUGCAAAUUUGCAACAUAUAGUAAUGUAGAAAACCAUUGUUUGUAGAUAUCUAGUUUCCAAGAUGGUAAAUAGUAAUUUUAUCUGAUCCAACAUUUAUCAUUUCAUGAGAAUUGAACUAGUGACCUUCACCAGCAAAGUGGAGCCUGAAUGGUAAAUGGCAGGUAGUAAAUAAUAAUUGGCUCAGUUAUUUUAUGAUGUUCAUGAUUUUGGCCCUUCCAAGUGCCAAACAAGUCUAAAGUUAAAUCGAGAAAUACAAAUUUCGGUACUGCUAUAUAUAACAAGCAUAUCUACAUAAUGAUCGCCUUUGCUUUUGUCGUUAGCUGUUGCUGCAGAUGUUGGAAUCACUAACCCUAGUUCAUCCAUCCUGCCACUUGCCCUUCAAAUUUUAGCUUAUUUUGAUACACAAAUCAUUGUUCUUAAUUUCUAUAUCUGGUUAUUCCUCAAAUAAAAUGAAAAGUUGGUUCAAAUUUAACCUCUCUUGGAUGAACAAACAGUUUGAAUCUGGCUGGCUGUUAGUCUUUCUUUUUCUUUUUUUUUCUUUUUUGUUUGUUUUGUUUUUGCUUCUAUUAUUUAUGAUGUACAGUUGCAGUCAUAUCCCAACUGAUAUCAUCCUAGUCACGAACUCAUGGGCGACCGACUUGCAAUAAUGUGAUAAAAUCUUUUCCUGGCCACAGUUAAAGUGUCCUAGUUCUGGAUUUUUUGAAACUUCUCAACUUUCCAUUUUACUGCAUGGUUACUACUGAUGCAGGAAGCUUGUUUUUUAGUUUUUGAGCCACUAAUUUGUAGAAUUAAUUCUCUUUCAGUGUUAGGACUUUAGUACGUAGCUAUUAGGGGAAUAAAUAAUGGUAUCAAUUUGAGUUGGUUGGAGAAAUUUUUUGCUAUCACCGGUUGUAUACAACUAUGUUUUUAUCUCUCUAAUCAUAUGACUAGUCCAAACCCUUGUCAUGUGAUGAGAGUGAAGCAUAUUUUAGAGUUUAGAAAUGCAUCCAUAGCAUCUUGCAUCAUAAAUGUUAUGCUAUUCUAUGUUGAGUACCUGUGAAAUUUAAUUAGCAUCAUCCACACGCUGGUGGUUUCGAAGAAAACAAUGCUUAAGAACACCACAAUUAAUUGUGUGCUAGUAAGUUGCAUCUUUUGUUCAGCACAUUAGGUUCCGAGUAGUCGUGAACAAAAUUUAACUUGCAUAACACCACAGGGGUUAAGGACUAGGAGUAUCUAAUUCAAGAGAGUGACAGAAUUUUGUAGGUCAAGAGAGUAUCUGUUUAGAACAAAAAGUUAAGUAUGAGGAAUCUGAUUUUAGAGGGGCGGCGAUGUGAUACCAUGGCUUUAAUCUGCAACUUGGUUAAGGUAGCCCCAACCUAUGGGUCUACAGUUUGCAAAAAUCCUGCAACUAGACCUUGGUUUAGUCAAUUCACAAUCCAGAACCAGUUUGCGUAUCCAAAGACGUAUAAGUUUGGAGUGGCAGCAAAAGGAGAUUUCUAGCUGUAUUUGGAAAUAGAAGUUCUCAGUGGCUGAACUUUUUAUUAUUUUAUAAGGCUAAUCUCAGUCUAGUAUUAUGAAGUUUCUUAAUUUUCAACAUUUAGUACGUAAAGUUUUUUUCAUUCCAAUUUGGUACUAAAGUCAUAAUUAUGAGACAUUUUUAUACAUCCGUUAAGUUUUCCGUCAAAACAUCUAUUAAUUGAUGACGUAGCAUCCACGUGGACAGUAACCGGAUGCCACAUGUCAUUACAGACCCACGUAAAUAUUAAGAAAUUUAAAAAAUUUAAAAAUUAAAAUUUUUUUUAUCCCAUCUUCUAAACCAAGUUAUCAGGCCCAAAAACUGUUUAUUUUUUUAUUUUUUCUGGGCUGCUCCUUACCCCCACGACCCCCUUCCUCCCUCCCUUCUCUCCUUUCUCUCCUCUGCACCCACCCUCCCCCGCACACCCACCUCUCCUUUCUAUACUCUGCGCCUACCCAAUCCUCUAUACCCGAUCCACUAGUUCCAGUGAUUGAGCUAUUAACUUUGGAUCUUGAAGGCAUGCAGGUCCCAAACCUGAGCUUAACCCAACACCCAUGUUCCUCCACCGCCUCAUCUUUCUUCUUCCUACCCUUCGAUUUGCUACUUUUACCCCAACUCUCCACCUUGCUAGGAUUAAGCACCAAACCCAUGUCCUCAAAGUUCAAACUCUCUCUAGAUUCAGAUUCUCAUUGCUCAGAAAACCAGAAAUUUCAAAACCCACAAAAAUCCAUUCGAACCCACCAAUCUGCAAACCAAAAACGACCCAAAAAUCUACAAAAUCUCUGAAAUUUUCACAAAAAAAUGUGACUCUAACCAAAGUCGAAUAGCAAUUCAGAACCACAGAAAUCCAACGCAACCCAAAACCAACUCAGAAACGCUACAAAAUCUUCGAAAUUUUCACAAGAACUGCGACUUGAACCAAAGAUCGAGCAGUCUUAUGCUCGAUAACUGAAAUUGAAUCCGACCCAGUUGGUCAAAAAAGGCCAGACAGAGUGGAGAGAGAGGGAAUGGGGGACAGAAGAGGUGGGUGUGCGGGGAGGGUGGGUGCAGAGGAGAGAAGGGAGAGAAGGGAGGGAGGAAGGGGGUCGUGGGGGUGAGGAGCAGCCCAGAAAAAAAAAAUGUUUUUGGGCCUGAUAGCUAGGGUUAGAAGAUGGUUAUUUUUUUUUUUUGAACUUUUAAUUUUUUAAUAUUUAUGUGGGCCUAAAAUGACACGUAAUAUCUAGUCACUAUCCACGUAAAUGUCAAGUUAUCAGUUAAUAGAGGUUUUGAUGAAAAUUUAACGGAUGUAUGAAAGUGUCUCAUAAUUAUGAUUUUAGGUACCAAACUAGGACGAAAAAAACUUCAUGUAUCAAAGUUGAAAACCAAGAAACUUCAGGAGUAGUAAAUUGAGAUUAACCAUAUUUUUUAAUACUAACGUUGCUGCUCUAAAUCUCAAGACACGUUUGCAGGGCCUAAUGAACUCUAAAACAAUGGGAGUAACUUACUAUCACGAAAUUAAUGUUACUAAUUCGAUGUUAUAGUAUGGAUGAACGAAUGAACAACAAGGUUUAUAUCUCUAGUAUCUAGGUCCUAGGAUUAAUUAAAAAUAUAUUGUAUCAUGUAAACGAUGUAUGUUUGGAAACAUAGUACUGUAACGGCGUGAUUGUUCAAACCCACAAAUUUCUUCUACUUUUGGACAACAAUGUGUAACAAAUAUUAUAUUCCAGUCUUAAUGUCUUCUCCAAACAUAUGGUUUGUCUUACAAAUUAACUACAUUCGAAAUCAGUUUGUCAUCAAACAUAAUCUCGAAAACCCUACUGCUCUCCACACAUUUGUGUGUCCUCGUGUCAUCCCAAUGAAAAGUCCUUUAAUUAUCAAACAGUGACUAGGGUUUUUGGGCUGAUUAAACUGCAGAAGGUAUGUCAAUCGAAACAUCAAAUGUAAGUGUGGCAUCCAUUGUCAAGUUGCAUCAGUCAUGGUCAUGAUAUACUGGCCACAUAUUAAUGGGGCUAUCACUUAUCAUUAGUUGAAAACUACUUCAGCAACUUUCUAGCUAGGAAUCUAUACGAAAUUUUAAUAAAGUGAUGCCUUGAGAUGAUACACCCUCUUAACGAUAUUUGGAAUCCUUAUCAUCCCAGUCCAUCUCCAAUAGGAAGAAAAAUCUCUUAGAUUCCUCCUCUCUUUCAGGACUAAUUCUUCUGGCUGUUGUGGUCCUUCCUUACAACUUGGAGAAAGUCGGUUAACCUUGGACUCUGUUGGCCUCUCCAUGGCUCUAAUUUUGAUCUUAUCGUUUCCAUAUUUGGCUUGAUGCAGAUAUUAGUGAACUAAAAUAUCUCGGACUUUCUUUUGAUCAACAUGCGAGCAGGUGAGCUAAUUCCAAAAAUCCGUCCCCAGUUUAGAUUGUAGGCUACAACUCACUUGCAUGUAGCUGAUAUUGCUAGUAAUCGAUGGCCAGCCAUAAGGCGGGCUUCAAACUUGGGACUUAUGCGUACCUUGCUAAGAGUUAGUUGGUAAAUAUCCUUCAGACUAAGCACUUUAAUUUGCAUUUUAGUUAAGUAUAUAUGGUUGAGAAUCUACAGCUUCAUGGUGAGGGGUCAAUAGUAAAAAAAACCCCUUGCGUGAUGAAACACACAUCGAAAUUUUAAACUUUAUCGCGCAAUAUGUUUAAAAAUAUAAAAAAAAUUAUUUUUUAAAAACUUUGCGCGACGAAUUCCAAAUAUUUCGUCGCCUAAACCAAAUUUAUUUUCUUUUUUAUUUAAUUUUAUAUUUUAAAUUGUAAAAUAAUUAUUUUCAUAGUUUUUUUUUAACUUUGCGCGACAAAUAUUAAUAUUUCAUCACCUAAACUCUAUUUAUUUUAUUUUAUUUUAUAUUGUUAACCUAAAUUAUUUUCUUUGCGUGACGAAUCAACAUUUCGUCGCCUAAUCCUAUUUAUUUUAUUUUAUUUAUAUUUUAAAUUGUAAAAUAAAAUUAUUUUCUUUUUUAUUAUUUUUUAAAAACUUUGCACGACGAAUAAUAAUAUUCUGUCGCAUAAACCCUGUUUAUUUUAUUUUAUAUUUUAAAUUGUCUAAUAAAAUUAAUUUCUAUAAAUUUUGCGCGACGAACCAAUAUUUCGUCGAGCAAAAUCCUUAAUUUGGGUGGGUGCCGAAAAUGGGAAGCGGGAAUUUAAUUUUUAAUUUUUUUUAAAAACUUUGCGCGACCAAGCUUUCAUCGCGCAGUUUUGCAUGACCAAUAUUUCGUCACGCAAAGUUUUGCGCGACGAAUAAAUGUUUCGUUGUGCAAAACCUUAAAAAUUUGGGUGGGUGCCAAAAAUGGGGCGUGGGAUUUUUUUUUUAAGACUUUGCGCAACCAAUCUUUCGUCGCGCAAAAUAAUACGGUUUGUAAAACCAAAAUAAUUCCUCUACAGUUUUCUCACUGUAUCUAUCUAGUUCUCUUACGUCUCAUUUUUUCCCCCAAUAUCCGACCCCCUCUCUCACACUCAAUCUCUCCUCUCUCUCUCCUCUCUCUCUCUCUCUCUCUCUCUCUCUCUCUCUCUCUCUCUCUCACUCACUCACUCUCUCACUAUCUCUUCUCACUCUCUCACUCUCUCCCUAUCUCUCACUCACUCUCAAUCUUGCUAAAAGGUAUUUUCUCUCUAAAUUUUAAUUUAUUUUUCAUUAAUAUGUGUUUUUGGAGUUAAUUUUGGGUUUGGGUGGGGUUUGGGGUUGGAUUUGGGGUAUGCUAAUUUUAGGGGAGGUUAUGCCCAUUUUUUGGUAUGAUUUUAUGUUUUUUUUUUUUUGUUAUUUGACCAUGUUUUUUUUUUUUUUUGUAGGGAAUCGUUGGGACUUUGAUGGUUAAAGUUGAGGAGUUGAGGAUUAUGACACUAUAGGACCAUAUCCGCUAUCACCACCACCACAAUAGACUUGUAUUAGGAUUUUAUUAUUGUAAUUUGUUAAUUUAUAUGUACAUAUUUAAUAAAAUGUAUAUUGUGGAUAAUUUGAUCACUAUUUUUCGUAUUUAUUUUAUUUUGAAUAUGUCAAUUUAAAUUAAAGUAACAAAAAAAAAUAAAGCCAUACAAUUAAAUUAAAUUAAAAAUUAAAAAAAUCUUGCACUAACAAAAGGUCAAUUUAAUUAAAUAAAAAAUAAAAACAAAAAACUUUUGUGGCUCAAAAUCUUGCGCUACCAAAUAUUUUGUUGCGCAAAAUAUUAAAUUAAUUUAAUUAAAUUAAAAAAUCAAAAAUAACAAAUUUUGCGUGACAAACCAUGCUUUCGUCGCGCAAAGUUUUGAGUGAUGAAAUCUUACUUCGCGCAACAAAUCUUAUUUUGUUGCACAAAGUGUUUUUUGUAACUGUGGGUACAGCUUCAAGUUGGCUGCAAAAGCAUAGAAAUCGCCUUUUGGAUCGAUGGAAUCUUUUAUUGAAAAGGGAAAGAGUGGAAAAUGGAACUGUAGUUUUAAAUUGGCGAUUUACGGGAAGGAUAUUUUUAUGGAAUGAACUAUGUGGAAGAUAUAUGCAUGGAAGGUUCUAAUUGAGUGAAUGAUACAUGGUCUCAGCAAACUUUUCACUUUGGACUGCUCUCUUUUGUGCAUCUGUUGUGUGGAUUUAUUUGCUUUGAAGGUACUCAAAGUAGAAUAAAAAUUGGAACAAUCACUGAACAAAUUUAAUCGGCUAGGAAUGAGCUAACAAUAUAUAUAUCAAACACGCGUAAGCAUGCGCGUCACAUAUAACUCCAUCCUGCAAUUAUAGGAGGGGAGAAAUCAGGAGUCGCAGAGAAUAACCAAUGCGAGCAUAUGUGAGCACCACCAAUCAGCAAUGCCGACCAUUUUGGGUGCACCAAGGAAUUGUUAUCAAGUCGUUGGAAGAUCAAGAUAUUCAAGAUCACGUAAUAGCUAGCUAGAUAGGGUUGUGUAGAGUAUAACGACGUGGCUGGGUUUGAAGCAGCAAAUAAUUAACAUGGUAUUUUCGUUCUUGUACGGUGAUUCUUGAUGUCAGAAGAAUCAUAAGGAACAGACCAAGAUAUUGUGGGCGCAAGGAUUCGAUUGUGUCCUCACACUCAUUUUCCUCGUCAACUUGUCGUUCUUCUCAAAGUGCAUAUUGCAAGUCUUGGCUCCACGUUGGUUUUGCCUGCAGUAGAAUAAAUUUUAACAGCUGUGAGUUUAUGCCAAAGCCGACCCACAAGCAAGCCGAACAAGACAUGUGCUUUGGGCAUGACAAGGAACUAAGUUUCGUAUUUUCUUUUCAUACCCGUAUUUUACGAGACUGGCUAUAAUGCUUACUUGUAUAUGAUACAAUCAAAUAUUUGACAGUGAGAUAUAAGUCAUGUGAUAUUUAUAUAAUACAAUCAUCAUCUAACCGUCAAAAUAAUGAUUGUAUUGAGUACAUGUAAGUAUUGUAGUUAAAUUCCAACAUUCUUUGUUUAGUUAAUUCAAACUGUUUAAUCUGACCAUCGAGAUGACUUUCUCACCUCCACAAAUAAAUUGUAAUGAUUUUUUUUUUUUAUCUAAGAUAGAAAUUGUUGUUUGCUACACAUCUAUCAGAGGUGGGCGUACCCUACUAACCCGAGAGCUUGAGGCAUGCAUAAUGUGAACUUGGCAUGAGGUGGUGAUAUGAAUUAUUCUUCCACUUGACUUAAUUCUUCAUACAACCAAUCACUUUUAAUGCCUUCUUAGUUAUAAGACCACGCUACAAGACUCGGCGACAAAUUAGUUAAUAUUAUGUUCUUUAAAUAAUUAUUAUCUCAUGGGACAAAGAAUCAAUAGGGAAACAUCAUUUACAUGAUUAUGUCUUAAGAAAGCUAGGUAGGCAAGCAUUGGUCGAAUUAGAAUGUGGAUUAUUGAUGCAAAUUUCCGCCAUCUUCAGUCUUGACGAAAAUGCACCUGCAAAACAAUUAACAUCUUUAAUCAAGGACCUAAGCCUCACACACCCACGAGGUGGGGGGGGGGGGUUAGGCCAAUGGAUCUCUGAUGCCUAAGUUAGUUUCUCUAUGAGAAUAAAGUGUUUAGGGCCUUUUAAGGGUAGCAAAAGCUUCUGAAAUUUGGUAGAAUAUAGGGUAUUUAUAGGGAUAGAGCCAGCCAUAGUCUUAGGGUUUAUGGAGAAAUAUUAUCAAGAUAUUAAAUAGGAAAUAAUAUCUUGAGAUAAUUGAGUAAUUAUCCCUAAUUGAUUUAAAUUGAGAUUAUUUACUUGAUUGGAGUCAAUCUUCAAUUAGGAAUGUAUUAAAUAUAGAAUUUGGGUAAUUAAUCCUUAUCUUUAAUGCUUUGACUUUUCCUUGCCAAGGGCAGGUGAGCUGGGGGCAAUCGUAUUCAGUUGCUGGGACCUUCAGGGGUGUGAGCUGUGCAUGGGAGCAUCUAAGAAGUCUGCACAUUUGUUGAAGGCAAUCUUGUCUUUCUUGGGAAAAAGCCCAUGUGUCGCCUCUACAAUUAAUGAGAUUAUUUUAGGCUCCACAAAUGCCCCACACCUACUGGGCGGCACGUAGAAAAAUGGCAGUAGGUGUAGAAAUCCCAAGCUAUGUAGGCUUGUAUAGUUGUUUCCCAAUUUGAAUUUGAUAUUCUUUCUUGAUUUGGAGAUAAACUUCUUCUAGGAAAAGGAAACCAAUUGCCCCCAAUACCUAUUUAAUUCUGCCUUAAGCAGGGGAUUAAAUAAAUUUGGAGAACAAUCAUCAUUCCAACAAGGAAGAGAAGCCAAAGGAAAUUUUUCUUCCCCCUCCCCUAACUUUCUUCUUCUCUUGCCCUUGCAAGGAAUCGUCUCUUGUUGUAGUUCUUCUUUUCCGUGCCGCACCAAGGUAAGAAAAAUUUGAAUUUUCUUCUUCUUGAUUUCUUUGGAGUCUUGGGACUUGAAAAUUGGCUCGGUAAUGGUCGAUGAGGUGUUAAACAUACAACAAGGAUGCCAUAGGGCUGCUGGUGGUGCGGCAAGGGAGUCAGCUGGUGUGGGCCAGGGGUUUGGCUUAACUUGGGCCAAGAAGAGAGGUGAGUUGGGGCGUGGAGAGGCCAACUUGGGCUGAACCUUCAAAGUUGGUGAGGGAGAGAAAGAGACCGGUGCGGGCUGGGUCUUUUGCUGGCGUGUCAGGCUAUGUGGCCUUGGGCCCUUUGUGGUCCUGUGGUCUUUGGGCAAUACUGUGGAACGCUGGGCGCGAGAGAGAGGGAUAACAUGGUCUGGGCCGUAGAACCUGGCUUGCUGUUGGGUUCCUGUAGCUUGAGCCUGUGCGGAGAAAGAGUGUGAGGGCCAUGGGGCAUAGCCAGGGGCGUUGGGCUCGCAGUUCUUUUUAUUUUGUUUUAUUUAUAUAUUUUUUUUGCUUCUUUCGCGAGCUGUCUUCCUCCAAUCGCAAAAGUGAUGAAUAUCCUCCAAUUUUGUAUUGUCAAGGUGGUUUUUCUGGCAAGGUGGGCUAUUUCAAGGCUGCGCAUGUCAAGAUCAAUUUUGAGGAGUUGUUUCGGGAUUAUUUUCUUGAGCCUUACGAGCAUGCAAUUCCGUCAGGGGUUUGCGACAAGCGGGUGAAGGAUGAUAGCGGCCAUAAACCAUGCAGUGAGGGCACCACUACUAGGAAGAAGGCUAUCAAAUUCCAUUCGUAUUACUUCGUGUUGGGAUUCAAUUUUCCCAUGUCGCGUCUUUUCCAAGAGGUGAUAUGCUCCAUGAAAUGCACGCCUGCUCAGUGCUCCCCCAAUGCAAUUCGUGCGAUAGUGGGAUUCCUCAAUCUGAGCAAAUUCUUUAAUCUUGGCUUAGCCAUAAAUGAGUUCUGGUACUUUUUUGAAAUCGACCACAAGGAAGGUGUAGGGCAUCUGAGAUCUCACCAUAAGCCGCUCGAUGCUCCCUGCAAAGGUGAUUAUGAAUGGGCAAGAGACACCUUAGAGGUAAGUGGAGAUUAGAAGUUUGACUCCUCUCCUGAGCUGCGCGUUCCAACUGUCUUUAUUAGUGGUAAGUGAACUGCUUCAUUCUUGUCCUACUUGAAUUUUUGUUAAGCUGCUCCAUGACUUCAAUUUACUGAUCGUCAUUCUUACUUCCAGUAGAUUCAGAAUUUGGCUCAACUCCAAAAACUUUGGCCGAUAUGAAGAAAGUGCACAUCGCCUUGGGCAUUUCUGCUGAAUACCUUGAGUGGCGCUGAUUGCUCAGUCCUCUUCGUUGGGAGAAAGGCGGGCUGCCUCCGAAUGAAGAGAUAAAACGGAUAAAGGAUAAGGCGCUUGCUCAUCUAAUCGCUGUUGUAGAGCCUACUGCUAAUGAGGGUGGAAAGAAGAGAUCUUAUUCACCUGCCAGUAGGCUUUCGAUUGAGAAAAAGCCAAAGACUUCUUCUGCUGCUCGUGAAGGCUCGUUAGCUACUAAAAAGCUUGUGAUUGAUUUGACUUCUCCAAAGGGGACAAAAAAGUCCAUUCAGCCUGAGCCUGUGAAAUCUGCUGUUUCGAAGGUGGCCACGUCCACUGCUGAAAAGAUUGCCUAGCGAAAAGGUUCAGUGGUGCCCCCAAUGUCCGAGUUUGUGUCGAAUAGCCCUUCAGGAGCUAAGUCCCGUUCAGCUUAUGAGAGGCUCACUGCUAUGAAGAACAUGAAGGUGGAUUCUAUUACUAAGGUAGCACUGGGCAUGUUCCUCCUUCUGCUACGACUUACUCGUCUGCUGAGAAAGGGAAAUUUGCUCACAUGGGUAGUUGUGAGAGAUCCACCGAGUCUGAGGCUAGUGAGUUUCCCGAGGUUUAUGUGCUGCUGAAGGUUGACUUGCUUGAGGAUGUCAAUGUAUGCGCCAAGUUCAUUGACAGUGUCGUGAAAGUUGUCAUCCGAUCAAACUCUUUUGCGAAACAUCCUGCCUAUUUGAGGAGGUCCUUCCUGAUUGCCACAAUGCAUAAGACUUUGAUCCUAGCAGUUGAGUCUAUGCACAUUGAUCAAGAUGUUGUCAAGUGUGUUAUGGAAGCCGAAGUGGCAUUAAUGGCUUAGCUUCGCUCAGUUGCUAAAAAGAUUGAGAAGCUCAAAUCAGAACUAGUCAUUUUGAAAGGGUCUAAUGUCUCUACCCUCAUUUCUAUACAACUGGAGACCGCUCAUCAGGAGGUCGCGUAUUUAAAGGCUAAGCUUAGUGCGACUCAGUCAAUGAUGGAAGCUGCAGAGAAGGAAGUCAGUCGUGUUUCUCUAGUGGUCAAGGACCUUGAGCGUGUCAAUUCGGAGCUACAAUCUGCUUAUUUUGCCAAUGACGAGGAGUUUGUCUUCAUGCAUGCUACAGUGUCUCGUCUUAAGAAGCUUGUUUUCAUGCAUGCUGUCUGCUAGCGAAACCUAAGAAAUGAACUAGAUGAGCUACAGGGUGCUCACACUAGGCUUGUUGAGGAAAAUGUAUAGCUGAAGAAUGAGAAAGCUAAUCACAAAGUGGCGCUUGCUUCUUGUCAGGCUGAUUUCUACAAGCUUGGCUAUGUAGACCAUCUUCAGGGUAGGCCAUUAGAUUAUGAGUUUUCCAAGAAGGACUUCGAGACUUUCUCUAUUUCUCUAGUUGAUCUACUUGAUUUCUCGUUUGAGGCUGCCUUUGGUGAAGCAGCUGAAGGUCAGGCAGUCCAGGCAGAGGUAACUGAGGAUGAGCUGAUGGAAGCUUUAGCUGCAAAGAGCGAAGCAGUUAUUGAAGGUGUGGCAGUUGAGGGACUAGUGGUUACGCAAGCUACCGACGAGUAACCUUUUUGCUUAGACUUAGGAAUUUUCUUUUUUUUUCCUUUUCGUUUUGCUUUAUUUGAACUUUGUGGGCCUUCAAGCUAGUUUAUCAAUUUCUUAGAAAUUUAAUAAACAGAUUUCCUUGCUUUGCUUCAAUCUUUCUAUUUUGCCAUGUCUUUUGCGAAACUUUACAGUAGGAUGGGCGGCUGGGUAAGUUGCUUCAAUGAAGCAGUCAAUCCCACGUCAUCACUUAGGUUUUAGUUUCGGCUUUAGGGCUUCAGGAGCCUUGCUUGCUUGAGGCGACUUGCAAAACUUUACCGUAAGACAGGUGAUUAUGUUGGCUACUUCGAUAGAACAGUCGAUCCCACGUCGUCACGUUAGGCUUUAGUCUUGCUUUGGGGCUUCUAAAGAUUUACCUACAAGAGGAAAAAUGCGAGAUUUAUAACUUAUAAAGCCAGCGGCCUAACUCGUCACCUUCUCCAUGUAGUGCAGUAAUUGGUUAUGUGCCCGAGACCUCUGUAGAAUGCGCAGUACUUUGUCUGAUCCAUCUUGGAUGGGUAUUCUCUUAUAGACAGUGGCAGCUUGAACCACGACUUGUCCUUGAGGUCACGAAGGAUCGGGUUGAUCGGGAUUAAGAACUUGGUGUACAUUUUGGGCACCGUGCCUCCUUUCAUUAGGGAUCGAUCCUUGCGUCUGCUUCCUGGCUUGUUUUUAUUAUUGAGCGCUUUGUCACUAGCCUUCUUCUGAGUCAUCUCUGUGUCUUUGCGUAGCUACUCAGGCUACUUUUGGGAGGGUUUGGCCUCAUCCCAAAAGGAAUGCUUUUUCGCCAAAGCAUAAGAGUCUGCCAGGGUCAAGUUCUCGUCCAUGAUUACUUCUCUAAAAAGUGGGUGAUUUGUUAGAAGUCCAUUUCGGAAGGCUGAGCAUGCAAUGCUGUCAUCGCAUCCGACGAUCUUAGCAUUCUCCACCUUAAACCUCUUGACGUAAAUACGGAGUGGCUCAUUCGGGUCAUUCUUCAUGUUGAAGAGGUGAUCAAACUUCUUCUUGAUCAAGUGGUAGGACGAAUAUUUCAUAGUGAAAACCAAGGAAAGUUCACUGAAGUUCCUGAUUGAUCGUGACAGCAGGGUGUGGAACCAAUCUUGCGCUUCGCCUUAGAGCGUUGUGGUAAAAAUCUUGCACAUGAGAGCAUCGUUGUUGGUGUAGAGGGUCAUGUCGGUAGUGCAUCAGGUGCCUGUCCGGAUCUUCAUCUCCUUUGAACAAGGUGAAAUGUGAUAGGCUGAACUUCCGCAACGACUCCAUCUGCUUAUUCUCAUCUGUGAACGGUGACCUGCUCAAGUUGACCACAUCUCUACGAAGGGCAUCGUCAGAAGUGCCAAUACGCUGGAAUCCGCGCAGCUGCUCUGCUACGAGCCUUUGUAUUUCUUCCUGGAUUUGUGCUUAGUGAGGCAAUGAAACCUCUAACUGCCCCCGGUGUUGACCUGCUGGUCCAUGUUGUUCUUUGGCAUGUCUUGCUCGUCUGUGUCGCGGUCACGGUAAACUAUGAUACUUGCCGUAACACUGGGCGGGGGCUGCCAGUGGAACUUGAGCUUGAAUGCCCUCGUGCUCUCCUAUGUCCAUCAUGAGGCUGCCUACUCCGAAGCCUCGUAAAAGGAUUUCUUUGUGGGCCUAGCCUCAUGUGGACACUUCUCCUGGAAUGUCCUGAAUGCUCGUCGGAGUGUGGACCCAACCUUGAAUGCACACUGACUCGUGAACUGAGUCAAGAAUUAGCGUUUAUCUGCGUAUCUAGGCAGGAGAAGGCGCUUCCCUAAGGGCCUAAAAGAGAGUUCACACUACUUGAAUGUGAGAAUCUUUGUCAGGACGUCGCUAGACUGAGUCAUGUUCUUCCGCCCUUGUCCUACUUCUAGACACCUCAUUUGGGGCGUACUGCAUCUUGAUAUGCCUGAUAAGUUGGUUCAUUAAGGUGGUCUGCUGUAAGAGGGUGCUCGUCAAAUUAGCGACCUGUUGGGGCAGGUAGGGCUCGUCAUUUGGAUUAGAAAAGUCUGGAUAAUGGGUGUCUCCAUGUAUAGUGGAAGUGUAGUGGACUGCAGGUACAAAACUUGAGCCCAAAGCAAGCAUUCCUGCAGAAAAAUAAGGUGAAAAUAACCUUGAAUCGAUCACGUGAUCGGUGGUCAGAAUCUGGAUCACCGGAGGUAGCCUCGGGUUGGAUUGGGCCACAAGCUGGGUUGUCAAAGUGGGUCGCAGGGCGGGCCAACCCAGCUGGGUGGUGAGGUUCUGCGUGUGGUCAUGUUGGGCUCACGCAUAUGGCAACUGGUCUUGGGCCUGCACUGUGUGCUGGGCCGGUAUAUGAUCUUCGUAUUGGGUCUGGGCUACGCAUGCAAUAGGAAUGGCUUGGCGCUGUGUUUAGGUUAUGGCUACUUGGGUUGUUAGUUGGGUUCUAACUACUGCAUCUUGGGCCUUCUAAGCUCAGCCUGCUUCUCUAUGGACUUGGGCCUUCUGCCCAUGGGCUAAUAAAUAGACCUGGGCCCUCCCGCCCAGGGUUUUAGGAAUUGGGCCGCUGCAAAGGCAAUGUUGCAAGAGCUUGUGCCAUGGCCUGGUGGCUUUGUUGUGGCUACUGGGUCACGACGGUAAUGGUGAAGCAGCUCCGCAGCGGCGGGGCUCCUCCUGCCAUCGCGUUGAGCCUUGAUGAUCUAUGUCGUAGGGCUAUAUCCUCGUCUCCACUAUUCGAUCUGAAUCCUUGUACAUACGGGGUUCCGUUCGUUGUGGUUUCUAAAUUUCCUACCAUUGUAUCAUUUCUCCAAUGAUUGAUCAAGAAGCUUUUCUAAGAAAAAUUAAUUGAUACGACGUGUGAGAAAUUCAAUGUAACAGAAAAUUCAAGAAACCAAUGCAAAUUUCCGCCGUCUUCAGUCUUGACAAAAAUGUACCCGCAACACAAUUAACACCUUUAAUCAAGGACCUACGCCUCACACACCCACGAGGUGGGGGGGGGGUUAGGCCAAUGAAUCUUCGAUGCCUAAGUCAGUUUCUCUAUGAGAAUAAAGUGUUUAGGGCUUUUUUGGGGUAGCAAAAGUUUCUGAAAUUUGGUAGAAUAUGAGGUAUUUAUAGGGAUAGGGCCGGCCAUAGUGUUAGGGUUUAUGGAGAAAUUUUCUCAAGAUAUUAAAUAGGAAAUAAUAUCUUGAGAAUUGAGUAAUUAUCCCUAAUUGAUUUAAAUAGGGAUUACUUACUUGAUUUGAGUCAAUCUUCAAUUAGGAAUGUAUUAAAGAUAGGAUUUGGGUAACUAAUCCUUAUCUUUAAUGCUUUGACUUUUCUUUGCUAAGGGCAGGUGAGUUGUGGGCAGUUGUAUUCAGCUGCAGGGACCUUCAAAGGUGUGAGCUGCGCGUUAGAGCAUCUGAGAAACCUGCCCAUUUAUUGAAGGCAAUCUUGUCUUUCUUUAGUUUGAUUUGGAUAUUUGUGGCUUGGUUCCAACCUCUUUACCACCUCUCAAAAUGAUGGCUUUUGCAGAUUCAAAUCCACCUUUUGGGUUGACAACGGUUGAACUAGGCUAUUUGCCUUGCUCUUUGAAUUGGCCCAUGAAUUACGCCAUUUGCCCCAUUUGCUUCUUCAAUUCAUCUACCUCUUUGGCUUGAUUUUGCAUUCCCUGCACCACAUUGGUUAAUAAUUGAACAAUUUGAUCGUUAUCCAUGAACGAACCUGAUUUUGGUUGGGCAAAUUGUGGUUGGGGUUGUGUUGGUACGUAUAGCCUUGGAAACAUCCCAGGGGGUGGUGGUCGAAAUCCUCCUUGUUGUGGAAGUUGUUGAGGCUCCCUCUAUUUCAUGUUUGGAUGAUCUUUCCAGCCCGGAUUGUAAGUAUUAGCAUAUGGAUCAUAUUUGGGCUGGUUUUGGCCUUGAAACCCAAUGGCUUUGGCACUUUCCCAUCCUCAAUUCUCAAUCAAUUAAGGGCAUUUUUCAGAUUGGUGUCAUUGUAUAGAGCACAUGCCAUAAAUUGUGUUUUCUUGCACUUUGGGUCUUUCAACAACCUGUGACAUAAGAAGAGUGAGAUUAGCCAAUUGAGAUUGAAUUUCAGAAAUUACACUUACCUCAUUCACAUGUUGCGGCCGUGGGGGUUCUUUCUGUCCAACUCCUUCGUAUUGUUAUGCAUUCAAGGCUUGGUUGGCAAUUUGGGUCUUGGCAGGUGUUUGUCAACCAAAGCUCAUCCCGCUGAGGCAUCUAGCAUUUGUCUUUCAAUGGGAAGAAGUCAUUCGUAGAAAUAUUGAAGGAGAAGCUUUUCUUUCAUUUGAUGUUGAGGACAUGAUGCAACGAGAGUCUUGAAACGCUCAUAAUACGCUGGAAAGAAUUCUCCUUGAUUUUGUUAAAUGCCACUAAUUCUCUUCCUCAAAGAAUGACUCUUGACGUUGGAAAGAACUUCUCUAAGAAUGCUCUCUUCAUGCUUUCCCAAGAAGUGACUGUUCCAGAUGCCAAUUCAUACAACCAAUCCUUAGCCUUUUCCAAAAGAGAGAAUGGAAAAGCAAGUAAAUUAAAGACUUAAAUAAGUUUGCACAAAAUUGGGGGAAAAUAUGGGUGAAUGGCUAGCUACAAGGUCCUUCUCCACACAUGACACGCUUGCAUACAAAACGAUUUCCAAUUGCUUUUCCAUUAAACCAUGAACCUCAACACCCCAGAUUAACCGUGAACAGCACUAAUUAACCCUCAGAUUUUCCUUAAGUCAUUGAAUUGCAUGGAUAACACAUCGGCAACCAAAUUAUUCUUCAAUAGUUCCCUACAUGAACAGCAUAAUAGAGAUACAAUAAAAAAUCAUUAAGCUUUGUGAAAAUCAUUAAGCUUUGUGAAAAUCAUAAGCAUUGACAAGGCAUUCGUAACUAUAAACAGCAUGAUACUCCUGCCAGGAAUCUACUUGACACGAUUGUGACUAGCAACCUCGACUACUUAUGAAUAUAAGUUCAUAACAUUUAGGUGAAAUGAUAAGCUCAUAUUUAUAUAUAUUUUACAUCAAACUCACUUGUCUUUUCUUAGUUAGCUCCGUAUAUUUUUGAGCUAUUUACUUUGUUUUUGUGUUUUCUAGGAUUUGUCAAUCAAAGAAAAGAAAAAUAGCACAAGUGGGAUUUUAAGUAACAAAUUUGUCAAAACUGCCUGUGCAGGUCAACUGACUUUGGAAGCAAGUUGUGAACAGCUCAAAAUGAAUUACAGAAUGAGCUUUAUAUGCUUGGAAAGCUACGGAUGUCUAUUUUCUGGAGCAUUUCGUGGAUUGUUAAUAUCAUUUUUGUAGAAGAAAUGAUCGUUUUAACACUGAAAGGUUCAGAAGAGACUGAGCAGUUUGUAACUGCAAUGAAAGCAAUAAACCCAAUAAAUCUAGCAGCCAAAACUGAUGCAGCCAAGAACAAGCCAGUUGAUACCUAUUCAAAUAUCAGAGGAAAUGGAAAUAAAGAUGAGGAUUAAGUGGGAGAAAUUGGCAUAAAGGAUACCCAAAGAGUUACAAUUGUUUUACCAUUUCCUCUCACUUAUUGCCAUCACUAAAUGGCUGUUAGUGGGUGAGUUAAGGAGAAGAAAAUGGGGCAGCAAGUUAAAAAGGGGAAAGGCUGCAGGUUGCAGGUUGAAAAAAAAAAGAGAGGAAAAAAAACAUAAAAGAAAGAGGACAAGGCAGCUUUGCGGAAAGGAAGGAAAGGAAGAAGGAAAUCUUGGCAUUCUCUCCUCUCGGUUUUAUCUUCUCAAACUUAUGUCUUUCUUUUGGUUUUAUUUGAUAAUAAUGUGUAACUAAAUUUUUAGUAGUUAGGGGCUGUUUUGAAGCCCCGAAUAUGACUGCAAGUUUGUUAUGACAUUUUGUUUGAAUUACUUUUAUGAAUGGAUGAAAAUUGAUUCACUACUUGUCUCAUUGAUGAAUUCUUUAUGUGUUUUCUACGGAUGCAUACUUAGUAAGCAUAUCUAGGAUUCUAACGCUAUGAAUAUAUGUGUGCCUGCUCUUGUCGAAUGAGGACCUACAUAUGUUCUAAAGUAGUACUUGUUAAUUGCGAUUAACAUGUGAACCAAUUUCUAGGAUAAGUAAGACAACACCAGUACUUACGAUGCCUAGUGAUGACUCAAACUCUUUUCGUUCUUAAUGAUUUCUACUUGUUAAAUCUAUGAACAUGCCAUUCUAGAUUGCAUGCUAGGGACUAAGUUAAGUUGAAAACGCCAUUCUCUUAACGUACUACAUAAGAAAGAGUAAUAGGUUGAUUUAUAACAUUGAGCCAACUUGAGCAUCUUCAUCCUGAAAUAAAAGGAAUUUGAAUGAAACAUAACAUGUUUGCAUGAUUAUUUGGUGGUGGAUAGCAAUUCCCCUAACUCGUUUUUCUUAAUUUGUGAACUACUUAAACUUUGUUUCUGUCCUGUUUUCGUUUGAUUUAAUUUAAAUAGCAAAUCAACUCCACAAAUCCUAAAAAUUUGUGUGAGUGUAGCUCUGUGUGUCUAGUGUGUUUAUAUAAAAUUUCAUAGACUUUAGAUAAGUGUAAGUCAGUCUAAUAAUUAUUUUUCGGUGGCUGGUUAGUAGGGACAGCAACCAGUUUUUGUGACAUUUUAAGUAGUUAGAUAAAACAAUCUUCUGCGGGAAAGACCCUUAUUUUCAUAUGCUACAAUUGACAAAUCUUAGUGUUAUUAAGGAAAAUCAAUAGGACAUUUGUGUGCUACUUUGUGGUGUGCUUUUAAUUCUAUCAUGAAACUCCCUUAUAUGCUAGCUUCAAAUUCAUGCAUGCAAACUAAAUAUGCAUCCUUAAUCCACAAACAAGAACAAGUUCUGAAUCAAACAAUUAAGUAAAUUGCAUUCACGAUUUAUAGAAUCACAACUGGAAGUAAUCAAUUCAUAUUGCAAAUAUAUUCAUGGCUUUGAAUUUCCCCCUAGCGAAAACGAGUUUAGCUCCUCAUGUUCGCAAAACAAAGAUAAUUAAACUUAAACAUUGAAAACAAAAGAUGGAUUACAUCUAAGAAUGUUCCAGCAAUCCAACUUGAAUGGCAAGCACAUCCAAGGGUCCUCCUUCUUCUUUGUUGCAGCACAAGGUGUGGGUGAAGGUUUGAGUGAUGAAUUGUAUGAAGGAAUGGUUGAAAGUAUGAAUGGUAGUGAAUGGAUGAUUGAAUGGUGCGGCUAAGGCAUUUAUUUAUAGGGGAAGGAAAGGACACGGCUGGGAAUUAAUUUGGGAAGAGUUUAAGACUCCAAAUCCUCCAAGAAAAGGGUAACAAAUCAGAAUCCCAAGAGGAAAAGGGUAAGUGAGGUGCGGCAAGGAAAAAAGGAAAGGGGAAUCCCUUGCCGUGCAAGGGAAAGGGUUUCUAGAGGGCAUUGGUGCGGCAUCCCUUUGCGGCUGGGAUUAGGUCUUCUAGAACCUAACAUUAAGUGUCCAAAUAUAUUUGGGAACCCUCCUUUCAGCUGUAAGUUAGUUGGAUUAGGAUUAGGAAAGUGCUGGAACAAAAUAAGGUAACUUAACUAAUGUUUCCUCUUUUCUUGUUGAUCUCCUUAUCUUCUUUAAAUUAAUUCUUCUUUCUCUUUAACACAUUCCUAGCCUUUUCAGUCUUCAAUUUCAUUCAUCCACCUUGCUCCAAACAUGUGAUAUCCAUUCCAAGCCCAAAAAUGCUCUAAAAGGCACCAAAAUGCACUUUCUUACUACUUUAGUCAUUUGGAUCUACAAACACACGAAAAUAACUUAAAAUACUAAAAUAACUAGGAACUAAUAACAUAAAUGCAAGAAAAAGCUAACUAAGUCAUAUAAAUAUGCUCCUAUAUAUAUAUAUAUAUAGAUUAAAAAAGAGUGUAGGAAAUGGAGGGGUUCGAGAGUAGGGGUACUGGGAAGUAUUCAUGAGGCUACCUCUUUUAUGCUUCAAGAUCUCAAUUAAUUGUUGUUUUUUCAUGGUUAAGAGCAAUGGGGAAUUUUUUUGUCAUUAAGGGUAUAUUAGUACUUUUACAUUAAGUUUUGGUUAGAAUUAUCAUAAAACUAAAAUAAUGGCUAUAAUUCUUUAUGGGAUCUAAAAUAUGUUUUUCCAAAUUUCCCCACACACACACACACACACACACACACACACACAUUUAUAUAUAUUAUUUCAUCGUCAGGCUCACUAAUUUUUGGGGUUAGUAUUUUUAAUCUUGCUUAUGGGGUUAUGCUGCGUUUGGCUACUGUGGAAUUGUACCUACUCAAUUGAAGUAAAGUUUGAUAUUUAUUUACUUGAUGACUUCUAGGAAUAGUGAAGAUCUAAAAGAUAAAUGGAGAAUUAAAUCUAAUAUUCAUUUCGAUUAACUAGUUAAUUAAAUAGAUUAAUGUCUAGUGAGUUUGUAAUUUGUUUCUACAAUUAGGUCAAGCAAAUGCAGUUCUGUUUCAGAAACAGCAGCUGUUACAGUAAAUAAAUCUAAUAUUCAUUUCGAUUAACUAGUUAAUUAAAUAGAUUAAUGUCUAGUGAGUUUGUAAUUUGUUUCUACAAUUAGGUCAAGCAAAUGCAGUUCUGUUUCAGAAACAGCAGCUGUUACAGUAAAUAAAUCUAAUAUUCAUUUCGAUUAACUAAUUAAUUAAAUAGAUUAAUGUCUAGUGAGUUUGUAAUUUGUUUCUACAAUUAGGUCAAGCAAAUGCAGUUCUGUUUCAGAAACAGCAUCUGUUACAGUAAAUAGCUCAAUUGUUUCUGGUGGAUUGGUGCUCCUUUUCAUUUCUUUUUUUGGUUUAGGGCAAUGUCGUAGAUAGACACCUACAUUGUAGUGGACCUAGAUAUACAACAGGAAGAUGAGUUAAUUUUGUUUCUCUAAAAAUUCAGCGUCGUUAUUACUCAAAUAUAAACUGUUAGUUGCAGAUUUUUGUAGCAUUAUUGCAACUUCAUAUCCUUAGUUUAUGUAAUUUGUCUACUUGGGUUGACAUAGAAAGACCAAAAAAUUAAACACAAUUACCUAUCAGAUACGCCGUGGAACAGUAUCCCUACUUUCAUAUUCAGCUUCUCUUACCUUAGAAUAUUUGAAACCUUGCAGAGUGUCACCUCAACCUUUUUUCUUCCCUCAACUCCAUAUGGAAAAACUUGAAUGAACAAAAACUCCCUAGCUAGGAAUCGGUACAAGAAUUAUUGAAACAUAAUUAAUUGGACAAUACAUAAGAAAAUUUUAGUUGUCAGUUAUAAAAGAAGGGUUACAAAAUAAUAGCAGCAAGUUCUCAUCUAAAAAAUGUAGCUCGGAUUGAGUAAAACAUUAACAUGUGAGAAAGCAACUUCUGGUUAGAAAGCUUUCCAUGUAGGACUAUCCAAGCCAUCUUCAAGCCCCAACUGGUAUGGAUCUCCAAAGGGCAAUGCAAGAAUCAUAUGUCUGUAAAAAUAUUUUUCAAAACACUUCUAAUUAGGCUACAAUCUUUGUUAAAAUUUGUUUUAGCACUCGUCCUUCUUGAUUUUAUUGUUUUUGUGCUUAAACUAGCAAUGGUAUAUACUAUAUAUAACAGAAUUUAAAUGAAUAUGAAUAAAUACUCGGAUUGUAAAAUAGUGUAUAAUAGUAGUGCUCUUUAUUAAUUAACUCACCGGGGUUAGUUGCUAGGAAUCGUAUGGCAACCCAUUCACCAGACAGCACACCCACGGUAUUUCUUUCAACGGCGUUGAUCAAAUUAAAGUUUGCAGAGUCCUUAUUCCGGUCAAAGUUCCCGAACCGUUACCCAACAACAAAGAAAUUAAAUCCAUGCAGAUGAAAGGGGUCGCUUUCGGCGCCCAGAAUGCUUGUGUCUUGCAUGACCAACUCCGCCCUAUUGUUCUAUGGAAGUACCAUUAGUUUUGUACUACCAUAGUAUCAUUAGUUAGGAUGCCUGUAUAGUCAAAUGGAAUUAUAGGACUGCUUGGAAAGUCAGGGCUCUCGUUAAGUGGAAUUACAGGACUGCUUGGAAAGUCAGGGCUCUAAACCCCAUUCGAUUGCCUGGAGAAGUUCGCUUGAAGUAGAGCAGUCGUUGUGUUGAAGGAAUGAAGUGUGUCCCGAUGGGUUUAGGGUGUAUCUCUAGGGUAAGCUUUUUUUUUUGGUCAACGAUCUCUAGGGUAAGCUUAAGGCUAUAUUGUUGUGAAUCAGUUUUUCCUUAAUUUAAGGGAAGUGACUGAUUAGUGUAAAGUAGAUAAAGCUUUUCCUUGAUCUAAGGAAGGUGACUGAUUGGGUUAAGUAGGUUAGCUCUAGUUGGCUGUGAUAGACAGCCUUCUUUUAUUCCUCCUAGUCAGCUGCUUGCAGUAGCUAACUAUCCGGACCUCUUCUUCUUCUCCUCUCUCAUAUAUAACUUGUCACUUGUACAUUUGAAUAUAUGAAAAUACAUUGAAACUUAAAGCUAGAAAAUCUACACGUUGGCAUUGCAAAAGAAACGUUAUUAACUGAAGCUGCAAACAUUGUUCCAUUAGAUCCCCGAAAGGUUUGGUUAUUGUUGCUGCAGGGGUUCGUUCCAAGGCCUAUUGUGAAGAAAAAGUGUUUGUUAACCUUAUGGGGGACAUUAGCAGGAAAUUGUGCAUUGGCUAAUUAUUUGUAUCAUAUUUACGGAUUGAAAACAUCUUUUAUGUGAAAUUGAAUGACACACAUAUCCCAGUAAUCAACCUUGGAUGCUAAUUUUAGAUUUUAAUGCCAUUACUAGUUUAAAUGAAAAAGUAAGGGAUCAACGAGUAGUCACAAACUACAUGUUAAUUUGUGGACUUCCAGAAUCGAGGAGCCUUUCAAGUCUUAAUGCUUCUUGAGUUCCUUUUACGUGGACUAAUAGUCAUAAAGAUAAUAUUGUUAUCUUUGAAAAGCUUGAUAGAGUUAUGGCCAACUCUUAGUGGUUGUAUACAUUCCCCAAGUAUAGGGUUCAUAAGGCCAUCUCCAACCGAGGGUUGGCCAGAGGGCUCGUUUUAGCCCUCUGGUCCUCCAAGAUAUUAAUAUUUUAAUGAACAGUACAAGGCCAUAUUUGCCUCCAUCUCCAAUCGAGAGCCAAAGGGCCAUAUGACUCAUUUUAGCCCUGUCACAAAAAAUCGUCUCCAACCAAAGGACAUAGGGCCAAACAUAAUUUAUUAUUUAAAAACUACAAGUUAAAUUCAAAUUUAACAGCUAAGUGACAUUAGCAUGAUGUCAGCUAGCAGUUGGUAGCUGACUUCAUGCUGACAUUAGCUAGCCGUUGGAUUUGAAUUUAUUUUUGCUAUAAAUAGGGUGGAUAUUGGGCUAUAAUUCACACAACUUUGAAUUCAAUCUAUUUCAAUUCAAUCUCUUUCAAUUCAAUCUUUUUCAAUUCAAGUUUGCCUUUUAAUCCAAGAACUAGUAGUAUCUCUAUAAAUGAGUACAUGAGGCACUAUAGAAUGAUACGUUCUCGUGCUACAAACAAGUACCUACAACAGGAUCUUGUUGCACAUCUUUGGGCCAAAAGAAGCAUGGAGUAGGCGUUUAAGUUUUAUGUUUUUAAAAAUAUUGUAAGUUUCAUGCUGUUAAAUGUUUUUUUUUAUGUUGUAUAAUUUGUAUGUUGGUUAAUGUUAUUUAAUGUUGUUUCAUAUUGUUUAAUGUUGUUUCAUGUUACUUAAUUUAAUUUAAUGUUGUAUAAUGGCUUAGGACAUUAUAGGAAAAAAAAAUAUAAUUUAAAAAAAAUAUGAAACAAAUUUUGUGAAAUAACAGUUAUAGGAAAAAAAAAUAGAAGUUAAAAUAAAAUGAAACAAAUUUUGUGAAAUAGAAGUUACAGGAAAAAAUGGAAUUAAAAAAAAUAUAUGAAACAAAUUUUGUAAAAUAAAAGUUAUAGAAAAAAAAUAGAAUUUAAAAAAAUAUUAAAAAUAGAAGUUAUAGGAAAAAUUUUGUAAAUAAAAAAUAAUAAUAAAACUGUAAAAAAAAAAAAUCAAAUGCACAGCUAGCUGACGUCAGCUAGCCGUUGCAUUUGAAUUUUAGCUUUAGCAUUGGCCAGCCUCGAGCUGGCUAGCUACAUGCAGCCAGCCCUCCAGCCCUUUCAGAUUCCAUGGGGCCCUCUCAGAUUCCACGAGCCCUCUGGCCUAGCCUCGGUUGGAGACGGUUUUUUGGUUAUUUUCGGCAAUUUGGCCCUCUGGUCCCUUUAGUUGGAGAUGGCCUAACUUUCCUAUUUUUGGCUCUAACCAUAGCCCCGUUAAACUAACUUUUUUGGACAAGACUGCUAACUUCUAAACAAAUUUCAAAUUUGAAGCUAUUUGGCUUAAUGAUCCUGAUUGUACUAAUUUGGUUAAAGAAAGUUGGUUGGCCAAUUUCCAGGGUCAUCUAAACGAUAUGUUCAGAGCUUGUGAUAAUUCCUUUAAAUUCAAAGCGAAAGCAUGGAGUAAAAAUAUCUUCGGUAAUGUGACAAAGAAGAUAAAAGAGCUCCUAAGUGAACUGGCAACUGUUCAGGACUGUAUGAAGAAUCCUAAUAGGAAUGAUUGGUUGGAGAAGGAAAGGAAAUUAAAUGAUUCCCUUGUUGCUUUGUACAUGGAUGACGAAAUUCUCUGGGCUCAAAGACUUAAGGCUAACUGGUUGCAGCUUGGGGAUAGAAAUACCAGGUACUUCCAUACCUAAAUCACUAUAAGGAAAAGAAGAAAUGAAAUCAUAAAAAUUAAAGAUGAUCAUGGUAACUGGUGGGAAAAAAAGGUAAACGUAUGGAGGAUCUAUUUAUUCAAAAGUUUAAACAAAGGCUCACCAGCACCAUUCAAAGUCACAGAGAUAAUAAGGUGGAUGAAUCCAUAAGUGUUCUAAAUCCUGUAUCUCAGUAGAACAACAAUUUGCUCAUAAGGCCUGUAACUGAGGCUAAAAAUUUUUAGGCUGUGAAAGCUAUUGGGAGCUUAAAAGCUCCUAGUCCUGAUGGUCUCCACGCUAUCUUCUAUCAUGAAUGUUAGGGUCAUGUUAAGGGCUAGUAAACCUAUCCUUAAAAAUGGAAUGAGAUGGAUUGUUGGAAAUGGUAAAAACAUAAUGUUUUGGUCCCAUAACUAAAUUUUUCCUUUCCCAUUGUCCACUCCUAUUCAAGAUCAAUUAAUAAACUCUUUAAAUUAAAAUAUGAAAGUUAGUGAUGUCAUGGUAGAGAAAAUAUAGAACAAUGAGUUAAUCCUUCCAGUGCUGCCUAACGAUGUAGCAAAUAAAAUUUUUGCCAUCUCUAGCCCUUUAAAUGAUAUGGAGGAUGAGUUUAUCUGGGACCAUCUUUUAAUGGAAAUUUAUCAAUUAAAUUAACUACUUGGAUUCAAAUUGAUGAUGCUCACAGUAAACUUUUCAACGAUUUAUUCAAGAAAGUGUGAAAACUUAGUAUUCCACAUAAAGUUAAAUUUUUUGCUUGGUUGCUUAUAAGAAAUAGAUUGUCUACUUACAAGAGAUUAGAUAAGUAUCAUCAUAAUGGCCAAACUCUUUGCCCUUUAUGCAAUAUUGUAGAGAAUGAUCAACUACACUGUUUUGUUUACUAUAAUCAUGCUUAAGAAGUUUGGAAGCUUUGUAAUAACAUGCGUCCACCGCCACCACCCCCCCCCCCUUCCCCUCCCAUUACCAAUAUGAAUGAUUGGUUAGUGGGGAUGUUAGCUUUAGAUAAAAUGAUCUUUCUGACCUUAGAAAAAUCUCAAUUCUUUGUUGGCAAAUGUGAAAUGAUAGAAAUAAUUUUGUUUUUAAACAGAUUAAACCUUAUCCAACUUUCUGUCUGAUGACAACGACUAUAAUUGGAAAAGAUUUCCUAAAGGCUAAUUUGAAACAGAAACCAAGCAAGACUAAGCAACACCAUUAGAUGGAAAAUGCCUACAGAAGGCUUUUAUAAGCUCAAUUUUGAUGGGUCAGUGGAGGACACUUUUGCUGCUAUGGGUUUUAAAAUAAAAAAUCAUUAGGGGUGUGCUCGCUCGACAUCUUGGACCAAUCACUAUCACCAUGGAAGAAGCUUAGGCUCUCCGGGAUGCUCUGGCUUUGGCCAAAUAACGUCAAAUCAGGAAAAUUGUGGUCGAAAAGGGACUCAAAGGUUGUCUUUGAUGCAGUUUUUGGAAAGUGUACAGUACCAUGGAGAAUUAAGUCCAUCGUUUAGGACAUUAAAUGGCUUACCUCAUCGUUUGAGCUAGUAGAAUGGAACCAUUUCUACAACGAAGCAAACUUCAUGGUGGAUGCUAUCACUUCCCUUGAGCAUAAUUGUACUAAUUUAUAUAUGUGGGAUGGGUGUGUUCCUCACCAAGCCAGAAAAAAAAAGCUCUCUUGUAUUAUUCUCGAGGCCUUGGGUGUCAUUGAAGUUUCUAUUUAAUUUAAUCUUCUUUCUUCCUAAAAUAAAUUAACACAAAUACAUGUGUGAAUGACUAUAUACAAUUGAUAUAAUAUGGUCAUGUGCAUGGUCUAAAAUAUCCAUAAUAUCCCGAUAUUUCCAUCGAAAUUUCCGUGUUUUUGGACUACAGAUAUUUUUUUGGACUACCGAUAUUUCCGAUAUCAUCGAUAUUUAGACCUUGCUAAGUCACUCAUGUAUCUUACCAUGCAAUGUAUAAAGUGUAAAAUAUUGUACUAAUUCAUUAUAUAUAAAUGAUUAUGGUGUGUUUAAACUUCUUUCAUUAAUUACUACAUAUUUUCUACACUCACAAUGUUUGCCAGCUCGCUAUCUAAUCAACUUAAAUCAGUUAUACCUAUCAUGCAAUGCAUUUCCUUCCAAUUUUUUGUGUUAAACUAAUAGAUAAUUGACUAAAUAAACAUCGUGCAAAGUUUCAAUAAAAAUUUCCAAUUUUUUCUUAUAAUUUCCGUAGUUUUUAUUCAAUUUUUAUCGAUAUCGAUAAUAUCUCGAUAUUUCCAUCGAAAUUUCCGUGUUUUUGGACUACCGAUAUUUCCGAUAUCAUCGAUAUUUAAUACCUUGGUCAUGUGUGGGAAAAAUUAGGAAUUCUCAAAGGAAUGAGCUAAAUAUAAAAUAACAAAAGGAAAGGAAAAAUAAUGCAGAUCAACGGCCACCAAUUUAAUAACGGAAGCACAACACAAAAUUUAAAGACCAUCAGAAAAGAGGUAAUCGGCUUAGUUGUACUUGAAAAUGAUUGUUAUUAUGUUGCUUUGGGCUUUUGGAUGAUGGGUUAUGGUAAAGCCUCGUUUGGGCCAAAAGUCUUAUCUUGGACUAUAAUAGCCUAUUUCACUUCAGUUGUUAAUUACUUGCGCCCAAAUCUACUUGGACCAUAACAUGUGUCUUAAUUGUUACUUAGUACUACAGUAUAGUGAUAUUCUUCUUUACUUGUAAGUGACAGGUCUUAGAUUCGAUUCUCGCUAAAUGCAAAUUUGAACCACAUUAUUGCUAACUCAUUGUGAGGCUUAGCCCACUCCCUCACCCCGUUAGUGUAGAUAAUAUCGUUUGUUCCAAAAAAAACAUAUGUCUUUAUUUUAUCUUAAAGUUUUUCUAGAGUUGAGGAAUUGGUUGCAACUUUUGUUUCUUAAAUUUUGUGUUCUAAACUCUCUUUUAUUUGUCAUACAUAUAUACAAUAAUGUCGCUUUGAAUAUAUUAAGUCAUUCCGGAACCUCUUCUAACUAACGAACACAUACCUCCUUUCACUCUCCCUAUUAUCAACUUAUCACUAGGCAAAAAGAGGCGUCACAUUUGGUUUAUGACUAAUUGUUAAAUUGAGCAAUGAGCAUUGAAAAUAGCUUAUUUUCAACAGGUAAAAAAGACUAACCGUUAUGCCUCAUGUAAAUACAAGACCAGGACCGACUGUGAGAUUUUGGAGGCAUGAGGUAGGCCAAUGAAAGGGGGCCCUUGUGUUCUUAGGCAAUCUUACGUUUUUUUUUCCUUUUAUUUUUUAUUUUUUAUCAAUUAGGCAAUCUUACGUUGUACGUUGAUGUACGUUGCUUUUUGGGUUAAAAAUCACUAAUUUAUUAUUAUAGAAUGCCUUAGAUGAUACAAGACUUAAAAAAUCACAAUAAUAAAUUAUUGAAAAACACAUUAAUUUCAUAGUUUCUAUUUGAUUACCUUAAAUCGCAAUCUUGUAGAUCUUGUGAGAUUUGAUUUCCACCAAUAGAAUAGAGAGAUUGAAAUUUGAAAGAAAAGAGAGAAUUGCAAGAGACUUUGGGUGCGUUUGUUUGGGCUCGUUAACUCUUACUGGACUCGCGUGGAUUAUUUCCACCGCUAGAAGUCUUAGCGAGACCCAGAAACCCAUGAGACUGCUAAGACAUUCGUUGCAUUUUCAUCUUCUCGCCUUCCUCUCUGCAUCGCAUCCUCCCUCUCCUCUCUUUGCUCGCGUCGCCAACAUCGUAUCGUCUGGUAGUUUUGAUUCUCCCGUCGCGUCCUCUAUGCACUUUGGUCUCGACGUCGUCCGAUUCACUCCGAGCUUGCAUGCACCCUCGCUGGUAGACAAAGCCCAAAUUUCCUGGAAUUACAAAAUCCAUUCAAAUCGCAAAACCCACACUUAAAAUGCAAAUCCCAAAAUUGAAUUGCAAAAUCAAGUUCGUCUGAAGCUCACCAUCUGCACAUCUUUUUCAAUCGUGAAACACAGAUUUAUGCGGAACAACUUUUCAAGAUAAUAAUAAUAAUAAUAAUAAUAAUAAUAAUAAUAAUAAUAAUAAUAAUAAUAAUAAUAAUAAUAAUAAUAAUAAAAAGAGAGAAACAGGGAGAGCUUUUUUGAGAGAAAGUGUUCUUGAAAAAGGGGAGAAAUGAAAAGAAACCAGAAAAGAGGGAGAGCAUUCAGAGAUGGUUCUGGAAAAAGGGAAGAAAGGAAAAUGAACCAAAAAAGAGGAAUAGGGGUGGGCGCGGUGCGAUGGGCUGCGGUGCGGUGCGGUGUGGUUUUGAAGUUAAAAUCGAAAUGAAAUCAAACUGUUUGGUUCGGUUCGGUGUAGUUUUAAAAGGUUUCGGUUUGAUUUUUGAGAAAAAAAUGUACAAUUUAAAAUAUACAUCUAUUUAUACAUAAGAUGGUCUUAUUUUCCUCAUAUAUUAAUUAAUGAAUAUGCAGCAACAACAAUGCAGCAAAAAACAGUGGCAAAACUGCAAAAAAAGUGCAGCAAAAAGCAGCAGCAAAACUGCAAAAAACAGAAAAACAGCAACAAAAAACUGCACCAAAACUGGAGCAAAAAACUCAGUAAAACUGCAACAAAAACUGCAGCAAAACUGCACCAAAUUUGCACCAAAACUGCACCAAAAAACUGCACCAGGUUGCACUGUCGCAAACUUACAGAGAUGCAAGCAGAAGUAACCAGGUCGCAUAAUUAAAGAUGAGUUUCAAGAAGACGAGUUAAGGAAAAGAUGAGUUUUAAGAAGAUGAGUUAAGGAGAUGAAGAUGUGUUUCAGCCUUCAGGAGUCGAAGUGCAAAACUAAAUGAUAAUGAUAGUCUAGUAACCUAGUUGAACUAAUUAAAAGUUUAAAAUAUAACAUUUAUUUAUUAAUUUUAUUAUAUGGUGCGGUUUCGGUUUCGGUGCGGUUUUGAAAACCCAAAACCGAAACCAAACCGUUUUCUUUGCCGCGGUUUGGUUUCGAAACCAAAACCGUUUCAAAACCACAAAACCAACCGUUCGGUGAGGUUCAAUUCGAUUCGUGUUUCGGUUUCGGUUUUCGGUUCCAAGUGCCCACCCCUAAAGAGGAAGAGCUUUCGUGAAAAGAAAAGAAUGUUCUAAAAAUAAAAAAUAAAGAAAAGAAAAAAAGAAAAGGUUAUUUUGCUUGUUAAUUCGGCACUGCACCAAAUGCUUCACUAAGUUAAUUUAGGUUAUUUAGUCUAAGCCAGUUUAACUUGGUCCCUAAACUUAGAGCUGGUUUGGUAUUGCUAUACUUUGAAAAAAAAACUGCUUCUGUUGUGCUAUGAGAAUAAGCUCAUUUUUGCUGCUUCACGUUUUCAGUUUUUUUUUUAUUAACAGAAGACACCUCAACAUGUUAGUUAGACACCUUAGCAUUUGAUUAGCUCAGUGGUUAAGUUUUAUCUAAAUAUAACAACUGUGAUUUUAAAGACUAUAUAUAUUUGGAUAAUCACUUGUAUUUUGUAAGUAUUCAUGUCAGUAAAUACAACUUGCUCUCCAAGAUCUUUUCUCUCUCUAACAUUUCAUUCUCUUUCUUGUUCUUCACACUUUGUUUCCAUUGUUGAAUCUUUGAGUUCUUGAGAUCAUGAUUUCUCUCUAGUUAUCAUGGUAUCCAGAGCUUAGGUUUCAAUAAAUCUAAGAGGAGGAUCCUGGUUGGUUCAUCUGGCGCUGCGAUAGCUGUUUGGCGGUGGAUUUGGUGGUUGUUUGGCUGGAAUUUCAAUUGUUGUUGGCAAUCGAUUUCUUUGUGUUUUCGUCACAUCAGGUUUCGAUUUCUUUACUGGUUAAUGCUACCUGUGUUCGAUAUUUGUGAAAUUUUUUGAAUUAUCUGUUUGUGUUGUUGAAUGCGAUGAUUCUGUGUUGGUAAUUUUCUAAGGCACAAAGCCUCUAAGUAAUUGUUUGGGAAUUUUUCAUUCAUCUGAUCAAUUCAAAUUCGAGCACGAAACUCCUUGUUAUCUGCAAUUUGUAUGUGAUUUGUCUCCCUGCAGUGAUUUUGUUGAAGACUGGACAUUUGAGUUUGUGAUGAGUUUUGUGGAUUGUUCUUUGUUUUCUUUUGGCAUGAAACCUGUUGAUGUUAAUUGUUGGCACGAAGCCUGUUGCUACUCAUUGGUGGCACGAAGCCUGUUGAUACUCAUUGGUGGCAUAAAGCCCGAUUUAUUCAUCAAUUUCUUGAGCACGAAGCUCUCUACAAAAGUUUUUUUUUUUUUUUUUGUGUUUAGCUAUUCGAUCGAAAAUUCUUUUGAAGCAUGGCGAUGAAUUCUAUCAAGAUGGACAGUUUAUUGGGCAUGUUAACUAUGCGAUUACAAGAUGAUAAUUUUGUGAAAUGGUCCUUUCAAUUUUGAUCUAUUCUUGAAGGUUAUGACCUAUUUGAGCAUUUUGAUGGUUCCUUUGUGUGUCCGUCGAAGUUUGUGGUUACUAAGGAGACUGGGAUUACUACUGAGAUUACAAAAGCCGAUAAGGAGUGGAUUAAACAAGAUAGAGCUCUUGUGAGUCUAUUACUUGCUACACUUGGUGAUGAAGCUGUUGAGUAUGUUGUUGGUUGCAAAACUGCUCAUGAAGACUGGACGAAUCUUCAAGACCGGUAUGCUACUGUGUCUAGGGCUCAAAUUAAUCAUUUGAAGACUGAGCUUCACACUAUCAAGAAAUGGGCUAAUAGUGUAGAGAAGUAUAUGCUCAGACUUAAGGCUUUUAAAGAUCAAUUAAUUGCAGCUAGUGAAGUAACAUUUGAGAAUGAUCUAAUUAUAGUUACUUUGGCUGGCUUACCUGCUGAGUUCAACAUGAUUCGAACUAUGAUUGUAGCUUGUGAGACUCCAAUUUCCUUUAAGGAAUUUAGGGCAUAAUUGUUAGCUGCUAAAAGAACUGCUAAAGAUCUCAUUCUACUUUGACUUUUCCAAUGUCCGACAUGUAUUGCCAUGGUGAAUCUUCUAAUGCUGCUCAAAACUCUUAGAGGUCUUCAUAAUAUUUUGAUGAAGGUUAUGGUUAUGUUGGUCAAAGUCGUGCUGAAUCUUCGAGUAAUGGUUCCAGACCAAAUGGUGGGCUAAUUUCUCAAGCUCAAUUGCCUCCAUUUCAUCAAUAGGGAAAUGGUCAUUUUCAAAAUCAAAGGAAUUAUCAAAAUUAUGGCAGCAAUAAUGGAAGAUUUAAUAAUCGACCCAGAUCUAAUAGAGGUAACAAUGGCAGAUUUUCUAGGAAUUCCACCAUGCCUUCUAAUAAUUUUGGUAACAGUGGAGGAAUUGGAAUGGCAACAUUGGUUCUAAGUCUACUCUGAUUCCUAAAUGUCAAAUUUGUAAUAAGCGUGGGCAUACUGCACCAAAUUGCUUCUCUUGGUAUUUUGCAAGUUCUAGCACUGUUCCUUCAAUUCUAGAGUGUCAAAUAUGUGGGAAACGAGGGCAUACUGCUCUUAACUGCUACCACAGGAGCAAUUAUGCUUAUCAGGAUGCUCAACCACCAUAUUGUCUCACUGCUAUUACUGCACAAACAAAACCAAGUUUUGCUUCUUCAUAACCAAAUUGGGUGCUAGACACAGGUCACAUGAUAGUAGAUUUGGAUAACUUGACUCUGGUGGCCCCUUUUGAAGGAAAUGAACGAAUUACAGUGGGUAAUGGUUAAGGACUUCCGGUUGCUUGGGUUCCAUUUUCACUCCUUCGAAACUAUUAACUUUGCAAAUGGUUUUACAUGUUCCUAAAUUCGUUGCUAGUCUAUUAUUUGUUGAUAGACUGUGUAAAGAUAACCAUUGUUAUGUUAUUCUUGAUGAGUUUGGUUUUUGGGUGCAGGACAAGGCAACAAAGAAAAUCAUCGAAAGAGGAAGGAGUAGUAGUAGUGGCUUGUAUUACAUCCCUCAGCAACAUUUUUUCCAGUAUUCUCAGCUUUUGGACACUCCACCACAUGCUUUUUUAGGGAAGCUUGUGAAGUCUUCUAUUUGGCAUCAUCGACUUGUUCUAUAACCACGAGUUCAGCUAUUUCAUCUGUACUUGAUUCCACUUUGCAAAAGUUAUCUCAUACCAUAGUGUCUGUUGUUUUACCAAGGCAUUUGAAUGAGUUUGAGGAACAAUUAUCAAAUAUGGGAGUGCCAUCUUUGUCUUCUCAAAGUUCCAGUGUAUCUGCCAGUUUAGAUAGCAUCUCAGCACAAGUUACUACUCCUACUACUACUCUACUAGCAACUUCUUCUUCCUCUCAAGUGUUGCUUAUCCAUACUCAGACCCCAACUCAAGUAUCUUUUUCUUUUCCUGAGCCAUGAUAGGAGCAUAUUUAUGCAACUUAGUUAGCUUGUCUCUUGGUAUUUACUUAGUUUAAUUCUAGUUAUUUUAGUACUUUAAGCUAUUUUCGUGUGUUUGUAGGUUCAAAUAACAAAGUUACCAACAAAGUGCUAUUUGGAGCCUUUUGGAGCCUUUUUGGGCCAAGAUUGGAUAGUGCAAGCAUGGAGACAUAAGGAUGGAUGUUUUUGAAGAUUUGAAGGCUAAAAAUCAGCAUGUGUGUGUGCAAGUGUGUUGACCUACAACUCCAAACAUCCAUCAAUUACACCCAUUACAUCCACUCAUUACCAAACACUCAUCCACUACACCCAUUACAUCCACUCAUUACCAAACAUCCAUCCACUACACCCAUUACAUCCACUCAUUACCAAACACUCGUCCACUACACCCAUUACAUCUACUCAUUACCAAACAUCCAUCCACUACACCCAUUACAUCCACUCAUUACCAAACACUCACCCACUACACUUAUUACCAAACACUACACAUUACCCACUACACCCAUUACAUCCACUCAUUACCAAACACUACUCAUUACCAAACACUCGUCCACUACACCCAUUACAUCCACUCAUUACCAAACAUCCACCCACUACAACCAUUUCAUUACCAAACAUCCACCCACUACAACGAUUACAUCCACUCAUUACCAAACAUCCACCCACUACAACCAUUACAUCCACUCAUUACCAAACAUUCAUCCACCACACCCAUUACAUCCACUCAUUACCACAACACUUAUCACUACCACCUUAAUUAGACGGUGGUCCUCCCUAGCCUAUAAAUACAUCCACCCUUCACCAUAACAAUGGGGAAGAAAACGAGAGAGAACACAAUCCACCCAUCCACCCUUCACCAUAACUCACCUAUAUCCAUCCACCACCAUAAUUUACCACUCAUCCAUCAAACCACACCUUGUGCCACAAAAAAGAGAAAAAGGAGGACCCUUGGACGUGUUUGCCAUUCAAGUUGGAUUGUUGAAGCGUUUUUAGGUGUUUUCUUUCUUUUGUUUUCAAUGUGUAAAUUUGUUUAUCUUUGCUUUGUAAGUAUGAGGAACUAAACCCCCCCCUUAGCUAGGGGGAAUUCGAAACCAUGUUCAUGCUUGCAAUAUGAUUUGAUUACCUUCAGUUAUGAUUUCAUAAGUUGUGAAUUCAAUUUGUUUAACUGCUUGAUUGAUAACUUAUUCGUGUAUGUUUAUUAAGAGUGCACACUUAGUUUGCAUGCAUGAAUAUGAUGCUAGAGUAUAAGGGAGUUUCACCUAAUAGUUACAAACUUAUAUUCACAAGUAGUGGAGGUCGCUUAUAAACGAUCGCGUUAAAUAAAUUUUUGGCAGGAGUUUCAUGCUCAUCAUAGUAACGAAUGCCUCGUCAAUACUUAUAGUUUUCAUAAUGCUUAAUGAUCUUUGAUUGUAUCUUUAUUGUGCUUUUCACGUAAAAAACUUUUGAAGAAUGCUUGAAUUGUUGUAUGCGCUUUCCUAUCAAAUUCAAUAACUUAAGGAGAACUUGAAGGUUAAUUUAAGCGGACUUAAUUAACCUGGGGUGUUGAGUUUCAUGAUUGAUCGAAAGAACAACUGAAAAUUGGUUUAUGUGCAAAUAUGUCAUGUGUGGAGAAGAACCUCUUAGCUAGCCUUCCAUCCAUUCAAUUUACUCAAAUUCGUGCAGAUUUCAUUAGUUCUUUAAUUUACUUGUUUUGUUUUCAAAUUCGUCAAAACCAAAACCCCCUUUACUUUAAAGUGUUUUGUUAGUCAAAAUCUGUUUUGAUUUGUGUUUUAGGUGUCCCAAAAGUGUGUUAGAGUCCAAGUCUGCCCAGUUUGUGUUUUUAGGCAGAUUGAGCGUUUUUAGCUUGUUUUGAGUCCUUUGAGUUUGUUUUAAAUUCUUUGAGUCUAGUUUAGUGUUUUUAACUUUGUUUAUAUGUUUUUAAGUCAGUUUAGAGGUUUUAGUAAGCCUUCCUAAUCCCCGGUUUAGAACGAUCCCUACUUGCAUUUAUACUACAAUUUGACAACAAAAGGGUUUAAUUUGUGUGUUAAGUUAAAAUUCGCAUCAAGCCAUCUCAUACAUCUACAGAGUUUGAUACUCAAAUUACUCAUUCAAAUCAUGAACAUGAUGUGUCUAACACUGUUGUGCCUAGUAAUGUAGUAGUUGUUUCUUCUGAUCAUAAUAUGGUUACAAGGUUGAAAAGUAGUGCAAUCCAAAGAAGGAACUAUGCAGCUUAUCAUGCAUCUUUAUCUGAUAAUGAGUUUACCCUUCUUUCACAUACUGAUGAUGUAGUCUUUUGUGGUUUUACUUCUGUGUUGGAUACUCAUGAUUCUUCUGAGCCUUCUCAUUAUAAAAAGGCAGUUCUAUCUCAGCACUGGCGCAAUGCUAUGACAGAAGAAUUUAAUGCUCUUCACAAACAAGUUACUUGGGAGUUGGUACCUUAUCCAAAAAAUAAAAAUGUCAUAGGUAGCAAAUGGGUGUAUAAAAUCAAGAAAGAUCAAGAUGGCAAGAUAUUGAGGUACAAGGCUCGACUUGUUGCACAAGGAUAUAGUCAAUAACAAGGCUUGGAUUAUGAAGAAACGUUUAGCCCGGUUGUUCGACAUACUACAGUUAGGCUUGUUUUAUCUCUUGCUACUAUGCAUAAGUGGGACUUAAGGCAAUUAGACGUGAAAUAUGCAUUUUUACAUGGUGAAUUACAAGAAGAGGUGUUUAUGAAACUAACUCAAGGGUUUCAAGAUCCUUUAUAUCCUAACCAUGUUUGCAAACUUCUCAAAUCUUUGUAUGGUUUAAAACAGGCACCACGAGCCUGGAAUGCAAAGUUUACCAGUUAUCUUCCUACUUUGAAGUUUCAGUCUUCUCACUCUGAUCUGAGCUUGUUUGUGAAAUUCUGUGAUGGUGAUGUAGUAAUUCUUCUUUUAUAUGUCGACGACAUUAUUAUUACAGCAAGCAAUUGAUGAUUUGGCCUCUGUAUUUGACAUGAAGGACAUGGGCAAACUCACUUAUUUUCUGGGACUUCAAGUUACCUACAGAGAAAAUGGGGAUAUUUUUCUUAGGCAGUCAAAGUAUGUCAUUGAUCUUCUUAAUAAGGCAGGUAUGGUGCAUUGUAGGCCUUGCUCCACUCCUAGUAAACCUCAUACACAGUUAUUGAAGGAUGAAGGAGAAUCAUUGUCUGAUCCCACAGUUUAUAGAAGUUUGGUUUGUGCAUUGCAAUAUUUGACCUUUACUAGGCUAGAUAUUGCAUAUGCAGUCAAUUAUGCUUGUCAAUUCAUGAAUAACCCAAUAGAAGAUCAUUUCUGUUUGGUGAAGCUGUGCAUACUUAGGUAUUUGAAGGGUACUUUGACCUGUGGCAUUACUUAUUCAGCUACUGGAAAAUUGGAGUUGCUUGCCUAUAGUAAUGCUGACGCAGCUGAUAUCAAUACUAGACGAUCAACAACUAGAUAUGUUGUUUUCCUAGGAUCUAAUCUCAUUUCUUGGCAGUCAAAGAAGCAAGGCAAUGUGUCUAGGAGUUCAACAGAGGCUGAAUAUAAAGCAUUGGUUAAUGCAACAGCUGACAUUGCUUGGAUUCGACUGGUUCUUAAUGAUCUUCAUAUGUUUCUUCCUUGUGCUCCUGUGUUGCAUUGUGAUAUUCUGUCUACAUUAACUUUGUGUUCUAAUCCAGUCUUUCACACUCGGAUUAAACACUUAGACACUGAUUUUCAUUUUCUUCGUGAAAGAGUACAAAAAGGGGAUAUGGAGGUUCAGUACAUUCUUAUAGAUGCUCAGAUUGCAGAUGUCUUAACAAAAGGAUUACACAAUCCUUUGUUUGUUCGUCAUUGUUCCAAUCUCAGACUGGGUUAUCCCAGCUGAGAUUGAGGGGGAGUAUUAACAAAAGACACUUCAACAUUUGAUUAACUUAGUGGUUAAGUUUUAUCUAAAUACUAUGAUUUUAAAGUCUUUAAAUAUAGUCUUUAAAAUCACAGCUGUUAUCCAAAUAUAUAUAGUCUUUAAAAUCAUAGUUGUUAUAUUUAGAAUCAUGUUUAGCCUCCCUCUCGGUUGGAGAUGUUUUUUGUCACAUGGCUAUGUUUGGCCUAUGGUCAUUUGGCCCCUUCGGUUGGAGAUUGUAUGAAAUAUGGUAUGGCACUGUUCAUUAAAAUAUAAUUUCUUAGAGGGCUAUAGUGUUAAAAAGAGUCAUCUGGCCUUCUUUCGGUUGAAGAUGGCCUCAGUCUUUCUACUUGGGCAUUUUCUAUUAUAUGGAAUUAAUUUGAAAAAAAAAAAAACAUAAAUGCAUCCUUCGUGUUUCAAAUUGAAAACAAUUCACAAAAACCAGUUUUUUUCCCCACUAAGCAAGCAGUUUUUUUUUUUUUUUUUUGUUAUUUAUCUUACUUUUAUAGUGUGUGUGUAUAUAUAUAUAUAUAUAUCCAAAUAGAUACAUAAAAGAAAUUUGGGGCUAGUAAAUCAGAGGUCCUAGGCAGUCGCCUUACUCAGCUUCCCUCAAGGCUAGCCCUAUGUCACUAUAAGAGCAUUUCCAACUGUUGCUUAUAAGCAAGGGCAAAGGCAAUGCAAUUGCCCAAAACACCUCCAACAGGACAAUAAAAGAAAUAAAGGCAAGUGGUGGACCAAGCCAUGCUAGCCCAAAUGCCCAUGUAAGUUAAGCAUUGCCUUCCUCAACAGGCAUGGCUGACUCAGCCACGGUCUUUACGUUUUUUCCAAUUUGUAACACAUGUCCAAAAUCAGGGUGUGAGCCAACAAAACCUGCAAUAGUAGGCCUUGUUGCAACACUAAUUGAAGAGCCUAACGGCUCUAUGACGUGGCACGAUGAGAGCCGUUGGAUUUCCAACAACCUGAUGAUCUGGACUAUUGGAUUUUCAAUGGUAAAGAAUUUAAAAAGUUAUCGAUGCACCAUGUUGCACGUUCUAGUGCGUCAGAUUCAACAAUAAAAAAAAUCAAACGGUCAGGAGUAAUUUGAUUGUUAAAAAUGGAAGGAAAAAAAGAAGAAGAUGGCGAUGCAACAAAUACGGAAGAAGAUUCAUACACAAUUUGUCGAGCUGAUUCAACGCAUAUCCAGGUCUGAGCUAUCUCUAUUGAGUAUAUGCAAACAUCUAAGUAAGUCAACAUAGAGAGUUAAAAUCUGGGCAAGAAGCCCUCACAAAAGCAUAAUCUAUUUAUCAAAAUGGCAAUAAUAUAGCCAAUAAGGUAAUAACAUUUUAUUAUUAAUAAAUUUCAAAUGUGAUUAACAUGUUAUUAUUUGGACCAUCAGGUAAUUAAAAGUAAUCAUUGAUUAUGUAAUUUAUAAUGUUGUUUCAUAAUUCUUUGCUUUGCAUUUGAAAUUAAAUUAUUAGAGUUAAACAUGGAGUUUUACUUUCAAAGAACAAACUUACAAAGUGCACACUUAAACACUUACAAGGCAUAUAUAAAUAAAUAAUAUAUAUUUGUGAAUAAUAAUCGCCCUUAUCUGCGACAACUCGUCCUUAAUUUUAAGUUUUAUAAAUUUUAAAAUAGUGAUUUUAUGAAAAUGCCCUUAGAGGCAAGGAUGUUUGACUUUCGUUGACCAUUCGAAGUCACAAUUAAUGUUUCCGAAUAGAUUUUGAAGCUACGAACGCAUAGGCAAAAGCCGUUUGCGAGUUCGGAUUAUAACAGUAUAGUUACGGACAUUUGAAGUCGUUUCAUUAAACAAUAGAUUUAAAGGAAUAUAAACUCCCACCUUGUGGGAAAGAGGCCAUUCAGGCUAAAGGGAAGGAACCAAUCAGUUAAAUGGUGGAGGACCAAUCAGAAUUUAGGGGGGAGUGAGCAACCAAUCAAAGAGAAGGAGGAAAAAAAAGAAAAGAAAUGAAGCUUUCCUUCUCGACGACUUGUGCACCUGCACAGGGCUCAACCAAUUCCGCCAACUUUCGCCAUUUUCCCCAUCAAACCGCCAUCAUCCAACACCUGCAAUCCUUUCCACAACCUCCCCUCUACCAUCUCCACCCAAAUUCGAAGGUUUUUAAGUCCAAAACCGUGUAGAACCUCACCGGAGCACCGGAGGUGCUUGACGGUGAUUCCUCCGAUCCAGUGAGUUUCACCACCCACCACUACCCUUAAUCAACUCCCCUUAGACCCAGGAAUAAGAUCCAACCAGUGAUAGGGGCGUUGGAACACCGGCAAAGUCGAAUCGAUGAACACCUAUUAUAGGGUUUCAGACGGGUUCGUGGCGAUUUGAGGUUUUUUCGGCCAAAUUGGACUUGGCCACAUAUAUAAAACUUGCUCUACUCAUUGAGAUCUUCAUUUAAUUGAAAUUUGAGAAUUUUUAGAAAUAGUUUAUUUUUCCGGCGAGUUGGGACGGUCGACUGUCGUUUGCAGCGGCAUGUGGGCCGAGGCACCCCCUAACCUUCCUAAGCUAAGUUUGAUACCCCAAUUCCAUAUGUGAAGUCAGAUUGAUGAAAUCUCAUCGUUUGAACAUAGUUUUGAUAGAGACCGCUACUUGAUCCUUGUAUGAAUUGACGAACCGACCGUUGGAUCAUCACCAAAAUUUAAUAUAUUAUAGUAUGUAAUAUUUUAGGAUAUUAGAAACUUACGGAUUGGGAAUCCAACUUAUGGAUCUUCCUAAAAUGGAUUUGUAAGUUCGUAAAAUAAAACGUUGACCGCCACUUGAAUUUGCAAUUGGUGGAGAUCCAACCAUUGGAUCGUAAUGAAACUUUAGUAUGAUGUUCUAGAAGCAUAAUGUGGAUCUUUUGAAGUUACGGAUCAAAAAUCUAAGUUGCGGAUCUUCCGGAUUGAGUUACGUAGGAUUAUGGACCCUACCGCCAACCUUUGACCGAUGAUUGAAUUUUGGUCAAUGGGUUUCAAAUCAUUCUAGAACGUCCUUAGGGGAUGUGUUUUAUGUAAGUUACGUGUUCUAUCGAUAAGAAUUCUAAGACGUUAUUUGAUAUUUAUUCUAGGCGACGAUUGUUCGUGAUGCCUCGAUAUUCGUGCUAGGGAGUUGUAGCCCGGACCUCAGGUGAGUGGGUCUUUUUCUUUUUAUAGUGUAUAGAUAGAUAUAUAUAUAUAUACACACACACACACACACACAUAUAUAUAUAUAUGGUUGAUAGUUUCCACAAAUGAUUUUGAAUUGAUUUAUGCAUAUCAUGCUAUGAUUAAAUAUUGUUAUUAAAAACUUUGCAUUGUUAUGAAAUUGUGAAAUGCCAAACGAUCCUACGGGAUGCGCAGGUUUGAUCAGGUGAGUUUAAUUUGUGAUUGGAAUUGUUGCACCAUAUUGGCAUGCAUAAAUUCAUUUAGUGCUCAUCAUUGUUGCACCCCAGUGUUAGUCAUCCUGUCCUGGGCCAGGGCACAGCCUUCACGUGUAUGUUCACCUCCCGCAUCGCACACUUACCUUGGAUCCAAGUAGGUGCUAGCCUAUCGUAUAGACUCGAUUAGGCAGUUUGAUGCGAAAAUUAACUUAACACACAAAUUAAACCCUCUUGUUGUCAAAUUGUAGUAAUAAUGCAAGUAUGGAUCGUUCUAAACCGAGGAUUAUGAGGGCUUGCUAAAACCUCUAAACUAACUCAAAAACAUAAAAACAAAGUUAAAAACAUUUGAAUAGACUUAAAGAACUCAAAACAGGUUCACAAGACUCAAAAUAAUUUAAAGACACUCGAAACUGCCUAAAAACACAAACUAGGCAGUUUCUGACUCUAACACAACUUUGGACGAAAUUUGGGUUUUGACUUGACUCAGAACACUCUAAAACACAAACAAAACAUAUUUUAAACACUUUGAAACAAGAAAGUAAAAGGGGGAUUUAGUUUUGAUGAAUUUGAAACAAAUAAACAAGUUAUAAAACUAGGCAGAUUGUAAAACGAAUUUAAGAAAUAAGAUAAUGGAUGGAUUAGUUAGAGGUCCGUUCUUCACACAUGACACACUUGUAUAUGAAUUGAUUUCCAAUUGCUUUUCAAUAAACUAUGAUGCUCAACACCCCAGAUUAAUUAGAUACGCUUAAAUUAAUCCUCAGAUUUUCCUAAUUUCAUUGAAUUGGAUGAUUGCAUACAACAACCCAAAGCAUUCCCCACAAGUUCCCUACAUGAAUUGCAUAAUAGAGAUACAAGCAAGAAUCAUUAAGUUCUAUGAAAAUCAUAAGCAUUGACGAAACACUUGUAACUAUGAAUUGCAUGAAACUUAUGCCAAGAAUUCAAUUAACGCGAUUGUGAUAAACAACCUUCACUACUCAUGAAUAUAAACUUGUAACGAUUAGGUGAAACUCAUUUAUAUUCUAGCAUCUAAUUCAUGCAUGAAAACUAAGUAUGCAUGAAAACUAAGUAUGCAUCCUUAAAUAACAUACAAGAAUCAGUUAUGAAUAAAAUAGAUAAUUGAAUUGCAAUCACAACUUAUCAAAUCACAAUUGGAAGAAAUCAAUUUAAAUCUCAAGCAUGUUCAUGGCUUCAAACUUCCCCCUAACUAAAUAGUGGUUUAGCCACUCAUAAUUGCAACAAAAUUAGAAAAUAACAAAGUAGACAUUGAAAGCAAGAACGAAGUACACCUAAAACGCUCCAAAGUUCCAAGCUUGAAACGCCAAGGGCCUUUGUUUUCACCACCUUGUUGUAGCAUAAGUGUCUAGGAUGUGUAUGGAUAUAUGGAUAGAAUGGAUUUGCAUGACAUAGAAAAUGGAAAUGUAUGGAGAUGUGUUUGAAUGUAUGGAUGAAAUGGAAUGGAGCUCAAGGCAAGGGACUUGUGUUUGUGAAUGAAGCUCUUUUGAUGGAUCAAGAUUGUCGUUCUUUGGAAGGGGGGUGGUGGAUGUAUUUAUAGGCUAGGGAGAGGACCACUCCAUUUCCUUUGCAUGUGCAGAUUGCAUGGGUGUGUGCUGUCCAUGUUUCUCCUUUCCUUUUCCACCCAUUUUCUGAACCUUUCAGUGUUACAAUGCCCAUAACCUCUUCUAGAAAAAUGAUAUUAACAAUCCGUAAAUUGUUCUAGAAAAUAGACAUCCGUAGCUUUCCAGGCAUAUAAGGCUCAUUCUCUCAUUCAUUAUACGAUGUUCGUAACAUGCUUUCAAAGUCAGCUAAUCUGCACAGGCAGUUUUGACGAAUUUGUUGGCUGUCCAUGUUUCUCCUUUCCUUUGCAUGUGGUUGUGUCUUCUCUUUCUAGCUGUGCAUUUCCACUUGAUCCAAAGCCAAAUGAGUGCAAUCAUAACCCCAUUUGCUGCUGAGUGUUGAUGACAAAGCAAAACACAAAACAAGUGCCUUUACUUUCUCAUUUUAUUAGCCAAAUCCGCUUAGCCCUUUUCUAAACCUUUAAGUGUUACAAUGCCCAUAACUUCUUCUAGAAAAAUGAUAUUAACAAUCCGUAAAUUUCUCCAGAAAAUAGACAUCCGUAGCUUUCCAGCCAUAUAAGGAUCAUUUUCUCAUUCAUUAUGAGAUGUUCGUAACAUGCUUCCAAAGUCAGCUAAUCUGCACAGGCAGUUUUGACGAAUUUGUUGGUUGUCCAUGUUUCUUCUUUCCUUUUGCACACACAUGCUUCAUCAUUUCAGCCAAAUCAACACAUGUUCUCCAUCACAUGGCAGCUAUGAUGUUUGUUAGUUGUAGGUCACACACUUGCACACACAUAUGUUGAAUUCUAAUCUUCCCAAAACGUCCAUCCUCAUGUCUCCAAGUGCAUGCAAUCCAUUUCAGCCCAAAAUUGCUCCAAAAUGCACCAAAAUGCACUUUUCUUGCCAACUUUGUUAUUAGGACCUAACAACAUACGAAAAUGGCUUAAAACACUCUUAUAAGCAAUAACUAACUAAGUAAGUGCAAGAAAACAUGUUAACUAAGUCGCAUAAAUAUGCUCCUAUCACAGUUCCGACUCAUAGAUGACCCACGAUUUAUCGCUAGCCAUCACGUGAUCAUAGGACUAAAGCGUAUAUAUUUACACCCAGCUUGUCGUACAGGUCACACUAGGUGACUCCGACUCGUGUGCUAGCAUAGACUGAUGAGCAAUAGGUCCAUUCAUACAUGUCACAUUAGGUGACUCCAACUGGCACGCUAGUUGAUUAUUCACACCUGACUUACAUUUAUUUUUAUUGAGAUAUUGUGACAUGGCAUGCUUUUGUUGUCACUGCUUUUAUGCAUUGGUUCUUUAUGUUUACGUAGUGUUAUUUUCUGGAAACUAUACAUGUUUUACGGCAAGGGGUUAUAAUGUUUUCAUUGAAACUUUAUUUUUAGGCCCACUCAUCCUUGUUUUUCAUCCCUCCAGGUUUUAGCAGCAGAACUUUGUAUCGACGAGGAUUCUUGGCAAUUCUCAAUAUAGGUGGCUACCUUUGAGGGUAUAAUCAUUAUCCUAUCUUACUGUAUUUCACUUAUGCUCUGACAUCACGUGUGAAAUGGGUUCAUUCUCGCUCAUCGCGCACUCUUGUAUUUAGGCACUUUUAGGUUUAAAUUUAUUCACAUUUUCCAUCACACUACACUUUAUAACUUCGUCACCUUCCAGGUGUCGGCCAGCACAACAUGAUUUGGAGUCCAAGUAGACAUUCCGGAUCGAGGUGUGUCAUUAUCCUUGUUGAUCUAGUGGAGUUACACAAUGACAAUUACUUUCCAAAAGGGCAAUUGCCUUACUCCAACGAGUGUAACUGCUCUAAAGUAUCUCAUUUAGCAUAAAGAAUUAUGAGUAAAUGGGCUUAAACUUUGGUGCUCUCAAGUAGUCCAAAGUCUCAAUUAAAGAGCUUUUCAUAGGGUUUAUAGAGAUUGGCAACCUUCCACAAAUCAACUCCUCUUAAAUCGUAUGUAUUGGUUCCAUAUGAACUUGGUUGGUGUAAGGUUUAAACAAACGUUUUCGAAUGAUUCAUGUCUAUGUAGCCAUUUGCAAUUCACCUCAAUCAUUUAAUCAUUUCAAAUUCCUCUAUUUAAUAUUGCACAAUGCAUUUCUAACUAAAGUAGCCUAAAUUCAUUGGUAUUUGAUAACCUUCAUUCAAAUACAAUAAUAAAUCUAGUAUUGUCUCUAGCAUUGGUUUUAGCCUUCGGGUCUUUCACGUGAGAAGCAGUUAUAUGAGACGGGUUCAUCAUUACAUGAUUUUUUUUUAUCUAAUAAUGUGUUGUUAUGUAAAAGUUUUUCUUUACAUGGCAACAUAUUAUUAUAUUGAGACAUCAUGUCAUGUAACAGUAAACUCAUUUCAUAUAAAUUGCUCAUUUUUUUUACUCCAUUAUCCUUUUUCGCUUGGGCACCAUAAAGAAGUCAUCCAAUGAUCGAUGAUCAUAAAAAUUAAUAAAAAGAUAAUCUUUAGAAUUAAAGUGGAAUUUGAAAUGGAAUCAAAUUUGAAUUGAGAUCCAAACCUUCGUAUUAAACUAGAACAAGUUCACUAAAUAAAGGUGAGGCCAACCACCAACCAAUAUUUAUACAAAAAUAAUCGCAUUCCACUCCGACCCUACCGAAUUCUUCAGGCCAUUAACCACCAUUGAAUAAACAGUACAGAAAAUCAUAAAGUAAUUAUGCUCUUAAACCGAAAAGAAAUCGAGAGUAAUUAAUAAUUAGUGCCAAGAUAUCAUUAAUAUUAUUUUUAAGGAUUCGGACGCGUAUAGUGAUAUAUUCUAUCAUUACGUCUCUCAGAUUCCGCAUCGAUUGGUGCGAGAUAUUCUAUCGUCAAUGUUUCUCGGACACUUUCUUGUUAAACCCAUUUACUACAACUAGGGAUUAAAUUUUUUGCCAAAUUACCAACCAUAUUAUACUAAAGUUCUGUAAAAAAAUUUGUAUCAUUGGUAAUGAUACGAUAUUUGUAUCGUACCAUACAUUUUUGGAAGAUAAUAGUAUUCAAAAUCAUUACCAAUUAUAUACCAUACUGUAACACUACUAUUAAUAUUAUAUAAUUUAUUUAUUCAUUUAUAUAUAUUUACGUAUUAUUAUAAUUAUAUAUGCACUUUAUAUUUUUUUUCCUAGUCAUUUAUCCAAUCAUCUCACAUUCUAACCUCUACUUUCCCAAUAAAAAAACAUAAGCCUUCUUACGCUGCGACUCUUCAUCUUUUCACUCAUCUAGCCACCGACUUCAUCUAUGUUGCUCUAGUUUCGGCGACUGUCUCUCCGGAGUCCACCUCAUCUUCUCCUUUAUCAAAUUGGGAUGUCUUUCUCCCUGGCUUUGUCUAUCAAGUUAAUUUUUGUUUAAUUUUAAAGAAUGUAAAGAUGAAAUUUAAGAAUCUUUGUACUAUUUUUUUAGGGAUAUUGGGUUCUUUGAGCAAUUCUUCCAUCUGUUUACUUCUUUGUUUCUUUAAUGAAUCUUUAUAAAAUUCUCAUAAUUAAAUAAAAAAGUUUUAGAAACCCAAAAGGAGUGACCCAAACACGUUUGGGCCUUGAAUUGGGUUGGAAAAAAAAUCAAAUUUUGGCCCAAAAGAAUGACCCAAAACAAAGUGGUAAUUACCAUUACCAUAUCAUGUCAACCGAACUAUUUGGCAUGCCGAAAUUUGGUAUAUCGAAAGUUUGGCACAGUAAUGAUAAUAGAUUUUAUCAUACCAAAAGUUUGGUACGGUAAUUGAUACAUGGGUUUUGGUACGAUAAUUGUACCAAUACCACCCCUAACUACAACUAUCCAAUCAAAGACUAAUCCCGUUUCAUGAGAGAAUUAUGACUAAUAUCAAUUUCACGAGAAAUUUUUCAAGGUGACAGGAACCCACAUAACCAUGGACACUUUAUGUAUCCAUUUAAUCGGAGGAUGUCACAUGCCUAACCGAAGAAUCUACCUAAUUUAUUUUUAAUGAAAUUACGCUGUCUGUUCUAUUAAUAAAUCCACAAGGUUUAUCUUUUAAAAUGUUAAUUAAAUUAGAACUAAAACAGAAAAAUAAAAAUAAAAAUCUCCAAUCCAAAUAACCCCGUCCCCGGCGAGACACACCACCCCCGAUCCCACCACCACCACCUCUGAUCCCGUUCAAAUCUGGUACCGCCACCACCUCCCUCUCUUGCUCUUCCUCAUAGACGAACAAUAACAGGCACAGUGGCAGACGUCGACGCUAUUCUACCCCUCCCCGAACCCAUGCGGACCAUCUUCCUCAUUGUCAUCUUCAUCAGCAUGAUUUUCAAGUUUUUCUUUGACGUGCUAUCUUUGCUUCUUGUUGGGUUUUUUUGUAAGAUGUAAUCUGAAAAUCAACAAGUUACUAGGAUUACAGAUAUAACAAAUAUAACUACAAUAAAUCAAUCAAACAAUUAAAGGGAAAUAAACUUAUCUUCCAAAGCAGAGGAAGAAGACGCUAUGACUGCUAGGGUUUCAUAGGUUGUCUUCUACUUCCAGUACUUCAAAAUGUCUCUCUACCGUGAAUAGGGUUUGGCAUGAUUGAGAGUACAAGCAUAUGGAAGCAGGAACUUAACUGUGGUAUUUAUAUCAUUAGGGUUUUCAUCACAUCCGACCUAUCAUUGGCUAUGAAGAUCUACCCUAUCUCUCUAGUAUUUAAGUCCCACCAUGAUACGAUACCUUUGUAAUAAAUCUAUCAGAUUUCCUCUAGGUUAAUUGCAAGGGACAAGACUCCAUAAUCCUUAUUAGGUUAGGACUAUCGGAUCACUUUGGUUGCUAACCACUCGAUAGACAAUUGGCUUACAACAAAAAGAUCCAAUACAACAUUCAUUGUCAUUCACAAUCUUAUAUUCUCCCACUUGAAUGUCAAUAAUUCAUCCUAACAAAAUAAGAACUCAUUGUGAUCACUGAGUCUUCAUAAGUAUGCAAUAACCUUUCCUAGCAACCUGUCACUUUGAAUCGAAUGCCGAACCAAAGAAAAACAAAGAACAACUUGGUCUGUUCCUUGCACUCCAAGAUCACAUACACAUUCAACUUAAAGCACUUUGUUGCUAACAAAGUCAUGGUGUCAAGAGCUAAUAGUCAAAACAUUAGCUCACAAUAGUCAAACUGAAAAUAUGAAAAUAUAUUUCAGUACAAAAGUAGUUCACAAAAGAACUCAACAACGUUGGUAACAACAUCCAACUUCUCUGUCAAUUUAGAAUAUGAUAAGAGAACAAGUAAAAUAUGACAUACUAUUUACAAAAUCAGAACCUCUUAUUAAAACUUAUGAACAAAACUUAAACAAAAUUUACUCUUAAAAUAUCAGCCACUAACACUUCAAAAUUUUAACACAAAAGGUAAUCUCUUACUCCCACUGAUUAGUAGAGAUAAACAAAUUAUUACUCCCACUGAUUAAGAGAGUAAAAAAAACUUUAUAAAUGCCUAUAAAAUGAAACUGACACCUUUCAAAUACUCCCAUUAGCAAAACAUUAGUCAUGGGAUCUAAAACAUAAAAUUUGUGAGCUCAACAUCUUUAUUUUAGAUAUUUGUAGGGAAGUGAUUCUCGUGACUGAAAAACUAUACAAAAUUAUUUGGUCAGUUUUGUUCAUCUAACAAUUGACAGAAAUAGAAAACUUUAACUGAAUGUUUUCUAAUGCAUCAAAAGCAUAUAAUUCUAGAAUCAUCUUUGGAUAGAAACUAAUUAUAUUAGGUUUGUAUAGCUAAAACAUAAAAUACAAGGGCAAAUGUAUAUAGCUUCAACACUUUUGAGCAGAUGAAGUAUAUGCAAUCUUGUCAAUUUCAUGUUUCACCAUACAUUGAUUUAUAGUUGUACUGAAAAAGAAAACACUUUUGAGCAGAUUAAUUAUUCAUCAAUAACAUAUAAAUCACAAGUCCAAUUUCUUGAACAACAUACAAGAAUUAAUAAGCAAAACACUUUUGAGCAGAAUAUACUCAUUAACCCUUCUUGAAUUUCCUACAAGAUUAGUUGCAUAUAUAACAAAUAAAAUAUAAAUAAGUAUGAUAAUGUACGUUUUAUCUACCAAAACUAUGACCAUUAAAAGCAUGCAAAAUUGAUGAGUGUGAAGCCCAUAAUACAUUAUUUCUCCCACUUGGGCAAACACUCAAAAUUGCAAGAUUAAACACUAGAGAAAGUGAUUUUCAUUUAACAAAAUAUAUGCAAGUUGAAUCAAUCAAGAUCAAAUACAUAAUUUUUUUUUUUAAAGUAGGUUAGAAUUAAAAAGUUCCAUAAAUAAAAACUUAUGCAAUGACUACAAAUUUUAUUUUAUUUUAGUGUAUGAGAGAAGACUCACAUAUGUGUUAAAGAUUAGGUCAUCAAUUAAAAUGAAACCUAAUAAGAGAAUCUGUUGAUGCACAAAUAUCAGCGAGGACUUUGGUACAACAGAAAGUGUCAGGUUGUGACCUUCGCUUGGUUGCUUCGAUCACUUUUGAAGAUAAGUACGUAAAUGAAUAGGGACAGGGAAGCAAACACAAGAUGUACGUGGUUCACCCAGAUCGGCUACGUCCACGGAGUAGAGGAGUUCUCAUCUACGAUGCAUGGACACGGGGAAAACUCAACGUAUCCCGUAUCUGACACGCAGGGAUACGGAUACGUACAAAAUACGUAUGGAUACGCGCCCGAUACGUAUCGGAACGAAGGUAUACGUUCUUUAUUACCAAGAUACGCGUAUCAUAUUGUCGAGAUACGCGUAUCAUAUUUUUCGGAUACGUUUCAAGCAAAAUCAGAGGAUAAUCAGAAAAAAAAUCCAAUAGAUCCGCACAGAAUCGUGAUUGAUUCGAAUUAGAUAACUUAAACGAUUGUUUAACUAAAAACCAAAACGAUUUCGAACCUCAGAAAUCAGACUCAUCUGCAAUUGCUCCGUCCGUCCGUCGUCUCUAUCGUCUCCGUCUGCAACUGCUCCAUCGUCUCCAUCGUCUCCGUCUGCAACUCCUGGUGAGAGCCUUCGACUUUGUUUUCACUUUGUUAAUUUUGAAGCUCAAUCUGAUUGCAGAACCCCUCUGAAAUUGAAAGAAACAUGCUGCUCUGUUUUUAUUCGAAGCUAAAAGCCCCAUUUCUGCUUUAAGCCAUUGACUAAUUCAAUGUAUCUGUUAUGCAAAAUUGAAAAAGCCAAAACCCAAUUUUGCUUUCUGUAUAAUAUAUUAUUUUGAUCUUCGAAGAUCAAUCAAUGGGGUCAGAUGGUGUGCAAUCAGUAAUCACUUAUCUGUUAUACAAAAUAAUAUUAUAUACAAAAUACUCGUGCCCACUUUUGCUUUCUGUAUAUAAUAUUAUUUUGUAUUUUGUAUAUUAUAAAUAAUAUACUAUUGUGCUUUCAUGAUAUUUAGAUUAUAAUAUUUUAUGGAUUUCAUGAUGUAUUUUUUAAUCUCUUAAGUUAAUAUAAAUUUCUCGUGUAAUAGUCUCUGUCUAUACAGUGGAUUGACUCUUAUUGUUUAUAUAUUUGAUUCUUACAAUUUACAUGUUGAUAAUUUAGGAAAAUGAAUCAUCCUGAUAAUCAUGCGAAUGCUAAUGUCAACCUAGUUGAGAAUGUUGAAAAUGAUCAUGGUACACUAUGGAAGUAUGUCAAAAAGCUCGAAAGAGUGGAAAAUGGAAGAGGAGGUAGUGUGUUUCAAUGCAACUAUUGUCAAAAGAUUUUCAGAGGAUCUUACUCUAGGGUCAAGUUUCAUUUGUUAAAAGUGUCUGGAAAUGGGAUCGUCUCUUGCAAUAAGGUUACUGAUGAAGCUCUUGCAGAAAUGAAAAAGCUAGCUCAAGAAUGAGGGACUCUUUCUUUUUAUUUUUUAAGUCGUUUGGAUGUUCUUUUUAGUUUUUCAAGUUUGAAGACUAAUUUGUUUAGUGGAUUAUCUUUUAAAUGUUUGAAGUUUAUCGAAAUAAAUUUGAACUUGAAUAGUAUAUUUGAAUGCUUAUUUUAUAAUAUUUAGAUAUAUUUAUUUAUUUAUAUUAUUUUUAAUUGCCGUAUCCUUGCCGUAUCGUGUCUUCAUUUUUAGAAAUUUGACGUAUCCCCGUGUCGUGUCGUAUCGUAUCUCCGUAUCCGUGUCCGUGUCCAUGCAUCAUAGGUUCUCAUUAAUUGUGAAGGGUUUACACAAAUACAUAGGUUCAAGCUCUCAUUUUGUGAGUUCUAGUGAAUAGUUUAGUACAAAAUGACAUUAGAGAUUAUUGUGGGAGAAUGAUCCCUAUUUAUAGAAGAGAGUUUCUAGUUUUGUUCUAACAUUGACACGUGUUGUGUUGUGAUUGGCUUCUGAUGUUGACACAUGUCGAGCUGUGAUUGGCUUCUGAUGUCGACACGUGUCGCAUUGUGAUUGGCCUCCUGGUUGAAGGGAAGCUCUUCUGGUCCUUGACGGUAUAACGUUGACCGGUGCUCAGUAGUUUCGGGAUUGGUCAAGUAUGGUACAAACAAAAUCCAAACUCAAAAUUUAUGUUUUAAUUCUAAAACAAAGUCGAGUAAAAUAAACACUUAGAUAUCUCAACAACAACAAUUUUUUUUUUUUAAUAAUUUUAAUCCAAUUUAGAACUCACAGAAAAUUAAGGCAAAAGAUUGGCAAAUUUACCUACUCAUUCUUGAUUCUGCGAGAUUCAUCAUGGAAUUAGUCGAGUUGUGGAGGAUCGAACCAACUCCAAAUUGCAUGAUUGUUACACCUUCGGGCAGAAACUAAUCAUGCAAAGAAAAUACCUGCAUAGCUAGCCAAAACAUAAAAUACACAAAAUACAUAUAGCUUCAACAGCUUUGGCCAGAUGAAAAUAUGUUAGAAGUACUUUAUGAUAUAAUACUAUUUUAUAAUUGGUGAGUGAUUUCCUGAAAUUCCCAUUGGGACAAAAGUAUUCACCAUAUAAAUUAGAAUUCUGAUUUUUCAAAAUAAUCCUUUAGAACAGUAUUAAAUAACCGUUUUGUUGGAUAUUCAAUGAUUCUCAAAAGAUUCAAUCAGACACAAAAGUAUGUCAUUAUUGACAUUGAACAAUAGAGUUCUCGAAAGAGGAAACAUGGUUAUUCAGGUAUUCGAUAGAGACCAAAAUGAUCAAUUAGUAAACUAAUGCCACUUUCCAAUUUUCUCUCAAAAGACAAUCAUCAUAAUCAGAAUUGAUGACCAAACAAAACAUUGGUUUAAGCAAAACAAACCAAUACAUCUUUAAAUCAAAAUUUAAUCAGUGUUGUCUAUAUAAAAUUCAUUAGUAUUGAGAAUUUGCAUAUAAUAAGGACAUAUCGGAACCAUAACCUUGUAUAAUAAUCGGUACCAAUAGAUGUGCACAAAUUAGUGAAACAAUAUCACAUAACAAAACUAGUUUUGAAGUACCAAAAUUCAGCAGUACUACUUUAGUUUGCAAAUUCACUAAAAACUCAAUUCUCUUUAGAUUGUCCUGAAAAUUUUCAAGUAUGAACUAGACAUAUAUGACUACUAUUUCGAAAAAUUUCAUGAUUUUUAAAAUCUUAUAAGUGAGCCAAAAAUGAAUUCGAAAAGAGAGGUGCUACAGCAUUAAUAUGUGUAUUUGAUAUAUCAAAAUCUCCUUUUUAAGAUAAGAAAACAAUUUAAAAAUGACACCAAAAUGGCCACGGCAUUAAUAUGUGUAUUUGAGAAAUUUCCCAAAAGCACUUGAGUCUCAACUUUGCAAUUUUAUGUUUGAAGAUAAAAGUCACAAAGGACAAACGUAGCAAACAUAAAUUGUAAUAUUAUAUAUAUUAUAUUAAACGAAGGAUAAAUUAGACUUAUUAAUCCAACAACUCAUAUUUGAUUUUAGAAAAGAAAGUCUCAACAUUAAUUGGUCCCAACCAUCAGUCAUAGAAGCAUAAGAGAAAAUCAAAAGUUACCAAAUUCUUAUUCCUGAAGAGGGAUGCUUCCAGGCAUAACGAUAGAUGGAAGCGUAAAUCAACUUAAUUAAUAUGUAUGGGAAAGUUAGUUUGCAAAGCAGUUGGACUUUAUAUUCAAAUUAGUUUAACUAAUCAACUAACACACCAAAGUGGCCAUACCAUUAUUCUUGUAAACCAUUACUCAAAAAUAUGCAGCAAACUGGAAUAAAUGAAAUUAAAUGCAAUUGAGGAAAAUCCUCAAAGCCUCAUUCUAGGCAUUAGGAAUGAAGGCCGAGAAAACAUAAAAUGUGAACAUGAUAUAAGAUCACAAUGGCUCACUCAAGUUAUCUCCUAAUGGCAAGUGAUUCACAUUGAAAAAUCUUCGAAAACAACCAAAAUUUUAAACCUGAUCAUUGACACGGUGCGCUAGGAGAAAGAAGCAUGCAAAAUAAUUAUUAACUUAAAAUGGGAUUCCAAAACAAGGAACCCUAACCACUGCCCAGGAGCAACACAAAUGCCAACCAAGCGGAUCAAAACCAAUCUUGAUAUUAAUCAUGUUAAAAAAAAAUAACAAUAGUUAAAUUAUUUAUAUGCAUAUGUGCCAAGCCUUCGAACUUUAAAUCCAAUGCAAAAUUAUAUAUAUAUAUAUAUAUAUUUGAGGUAUAGCCAUAUAUAAAGCAAUCAAAUUUGCUUCUUAAUUAAUCAUUAUCUCGACAUGGCUAAGAAAACUUAUCGUUAAGUUUUCCCAUGAAAGCCAAAACAAAACCUUUUUUUGAUAAUUACAUGAGAAUCAUGAAGUUAGAAAAGUAAUUAUAAAAAUACUCUAAAAUUAAGCGGAAGCCUCAGGAUCGAUAAGUAAAAGACCUUUAACUAAAACACAAACUAAUUGUGCCUUCAGUUUGUCAAAAAUUUGUUCAAACAGAUUACCUUUAAUCCGAACCCUCAAGCUUUGCAAAUUUCUUGGCAGAUUUGUAUCUACAGACAAAAUAAUACAACUACACGCAGAAGUAAUUUCUGCAAAUGGGUCAAAUUAAAAAUAAUAAUAAUAACAUCUAAAUAAUUAUUUGCAAAGCCAAUAUGAUAAUCAAUCCACAUAUUGAAUUAUCAGCAAUUAAAUCAAUGAAUCGUAUUAUUUGCAGAAGCUUUACACAUUGUAAAGGAUAAAAGUGAUGGCAUGAUACGUUACCAUUAUAUUCAAAACCAACCAUGAUCGAAAUUCUGAAUCUUAGACGAGUUGAGUGGCUCUGAUACCACAUGUAAGAUGUAAUAUGAAAAUCAACAAGUUACUAAGAUUACAGAUAUAACAAAUAUACUACAAUAAACCAAUCAAACAAUUAAAGGGAAAUAAACUUAUCUUCCAAAGCAGAGGAAGAAGACGCCAUGACUGCUAGGGUUUCACAGGUUGUCUUCUACUUCCAAUACUUCAAAAUGUCUCUCUACUGUGAAUAGGGUUUGGCGUGAUUGAGAGUACAAGUGUAUGGAAGCAGGGACUUAACCAUGGUAUUUAUAUCAUUAGGGUUUUCAUCACAUCCGACCUAUCAUUGGCUGUACCAAUCUACCCUAUCUCUCUAGUAUUUAAGUCCCACCAUGAUACGAUAUCUUUGUAAUAAAUCUAUCAGAUUUCCUCUAGGUUAAUUGCAAGGGAUAAGACUCCAUAAUCCUUAUUAGGUUAGGACUAUCGGAUCACUUUGGUUGCUAACCACUCGAUAGACUAUUGGCUUACAACAAAAAGAUCCAAUACAACAUUCAUUGUCAUUCACAGUCUUACAUUUUUCUGAUAGGGCAUGAACUUGCAAGGCAGACGAGCACAGGAGUCGACUCAUUGAGUUAAUGGCGGCACGAGUUAGAGAUUGUAGUGGGGAAGACGGAUGAAAUAGAAUUUGGGAGGAGCGGGGAAGACAGAUCGGCCGCCAGGGAGGGGCGCUGUCAUUGUGGGUUGUUGGCUCGACUGUCGAGAUUUCUAUUAUUUAGUUUUAUAUUUUAUUUAAUUGAUUUUCUUAAAAAUUAAAUCAGGUAGACUUUAGUGGGGCACGUGACAUCCUCCGAUUAGAUGGGUAAACAAAGUGUCUAUUGUCACAUACAAGUAUAUGGAUUAUGAUGAUCUCCCAUUCUCUUUCCAUUCCCUUCCAUCAUUCUUUUCAUAUUCUCUAUUUUGUCUUUCUCUUUCUAUAAAAAUAAUAAUAAUAAUAAUAUAAGAUGUUGAUGUGGCUUAACCGUGACCAUUCAAAUAAGAGGGGAGGGUAAAAAAAAGGGAGUAUUUUUGCUCAUCACCAUUUAGUGUGGUAUAUGCUCACCACUUUAUUUAUCACUAUUAGAUGAGUUUGAAUUUCGAAUUGGUGUAGUAGAUAGGUAUAAAUCUCGAAAUUCAAACUUAUCUAAUGGUGAUAAAUAAAGUGGUGAGCAUAAACCACACUAAAUGAUGGUGAGAAAAAAUGCAUUCUAAAAAAAAGAGGGGAGAGAAUCCUUCUCCCAAGUAUAUACCACCAAUGGUGCAAAGGAGAAAGGACAAUGUGAGGAAAGCUAAAAUUUUAAAUUAAAUUUACAAAUUAAAUAAUGUGUAACAAAAAAAAAAAUUAAUGUGCUUGAAACACAAAGUUGUACACCAUGUGUCUCUAACAAGUGGUGAGAUUCUUGUGUUGAAAAAAUAAUAACAUAAAACAUAAAAUUUCCCACCACUUAUAUAAUAACACGUGUACCACUUGCAUUACGGGCAUAAGGAAAAAUUGCUAGUGUCACCAAUAGGUGCACGUUAAUCAAUACUUACAUAAUAAUUUAAUCAUCAACUACAUCGUUUGGUUUAAAAAUUUAGUAUCCUUAACAUUAUCCAAAGAGAAAUGCUAAGAGACUCAAAGGGUGAGAUUCUGCAAUUUCACGGUUUGAUGUUGAUUUGCAUGUCAAUGUAUAAAACAAUGUUGAUCCAAUCACACACAAGUAUAUACCACCAACGGUACAACUAAGGAGAAGUUUCGAACGAUCCCGCUACAUCAGGACCCUUUUAGAGCAUGUUUACGUACACGUAAUGGGAAUCAAAACAUGAAAUUAUAUUCCGAUUACGGACCAUUUCUAUGUUUACUAAAUUUUAAGGAAUCAAAAAUAUAGUGGGACCCACACAAAGUUUGGAAUUCAAUUCCUCACUUUGGAGGAAUUGGAUCCCUUGAUAGUAAGUGGUAUUUGAGUUUCGGAAGAAUGAGGGAAUGGGGAAUCCAUUUUUCAUACCCAUAAUGCCCUCACAUAAUUGCUGAAAUUCCAAUGAUAAAACAAGCACAGGUGCCCAGCGCUAGUCUGUUUCCUUCUCCCUCACUACCGCCCCCUUCCUGUCUUCCCAAGGCCACAUACCCACCAUCAUCUUCUUAGACAACAACGACAGCCAUAAAACAAGAAUAAGCGAAAGCUGAAGAAGAACCCAUUUUAGUUUUUUUUUAUUUUAAACAAUGCUAAAAACCAAACUCCGGACAUUCAAUCAACAUGAAAUACCCCGUAAACUAAACUUCAAAGAAAUUACAUCACCACAACCAACACUUCCCAUAGGCCUCAAACCAACCGUGAAUUUCAAAUUGUUGAAAGAUGAUUGAGGCAGAGAUAGAGAGAACGGUUGGGUUGGGGUUUGGGUUAGUUUUUUAUUUUUAAUUUUAUAUCAAUUGACUUGAUUUCCUGUAAGUUUUUAUAAAAUAUUUAUUUAUAAUAAAAGACAUUCUAGUAAUCAUACAAAUUUUCAUUCCGAUCAAGUGAAUUAGUAAACAACUUACAUUCAAACAAGACCAUUUAUACUCUGAUUCCAGAUUUAAUGGAAAUCUGGAUUUCAAUUCUCCUCAAUUCAAUUCAAUUCCCCCUCAAUCCAAUUCUGUCUAUUUUGAUUAAGGAUUAAUAAACGAACCCUUAAUGUUGAACAAAAGUCAGUACUUUACAUUAAGCUAGAACUAAAAAGGCUACUCCUAGUAGAAGUGACAGAAUUAUUGUUGAGUACGUAGCAAAAUUAUUAAGCAUUUGAGCUAGAACUGUUCGUACAUUUUUUAUCUGGCCUGGUCGAGCAGUGGUACAGCUACAGAGUACUAAUUUAUAUGCCUAACGUUAUAAAACUACAAUAAUAUUUCUCAAUUAUUUUAUAAUUUAAUUUGUUGACACUUCUCAACUGAAUUAUGAAAGCACCGCCGCGAGCCCAGGGACAAGAUACCUCGAGUCCUGACGCAUUCAGGUAUUGUCGCAUAGAUAAUCAUAAGUAAAGUUCCACCAGAGAGAACCAAAUUUGACGAGUUCAGCGGCUUAUACUUUUAUGGGUAUUUGUAGUAUGAUUUUCUUAGAUUUAUUAUUUACAUUAAACGUAUUCGUUUAAAUUUUUUAGAUUAGUGACCGAUUAAAUAUUCAAAUUUCAACUCAAAUCAGAGAUAUAUGAGAACGAACAACUUUUUCUCAAACACCAUUUUUUGUUCUUUGGGAACCAAAAUACAUGGAAAAGUAAAGAUAGGAGCAGCUUCAUCGAUCAAAAUUAUCGAGCACAAACACACACACCAAUACCAUCGAACUACCCGGAAACCAGAACCAGAACAGACCAUGACCCUAAAACACAACCAGAAAACGUUAACACUAACAUCUCAAAGUCCCAAACCACCUAUAACACUAAUCUAACUCCUCCAGCUGCCGCCUUCAGCGCCACCACCUCCUCUGGAGUAGCGAGCACCGCCACCUUCACCGCCUCCAUAGCCACC